UCAAGACCACUUGUCUUUGUAACAAGUUGGACUACUAUAGGCUUGGACCUUUUCCUAUCCAUGAACGAAUCAAUCAUGUUGAUUAUUGAUUAUAUCUACUGAAAUCUAUAAAGAUCCACCUUUUAUUUCACAUGUCCUUUCUUGAGUUAUAUACAAUAGUAAAUAUCUUCAUGCCACCUCCUCCUAUAAAAGUAGAUAAUAAUCAAAAAUUCAAGGUACAAGAAUACUUAGAUUUAAGGCAGCACCUAAAUAAGUUAAAAUAUCUUGUUCAUUGCCAUACAUAUGAUAUUAAUGAAUGCACAUUGAAGUUAAUAAAGAAUCUUAUAAAUACAACAAAGAGAGUUAAAAACUUUUGAUUGAUUACAUCCAUUAAAAUCUAAAUAAAGAAUAGUAAAUCUUUACUAUAAAAAAAAUAAAAUAAAUAGAAGAUAACUCUCUACCUUUCUAUCCUUCUUUGUAGCUUUUGUAUAUUUGUGAUGCUAAAGAGAUAGAGAACCAACAACCAGUAAAUUCAAUUCAAGAACUUUUAUUUUCAUUGCAAUUAACUUAACCUUCAAUAAAAUAAAAUUAAAAUAAAGACCCUCAAGAAUAAUAUGUCUUUCCUUGAAUAGAUGGCAAGAUACAACAUAUUUGAUAUCACGACCUUAGAAGAGACUCUCAAUGUUUGGUGAUUUUAUUAGAGAUACGAACAACUCCUAGCAGUGUUCUAAGUAUUUUAUUUGAAGGAAGUUACGAAGGCCUCAACAAUAGCUAUAUAAUAGGGUGGUCUUCUUGCUCUGAUAUGGAACACUAUUGAUGGAUAAGAGGACCUAUCAACCAUCUUCAAACAAAACAAAGAUCAAAGUAUGUGACAAAUACAAUUCACCACAUCUUGAAUUCCUUCAAUAUAUGAAGACCUCUCCUCGUAGAACUUGUCCUUAGAAAGGAAGAUAAUGUUAUGGAUAUACAAAGGUACUGUAAUACCUAUAUUGUGAAUACAAUUAAUAGCUCUAAUGGUUGAUUAUAAUCACUUUUGUGAUUUUUAACAUAUUUUUAUUAAUUUCAAUGCUAAUAUGAUUAAUUUAUAGAUCUAAUCUAUUUUUUUAGUUAAUUAUGAUUUAAUUUAUAGUUUUAGGUUGUUAAUUAGAUAGAUACUUUUAAUUAUUAGAUUGAGUGAUUAUUAAAAACUCUAAAAUAUUAAGUUUAUAAGGUCUAUGAUUUCCUUUUCUUGAUUUGGUUUAAAUCCUCUUUUAGUACUAAAAUUAGAAUUUUAAUAGAAUUUUUUUUCUAAGUAUUAGAAAUUAUAUCUGAAAUUGAUCUAAAAACUUAGUUUUCAACUCCAAGGCUAAUGCCUAAUUUGUCUAUGGUUAAAAAAUCUCUUAUGUCUAAUUGUUUUGUCUUCCUAUUUAAUUUUUAAGAUUUUUCAAGGUUAAAUUUCAUACUACAAUUUAAAUGGAUUAAAAAUAUUAGGUCUAAUUGUUAAAAUAAUGAUGAUUUCUAGAAAGUAGAGGUGAACUAAUUUUUAUGGUGGAAUUACCUUUCAUAGUGAUUUUUACCACUGUUUGGAAUUGAAGAAUGGAGAAAAAUAAAUAAAUCAAUCAAAAAUCAAAAGUGUAUUAAUUCAAGGCCAAAUUAAAAUUAAGGAUUGUGAUUUGCUAAGAGUUUAUACUUAAGGAAGUUCAAAUUGAAGAAUGGUGCUCAUGAAGGCUUUGAUGGCAAGAAUCCUUGCUGAUCUCUUAAUUAGAAUAAUUAGAAUAAUUAGAAUUAGAAUUUUAGUUAAAAUUUACAACAAGAUUAGCAAAUUAAUUAGUUUUAAUGAUUUAAAACUUAGAUUUGGACUUGUAAAUAGUCGUUCUUAGGAUUAAAAUGUAUUUUGGAUACAUUUUGUGGUUUUAGUUUUGCCAAAAAAGCAUUAUUUUUUGAGAUAUAGGCAUUUCCAGCCUUGAAAUUAGGUUUAGGCUUAAGAUUACUAUAGAUCCUUGAUCUUGGUUAGAAAUUUUUUAUCUGGAUGGUGGAGAUGUGUCUGCCACUUUUGGGCCUCCUCUCACCUAGUUAAGAGGGCUUGGGUGGCAGAGUUUCCUCUCUUUUUCUCCCUUUUGUAAGGUGAAGCCCUCCCAUAUUGCUUCUGGGCUUUUAAUUGAAGGAAUUUUCUCCUACUUUGUCACUGCCUCAGUAUUUUUCCUCUCAAUCACUCAAUUUUUUAUGAUUUUGAGCAAUAUUCUAUAUUCAUCUUUUUCUAGUCACUAACUUUCCAACAACAUAAGCCACGAGUAAUUUGAAGCUUGGACAGAUUUUUGGCAAAUUUCCAAGUAGAAGGGGUCCACUUCCCUUGGCAGCAUUGGAGUGUCAACUUCAUAAAACCAUUACUCAGUGACUUCUAUCCCAACUUCAAUGUGAUUCAUUGGAAUGAAUGCAAUCUAAAGUCUAGUCUUUUAAAAAAAUCAAUCUAUGAACUUUAAAACAAUCACAAAUUUUUGAUGAAUUUCUAGGUGAGAAGGGGUCUGCUGCCUCGGCAGUUUAGAACAACUAACUUGGAAAAAACAUGUCUUAAUAUUUACUUAGGUUUUUCUAAUUAAUUUAUCUGGAAAAGAAGGUUUCCUAAGUUUAGUUUUAGAAAAAACCAGAUUUCUUAACUUUGAAUCAUUAGCCAAUUUUUUGUGGAUUUUUAAGCAGACAUGUAUCUGCUGCCUAGGUAGUUCAAGUCACCUUACUUUAAAAAUUCAUAUCUUCAACGUCAAAUCUUGGAUCACCACGAGCUUUGGGCAAUAAGAGCACGCUUAAGUCAAAUCCAACUACAAAAAAAUUCAAAUCCAUUAGAGUUGUGGAGAAUUUUUGAAAAUGUUUUGAACAAUAAGGAUUUGAUGUCUACAACUCGACAUACUCAAGGUAAGUUUUUCUGCCCUAAUCACCUCCUAAUCACACUUUUUAGUACAUGAAUUGCUAGACUAAAUCUUCACUCAUCUUAUUACCUCUAAUUAAUACUACUUAAUUUAAUAUUUUGCCUUAUCUUGGUAAUUAUUUUCUAAUUUUAACUUCUAAUUACCUUCUAACCUUCAAUUUUUAAUCUUAUGUUAUUUCAAUCUUUACUUAACUUUCAACUUUAAAUUUAACAUUUUAUCUUCAACUAUUGAUCUUUAUAUUAUUCUAUUUUUAUUUAACUUUUAACUUUGAUUUUAUUUUUUACCUUCAACUUUUAACCUUAUGGUUAUUUCAUUUUUAUUUAAUUUUUAAUCUUAAUUUAUAACUUUUACUUUUUAUCUCCUACUUUUAACUUUAUUAUUUAUUUUAUUUUUAUCUUUUAAUUUUUUCUUUUUUUCUUAAAAAAUCUAAUCAAAUAUUAAUAUUAAAUUUUAAUAUUUGAAGCUAAUUAUUAAAGAAUUUCCAACUUUGGAUGAAGUUUUGCCAUCAAAACUUCAAAACUUCAUCCAUGGAUAACUUCUUGGAUAUAAGUCUAAUUGGUAUGAUUGAUACCAUUUCGGAAAGCUCUAGACUAGUACUCUAUUAUAGUACCAUUUUUUUUUUUUUUUAUCAACUUAUAAAUUUCAGAAUUUAAGCUUAAUCAGAUAAGUCUCGGAAGGCAUUUAAUUAAAUGAAUUUAAAUUGCUAAAAAAAAAUCAUAAAAAUAUGUAAUUGACUUAGUUGUGUUUUGUUGGAUAAAUUGUGAUAAUCAUAUCAUUUUUUAUUUUUUUAUUUUUCUUAUCUAUGGUUUGCAUCUCCACACUAGUUAAUAUUAAACUCUAAUCUAAGUUACAAUUUAAAUAAAUCGGACUUAAGUGAUGGUAGAAAAAAAACCACUUACAUAUAUGAUUAGGUAAAAGUAGAUAAAAGUAGAUAAAUAUAGAUUAAUUUCAUAAUAUCUUUUAAAAGAGCUUCUUAGAAGCUUCAUAGAUAAUACUUUGAUUUUAUAUAUAUUUGUAGUUGAUUAGUAGGUUAGAAACUUAGUCAACAAGUUAACCAUGUAUUGGUAGCUUACAAAAAAAUUUAAUUAUGUGGCGCUCAUAUAAAAUACUUACUUUGUAAGUUAAGAUACAUGUCUUAUAAAGUCAACAUGUUUUGGAGGCCUUAUAAGACAUCGCCAUGUAGUUCUUAGUUAAGAGUACACAUGGAGGCAAGAGUAAAGCCUUUUUCAUUCUUGUCAAUGCCUUUCUAUUCUUUAGUCUUGUUUCAAGACUUUCUAGUCUUCUUGUUUUUGGCAAUAGCCAUUCUAGUUCAAUAUUAUAUCAUCUUUGAAUGACUUUCUAGUUCCUUUCAGUGAUACAAGAGUGUAUUGAGGAUUUUUUUUCUUUGAGAUUCAUGUCCUUGACACCAACAUGCUUCACCAAUUGUCCUUGAGGUUUGUUUAUUCUUAUUACAAAUGAAAGAUAAAUUUAUUUUUUUUAUUUUUUUUAAAAUGAAUAAAAGUUUUUUUGUUAUAGAAGUUAAUAUAAUCUACAAAAUGAAUGCCAAGUUUCCAUCAAAUUUUCUUCCAAGAAUUCUUGCUUCAAAAACUUGAUCCAUGAUUUAUAUAAUUAUCAAUUGAAUUCCAUUGCAAAGUCUUUUGCAAGAAGAAAUAUUUCUUAAUAGUAUCACCUAAUUCUAAAUCUUAAGACAAAGCCUUGAUUUGGCCAUUUUAGAUGGAUUAAGUAAUUUGAUGAAUUUGACUACAUAAACAUUAUUAUUGUUGAUACCAUCUUUGACAACAACUUCAUUAGCAUUGAGAUAUUCUUAUUUGUUUUUAGAAAAUAUGGCCAUAAUCUUCUCAUCAAUAUCCUCUAUAUCAUCAUUUUGUGUGGAUAAAAUGAUAUUAUUUCUAAAAAAGGAAUUAUUUGCUACAUUGUCAUUUACCAAUUUUGAAUAAAUAAUAUCAAAUAAAGAUAUUAAUUAUUGAUUAACAAACAUGUAAUCAAGAAGCAUAAUUACAUUAACAAGAAGAAGUUUAUAUUCUUUCUAAUUUUAUAAGUGGCAAAUAGAAAUAUUACUUAAUAAUAAUCAACUUCCUUAAAAUAAUAAUGAUGUCUCUGAAAGAACAAUCAACUACCUUAAAAUAGUAAUGAUGUUAGAUUGGAAGUUUAUUCCAAAUAAUAAGCAAAGUUAAGCAAAUAAACUCAACAUGGUCAGAAUUCUUAAUAAUUGAAUUAAAAAAAACUUUGUUACAAUCUAAUAAAAUCUUGAAUGUAAAAUAGACAAUUUUUCUUCUUUCAAAUAGCAAUGUUGCAAUUCUUGAUAAUGAAAAAUAUAAAACAAUCUUUUGCAUCAAUUGAACUUUAAUUGUCAAAAACUAUAGUCAAAUGUCUUACCAAUUUUUGUAGGUUUAUUUAGAAAAAAAAUGCAUCUAUAUUCUUCCAUUAUGGAGGCCACAAUAUCAUCAUAUGCCUAUUUUUAUUGAAGAUUCAAUUAUGGAACAUAUUGCUCCAAAUUUGCUUCUAAUUGUUGAAUGUCUUAUGUUCUUUCUUCAGCAAUAAAUUGAUUUCCAUUAACUGUUGUAUUCUAAUUAUUUCUUGGUGAUGGAAUUGGAAAAAACUAAGCAAGCAUUUUGUCCAAAUAUUACAAAAACUUAUCAAAUAAGAAAAGUCCAAUAUCCUUAAUUUGUUCUUCUAUUACAUUCCUAAUUCCAUAUUCUCUUUGCAAAUAGACAUUGAAAUCAUCCAAGAUACUUUCCUAAAAUAUUUUCCAUAGAUUUAAUAGAUUUAAAAAAAUAAUUUGUAGUAGCAAAAUAAUAAACAACGAUUUUAUUAGGAUUUAAUUAAGAUUUGAUUAGGAUUUAGUUAAGAUUUAAGACUUGAUUAAAAUUUAAUUAAGAUAUUCAAUUUGAUUAGGAUUUAUUUAGGAUUUAUUUAGAAUUUUAAUUUUUAGUAUUUUUUUAGAAAUAUUUUUAUUUUAAAAAAUUAAGAAUUAUUUAUCAUUUCUUUAAAUAUUUAUAUUUUUAGUAUUUAUUUAAGAUUAUUGUUAUUUUGUUAGGAUUUUUUAUUACUUUUUUAAAAUUUUAAUUUUAAAAUUUUAAAAAAGUAAUUUUUUUGAUUGAUUAAAGUUUGAUUAGAGUUGUUAAGGAUUACUUAGAGUUUAUCUAAGACUCUAUUAGACUUGGUAAAAUCUUAUUGUUAUAUUUUUUAUUUACCUUCCACAAUUAGGUGCCCAAAGCAUUCUCAAACAAUAAUUUAUGUUAUAUAAUAGCAUUGCCAAUAGUAAAGAAGGCAUCACUCUUAUCUCUGUAAUACUUUAAAAGAGCUUCUCCAUAAGAUAUUAUUAAAUUUAGUUAUUUUUACUUCUACCUAAUUUAUCUUCUUCUUCAAAUUACUAAUGUUAAUAUUGAUGCUCAUGACAAUAUAUAUCUAAAUAUAUAUAUAUAUAUAUAUAUAUAUAUAUAUAUAGGUAAGAACUAAAAUAGCUAUUAUUAUAUACAAAGAAAUUACAAAUUCUUUAACAAAAACUAGAAUACAAGAAAGAAAUUGAUAUAAAUAAAAAGAACCUUAGUAUUACUUCUUUAUAUUCUAGCUACUAAAAAAGAUACUUUAAAACUUCUUAAGGACUACAAAGCUAAUAAACAAAUUGUAAACUGUGUAAGAUCUUUUUUUAGUAGCUUUUAAAGAUAAUAAACUUCUAAGAGAAGUUUUCAUAUCCAUUUGGCACAUUUAAAAGAAUCUAUGGAUCUUAUUUGUAUUUAAAAAGCUCCUUUAGUGACAUAAUAUUUCUUAUUUAUUUGAUAUAUUUUUUCCUAUUUUUAACUAUUUUUAUUUACAACUAUUUAUUUGAGUAAUAUAAAUAUAUAUUACAAAUUAUAACAAGGUUUGUGACUUUAAUUUUAUAAAUAUAUAUAUAUAUAUAUAUAUAUAUAUAUUUAUAAUUUUUAGUUUUUGCAUAUAUUUCAGGAAUCACAUAAUGAAAUCAAAAUCAUGCAUAAAUAUUUAAUUCAAUUGUACAUAAUUUUUUUUAAUUAUUUUAAUUCAAAACCACCACAUGUUUCUUCACCUUUUUAUUAAAAAAUCAACUUUUCAGAAUAUUUAAUCAUCACCCCAUGCUAAGUAUUAAAGUUUAUUUCUUACAAUACAUAUCAAAGACCAUUUUGGUUCUUUUGAACUACUUACGAAUCUCUUGGUUUCACUCAGAAUACCUGAUCUUCUGAGUGAAACAGGUACCCAAAAGAAUCACCAGUGCAGUUCUGUUAUAUACCUUUACUGAUUGUCGUGCAAUUACUACGAACCCGUGUCAGAAAUCGGCAACUCAAAGUAACCUAAGCAGCUACUUUGUUUGUCUCCAUGGUUGGUGAUUAUGACUGAGUGAAUUCCACAGGCUGCAACAAAAGAAAAUUAUGGCAUGUUAGUCAAGUUUCAAAACUACAUGAAUGUAAAACCCAGUUGCGAUUCAUUGCUUAGUUAAAACGUCUAUACGGUAGCCAUUUUGAAUAAUACGAAACCGUAAUAAGAGAGCACUCACAGCUUGGAGUUCCUCCUCAUGUUUGGGAAUGAAGGCUGUGUCUACUUUGCCGUCUUUGAAGUCCUGAAAAAUCAUUGCAGUAAGAAGAAAAGUCUGUAAUUGUUGGAACAUUUGAAUAAGUCAAAAAUGAUAUCAUUCAUGAUGAAAGAACGUGGAGUUUGAAUGUGAAUUCAACACAGAAUACUAUGACACUAAAAUGUUGUGUAAGCUGAUGCUAUACGCAAAAACCUACACAAAGCUCAAACCCUGAAUCACGAUACUUGCACUCCUACAACACAUGUGAAUAAGCCGUAAACGAUUGUGACGGGAAAAGAACCUGGAUAUCUAGAAUAAGCUUGUGGUAAUCAAGAGUGGUUGGAAUUCCUGCGAAAAUAACAGAAAGGCCUCAUUAAGUCGUAUCAACAACCCAGUCAAGAGCUGCAAAAAGAAUCCAAAUUUUCUGAAGCACCAUUGUCUCAAUCUUACUAGAUACUAUAGAUGCACUGGUUUGAGUAGCUUGCAGACUUUUGGUGACACUUUCUAUAUAUGUACACAUUUUCAAAACACGAAGAUUUUAAAGUCUGGAGGACCCUAGACAGGAAGAGUAUUGCAGUCUUUUUACGUCAAGGCUGUGGGUCACGAGAUUUUCCUGACGUAUCAGUGAUGAUUGUAUCAGUCAAAGCCCGCUUCAUCCUUUCAAUCGCCCUCUCCCUUGUUGGUGCCCAAACAAUCAGCUGCAUGCAACAGAUUCAAUGACAUUCUCAUUUCAAAGAUGCCGAACAUAGUCAUGAGGUAGUUGGAUUGAGAACACAGACUUGGUGGCUUUUGAUGGAAGAUGAAAUACCUUUCCAAGCAAAGAAUCAUAACUGGGAGGAACAAUGUAGUCUGUAUAGAUGUGGCUGUCCAUUCUUACAAAAGGACCACCAGGUGGCAAGUAUCCAGUAAUACGGCCUGAAUUUUGUGAGCCAUUUGUAAAUAGAAGAUAGUGAAAAACAUUGCUGAAAAUUGGAAAACAAGAAGUAAUCAGAACAAGGUAGAAUGGCUCAAGAAGUUGAAUCCCGAGAAGGAUAUUUCGACAAACAUGCUGCAAUAUUAUGCAUUAGAUUGAAUUAAACCUGGCCCAGGACGGAAGCCUUGAAAAGCAUCUUCGGCGUUGAUACGGCAUUCAAUUGAGUGGCCGCUCAAUACAAUCUCAUCCUUAAAAGCAACAAAGCAUAGAACUCUCGUUAGCUGUAAUUGGGUAAAAGCGUAUAAAAAAUCCAAAAAAAUGUAAUUAUUAUUAAUAUUAUUAAUGAGAGAAAAUAGCAUUGAAUCUGAACAGUUAACAGCCCCAAUGAACAUUAACAUCUGAAAACAAAGCAACUUAUUACGUAACACACAAAUCCCGUAAGUUCAUGACAGCAGAAAUUAAUGUCGCAGCUUCAGCCAGUUUCAUGCGAACUUCCCAUGAUUCCAAGCAGUACCUGAGUGUAGCGGAGCUUCUCCCCUAGAGCCACUCGGAUCUGCUCCUCAAUAAGAUCAACAGCAUAUAUCAUCUCUGUAACUGGGUGCUCCACCUGAAUUCGAGUAUUCAUCUCCAUGAAGUAGAACUCACCACUCUCAUCAAGCAAAAAUUCAAUUGUUCCAACUCAUACCCAAUGGAGGCAGCAGCUGCCACAGCGGCAUCUCCCAUUGCUUUUCGCAGGUCAGGCGUGAGAGCAGGCGAAGGAGCCUCUUCCAAAAGUUUUUGGUUUCUUCUCUGUCAGGAGAUAGACACAGCUUAGUCCUACUACAGAAUGCAAACUCAAUGCUUUCCAUGUGUAGAAAAACAUGAUGAACUUGUUGAAAAGAAUUCAUUUCAUAAUUCGUGCCUCACGCCCGCGAGUACAUGACACAAUGGCUCACUAAUCCUAAGAAUUAGCAGCGUUUCAAUGAAGUGCAGCACGUAUACGGAGAUUACCUGAAUACUGCAGUCACGUUCCCCAAAAUGGACAAUAUUCCCAUACUUAUCUGCUAAAACCUGCCAAGCAAAUUUGUAUCAUAAUUCACAUCAGAAGAGUACAAUUCAUAUACUCGCUUCAAGUCAUUACAAGUUGGCAAAUAGAAAAGCAGAAUCCAAGUCACAAGUUCAUGCAGCUGAAAUCUAGCUGGUAGUUAUACCUGGAAUUCUAUAUGCCUAGGGUUUUUGAUGUAUCUCUCAAGAUACACGCCGUCAUUGCCAAAAGCAGCCCCAGCCUCGCUCCGAGCUUGCUGUGGAGGAAUAAAAAAUUACGAAACUCAAUCGCUGUGAGAUACACUUGGGACAGUAACAUCCUGUUUUAUACUCUUAGGUAGUCUGGUACUGAUGAUAAUUUGCUCCUCCGUCUCAGGUCUGGACGGAUUGGACUCUUAAACAAGAAACUGCACACCAGUGAUGGUGUGAGAAUAGUGUGCUUUCUAAAACAAAAAAAUCAUUGUACGAGAAUGAGUACCUGAAGAAGUUUCACAAAUUCUUCUGGCUCAUUCGCAAGACGCAUUCCACGGCCACCGCCUCCCGCUGUAGCCUGACACACACCCAGAGAGGGUUUUAGAACUCUCACCGAAUACUCCAAUCUCCUUCAAAUGCAGAAUUGAACUUCAGAAAGAGCGCCAAUUUAUAGCCUUGCACAAACGUCUAUGCAUCCCUUAAAGCAUUUUGCAGGUAGACACCUACCAGACGACAUGCAUGGUAGUGAUCACAAUAUGUACCUUUAUCAUAACAGGAAAACCAAUCUCUGCAGCCAGCCGCACCGCUUCCUCCGUUGUCUGUUAACCAACCAAACCCAAAGUUUCCAGUGAACUGCGCAGUGCGAAAAUAGGAAAAGAGAAGCCAAGCCAACACGAGUUCAUAAAGUGAAAAGCGUUACUAUUCCUUACCUCAAUCAACCCUGCACUGCCUGGAACCGUUGGUACGCCAGCCCUUUUCAUCGUCUCCCUUGCAGUUGCCUUAUCUCCCAUUACGCGGAUGCUGUCUGACUAUGGAUGACGUAGUGUUAUUUCAUCACUGCUCCGAUUCCGUUUCACUUUCGCACUAACUUGUCUCAUUUAAUUUUCACAUUGACCAAAGUUAUUUUAUAAAACCAAAUAGAGCUAAAACCACAGCACCACCCACAUUUCAGGAAGGUGAAAGAUGUGAAGAAUUCAUCAUAGCUACUUACAUUUGGGCCGAUGAAGUUUAAACCAUGAUCUUUGCAAAUGUCCACGAAGGUUGCGUUCUCUGCCAAGAAGCCAUAUCCGGGGUGUAACAUUGUACACCCAUGACUAAUUGCUGACGACACGAUGUUGGGCACGUUGAGAUACCUGCCAGAUUAAAAAAAAAAAAAAAAAAAAAAAAAAAACGAGACUGUUACGAAUAUCAUUACAAGGCCAUUACAAAUAUUCACAAUAAUCAGGGAUUGCAAGUCGAGCAACUAAAACCAGAGCAGCUGAGAGGGAUGUCGGGGAUUAAAAUCAGGAUAUGCUCCUAAUUGACAACACUGCUUAUACAAACACUGAGAGUACCGAGGUGUAAGGCUGUGAGAAAGGAAGAAAAGAACUUCCACUCACUAGAGCCAUCCAUUACUGCGCUACAGAGGUCAAAGUGUAGGCAAUGAAGAACUACUAAAAGACUUUUAUGACAAAAAUUCCACAAUAGCAAUAAAAAUAGGAACUCCCAAGCUUGAAUUAAACAGAAUUGAAAAACCAGGAUAGACAGGGUUACAAUAAUGUCACAUUCUCCCUAUCACAAUCACUAAAAUACCACUAAAUUCCAUUAUCGGUAGUACUGGUAGACUUCAACAAAUCGAUCUAAGUGGUUUUCUGCAAUAUUUCCGCGGUUUAACGACAUCUACCCCCGAGUUAUCGGAUUUUAUAGCCAAAUCCGGCUGAGCCUCGACAUUGAACUCUCACAGCCAUUGCUACACAGAGAAAACAAAUGCGACUACCAGGUAUGCAGUGGUUACACCAAUCAGAAAUUUGAGGAAAAGAAUACUCACGACUGACUGCUGGGAGCUUCACCGAUGCAUACAGCCUCGUCGGCCAAUUGGACAUGUAGCGCCUGUCUAUCAAUCGUAGAGUGCACGGCAACGCACGGAAUGCCCAUCUCAUGUGCAGUGCGGAUAACACGCACUGCGAUUUCGCCCCUGUUCGCAACCAAAAUCUUCUCAACUUGACAAGAUGCGGACAGAGCCCCAUUGUGCGCCUUCGAUCCACGCCCAUUCCCAGCAACCAUAACACUCUUCUCCACGGCAUGCUUCAAUGCAAGGGACCCAGUUCGAAAGCUACCAAUGCUACACCGAAGUCCCUGCUUCGGGGCACCCAGGAGCGUCGCAGACCCAGCACCACAUUGUCCCCGCACCCCUUCCCCAGCAAUCGCUACACCACAAGGCCGCUGCAACAAACACAUCCCCAUCCCCCAACAAUCUCCGAAACCUUAAACCCAUCUUCCUGAAACCUCUCUCUCUCUCUCUCUCUCUCUCACACAUUUCUCAUAGCAAAUCCGCUAAAACCUCCAACACUAAACCCAACUGCCAUAAAAUACAGCAAAUCAGAAACAGAAAGGAUUCACAAGCAAAUGACAGUACCGAGCAAGACGCUAGCUGCUGGAGAGCCUCCAUAACCACCAGUAACAACCGUUAUCAAAUGCUGUCAAUGCAAUGGAGCUACUGUGCUCAACACAGAGUGAGCAAUGAAAACACACACUCCCACUCCACUUCAGAAAAGCAAAACUUAGACUCUGAUCAAGCCGCGAUAACGACAAAUCUCGUCCUCAUCAGCUGCUCAUGAAAUGCAGCGAGCUUUGCCGAGCUGGUUGGACAAUGCGGGGAAAACUUUAUCCGCUCCCGAAUUCUAUCCCUUCCGACCCGGGUCGCGCUUACUUGCGGAAAUCCACUCACUGCUCUUGAGAAGAAGAAGAAGAAGAAGACGGCGUGCGUUGGAUUCGCUUCCACAUGAUCGACGUUCAUGUCUGCUUUCUAAUGAAUUCCAUCGUCAUUCUCAUAUUGAAGAUGGCAGUUGUCGUGAUACCCUUGAUGCUUUUUUUUAUGUGCUUUAUUCGGAAUCGCUCUAAUUUCGAUUUUGCGAUCACCUGCGGUAGUGAACUUCAUGACGUGACUUCGAUUUUCUGUCCAACUUCGUCGCUGAAUCGUGUCCAUUUUGAGCUUCUGGAGACGCUGACAAAGGUAGUUUUCCUACUGUUUCUUUUUUCUUUUUUUUCUUUAGUUUUUUGGGAAGUGAACGUGGUUUAUCCCGUUGCUAUCAAAGAAAACCGGUGGACUUACUCGACCUUAACUAAUCAUACUAGAGUGUUGUAGGAAGUGUUGUUUAUUACCCACGUUUUAUCAGAUCUAUUUAAGAGUUACAUUUGCUUACUUGGUGGCCUUUUUUGCUCUUUCUGGGUUCUUAUCCAAUAGGUUUUUAUUGUCAAGUCAGUGAGGAUGACCCAAAUAGUUUUAUCCAAAAAGUGUUUUAGAUGAGUUUUUUCAGAUAGUUAGUUUGUAUUUCGGAAAUUUUUUUUUAGGUAAUUUUAUGUAAAAAAAAUUAAAAUUAAAAUUAAAAAAAGUGUUUGUCAUAUGGGGUUGAAUUAUAUAAACUAGAUUGUGUUUUGGCUAGAAUGUUACACUAAACAAUGUUUGCUUAAAAUCCAAUAAUUUUAGGGUGCAGAGUGUAGAUCAUGAAUAAUCAUUUGAUUGUAAGCAGUUUGUUUAAGCAUGAAUUGCUGAUUUAAAAAUAUAUCCAUUUCUUGUCAAAUAAUUUUAAAUUUUACAAAAUAUCAUUUUCUUGAAUAAAAGAAUAAAUAAAUAAAUAAAAGAAACGAUUUUUUUCCUUCAAAAUUGGCAACAAUGCCAUAAUUGUAAAAAAUAACCAAAAUAAAACCAAUUUCCUUUAUUCAAUCAGAUUAAUUGUUAAGGACUCAAUUAGGUAGAACUAUCUUCCUAAAUGCAUACGGCAGAUAGUUCUACCUAUUUUUUUAAAUAGUGUACAAAUGAUAGAAGAAAGGGAGAAGGAGAAGGAGAGCUUGUUCUACUACAAUAAAAGUUUAUUGGUUAAUUUUCAUCUAAACUAAAGCAGAACAUAAUUAAAUUCAUAUAAUUAAGGUUUGGAGGUUUGAUAUGAUUAAAUUUCUAUUUACAGAUAUUCCUAAAUAAAAAUUUAUCAUAAAUUAUUAUUUUAAAUAUCCUUGAUUUUUUAUAUUAUAUAUAUAUUUAUAGAGAGAGAGAGAAACAUGCUUAAAAGUAUAAUAAUAUGAAUCCCAUAAGCUAUAGUUUGUUAGAAAGCCAAAAAGUUAAUUAGACACGACAUCCACAUUUAUUUGUAAGGCAAAAAAGGAAAUUAUCAUAGAUAAACUAAUUUUUUUUAUUUAUUUGUUUACAUCUUAAAUUUAUUAAAUAACUAUUUAAAAUCCUAAUAUUUACUUACAUCUUAUAGCAUGUUGUUGUACAAAAAAACUAAGUAAGAGGCAAUCUAUAAUCUAAAUGAGUAAUUUAUUAGAUAAAAAGAUUCUAAAAAUCCAUGUUGUUAGAAAAAUAACAAGGAUAUUUUUUGCAUCAUACAUGCAAAAUAUCAUGUCUUUUUAGAACAUAAAUAAUAGUUUCUGUAAAUCUAAUUUUAGAUUUUAUCACAAUAAAUAGAAGUAAAAAUUAAAAUAAACAUGAAAAAAAGAAAUGUAUAAUCCUUUUGUUAAAUCUUUCUAUAUCAUUUUAACACUCAUAAGAAACGCUAUUAGCAAGUAAUUAAUCAUUAAGUUUUUUUCUUUUCUUUUUUUUUGAAAGAAAAAAUUUAGAAGAAUAAAAAUGAUAGUGCUUAAUGUGAUAUGAUUGCAAAUGGUUGAUAUUUAAAUAACACUUGUUAAUUGAAAUAUUACUUGAUUGGACCAAAAUAUCAUUAUUUGAAAUAAUAGUAUUGAAAUAAUAUUAUUUGAAUUAUUACUUCAUUGGACUUAAAAUUGAUUAUGCGAAUUCAGACUUAACAAAAAUUUGGUUGAAAUAUUUUUUGUAACCUUUUCAAGACCUUGUAGUUUGUAAAUGAACAUUACAUAUUAUAGAAUAAACUCUACGAGCAGUAUAUUAAGAAAUUAGAAGACCACACACGGUGUGCACAGAAGUGUAGCAUCAAAAAACUGAGCUUUCAAAUAGAUCUUACAUUUUUGAUCACAAAGGUCUUGGGUCGAAUUCCUACAAAUCUUUCAUCCAAUGGUGGACUAAUACUACACUUGUACUAACAACCUGUCUAAAAAGCACGAGAAGGAGAAGAAAAAAAUUAUGCCAUUAAACCCCAACUGAGGCUACAGAAAUAAUGUUGCAGACUACAUAUUGAUAAAUGUGUACCUUUAUCCUGGUGUCACUGUCGAGUUCAUGGACUGCACUUCUAAAUGAUCUAACUAUAUGUGGCUGAGCUAUGCAACAAGCCUCACCUAAAUCAAUACUCACGAUCCCGCAAGCUGACAAUUCCAAGUCUAGAAUGCAGCAUCAAGCAGCUUAUGCAGCAGCUUUUAAUAUUUCCUUAACAGGUGCUGACGAUUGUAGAAGUGAUGGUGGCUGCAAAAUACAAACAAACUGGAUGAGCACCGCAGAAUAUUGAGAAGAGAAGAAAUAUAUAUAUAUAUAUAUACAUAAUUUUUAGUCAAUAAAUUUCUGAUUUCAUCGCCGAUAGGGUACAUUGUGUUAUUAUUGCUGACAUAUGCUCACUUACAGCUUGGAGGUCUUCCUCAUGUUUAGGGAUAAAGGCUGUGUCUACUUUGCCAUCCUUGAAGUCCUGAAAUACAAAAGCGUUCUAAGUAUCAAGUACGGAAGGAGCACCAGUAGUGUAUGACCAGAGAGACCACAUUAAUUGAUACACAGCAUUCAGAACUUGAAACAGAAGAGUAGUCGAUCUCGAAGUGAAAUCCAAAAAGUUUGACUGCAAUCCGUAGAGUGCAAAGGACUCGCAACAGUGUUGUAGCAACGCUGAAACUAUGGGUAUGAAGACUAACCUGGAUGUCUAAGAUCAGCUUGUGAUAAUCAAGAGUAGUAGGUAUGCCUAACACAACUCCACAAAUGAGAAAUUUAGUUUUCGACCAUAAUCGUCACUCAGCAUAAAGCUUAAGAUCAGGUUUAAUACAAGAGAUUCAAAGCGUGAUACAACAAGUGCUGGUCAGAUAACUCAUCGAUGCGAGAAGUAUCUCUUUCAGGAGUAUGACCUCAGGACGAACGGCAUCAUUAAAACGUUGCAAUUGGGACAUCAUAAAGAUGAAUGACUGUACCUGUGAUAAUUGUGUCAUUCAGAGCCCGCUUCAUCCUUUCAAUAGCUCUCUCCCUUGUUGGACCCCAAACAAUUAGCUGCAAACACAACCCAAUUCAAUAAUCCCUGUGACAGAAGUGCCAGAAGCAUAUGAAUAGAACAAAAAGAAAGAGGAGAGUGGAAGACAGACCUUUCCAAGUAACGAAUCAUAACUGGGAGGCACCACGUAGUCUGUAUAGAUGUGGCUGUCCAUCCUCACAAAUGGGCCACCAGGAGGCAAAUAGCCAGUAAUACGACCUGCACUUGGAACAAAGGUCACGUCAGCAAUUAGCUCAUAUCAACAUGAGGCACGCAAAGGUAGCAAUAUUGCAUUAAGAUCUCUUAUCCAUUCACAUUUCUUUCAUAUCAAAUGCAUAUAUCCAACAAUUCCUGACCAGAAAACAUUAGCCACCUUUGUGAUCCUCGAAGGUCAUGUUUAAUAACAAAUCAAAACAUGUGCAUGUAACAAAUCAAAACAGCAGCGUAUGGAGUCAAUCUAGUUAAUAAGUAAUUGCUCUAACCUGGUCCGGGGCGGAAGCCUUGGAAAGCAUCCUCUGCGUUGAUACGACACUCAAUAGAAUGUCCCCUCAAUACAAUAUCGUCCUUCAAAGCCAGGAAGCAAAACCACACGCCGAUGAAAUCAUUUCCACAAAAACGGUUUAUGGACUUACAGAACUAUGAAGUGAAAGAAAAACAAUUCUAAAUCUGAGCUACAAAAGAAUACUUCAAUCCUCUAACCUGAGUGAAUCGUAGCUUUUCUCCCAAUGCUGCCCGAAUUUGCUCCUCGAUCAGAUCAACAGCAUAAAUCAUUUCUGUCACAGGAUGCUCCACUUGAAUACGCGUGUUCAUCUCCAUGAAGUAGAAAUUGCCACCCUCAUCAAGUAGAAACUCAACUGUACCAACUCCAAUAUAUCCAAUAGAGGCAGUAGCAGCCACGGCAGCAUCACCCAUUGCUUUACGCAACUCAGGGGUUAGGGCGGGAGAAGGGGCUUCUUCCAAGAGCUUUUGGUUUCUUCUCUGUCGUCACAAGAAAAGAGGUGAUUCCAUUUGCAUAGUCAGCAACACAUCUCACUGAUAAAACAGUGUGUGAAACUUUACCAAACUAAGCUGCAAUAAUAUUGCUUCGUCUUAUUGCUCUGAGGAACUUUUUAUGUCAAUAUGAUGGAUAGCUUAAGAAUCUUCGUAAAGCUCAGAACUCAUUUCUAGCUCAAGAAAGAAUAUCAGCAAGCUGUUCCACACAUCGUCAUUUACCUGAAUACUGCAAUCACGUUCGCCAAAAUGAACCACGUUUCCAUGUUUGUCGGCCAAAACCUACAAUACCAAUCCGGUGCAACAUCUCAAAUAAGAGAACCACAAUUCUAGUGAUAACGUGCUUAUUGUCCAAAACAGUGUAGAAAAUCAGUACAUACAUCACACAUCAGCAAGACAAUCAUACCUGAAAUUCAAUGUGCCUGGGGUUCUGGAUAUAUCUCUCAAGAUACACACCAUCAUUUCCAAAAGCAGCCCCUGCUUCACUCCUGGCUUGCUGCACACAAAAGAAACAAAAAAAAUUAGGGGAUCUCAUCGUCAUUUGCAAGCACUUCCACCCUCAGACCGCCAAAACCUGGUCAAAAUCGUGUCAAGUCAAAAUUACUCCUCGACACAGUACACAAUUAGUAUACAGCAAGCGCAAACCAGACAAGAUUACAGAGUUUAGCAUCGAUAUUUUCUUUCAAAUUCUUGGAAAGUAGAUAUAAAAUACCUGCAAAAGCUUUACAAACUCUCCAGGCUCAUUUGCAAGUCUCAUUCCACGACCACCACCUCCAGCCGUUGCCUACAUCACAGGACGUGAAAAAGGGGGGCAUUGUUGACUAGAAUCGGGAAUACUAAAGAAGUGGAAGAACAGUCCGGAAGGGCAUGAGCCAUAUUAUUUGAAGUUAAAUUAAGCUGAUAAAUUAAAUAGGUAGAAGUCAAAAAAUUGCUCAGACUUGUACUGAGAAUGCAAGACCAGAUCAGCAUUUGCACUAAAAUGCAACCAUGGAUGAAAAUACAUACUAGGAAUACAUAAAAGUACAAUUGUGAAGUUGUGUCUUUAAGAUAUGAAGCGCAGAUAAAAAAGGAUAAACAUACCUUGAUCAUGACUGGGAAGCCAAUCUCGUGGGCUAAUCGCACUGCUUCCUCCGUGGUCUAUAAAGCAGAAAACAUUUGAGUCAGCGUGAUGGUUACAUGUCCAAGACUGUAAUGCGUCCCCAUAUACCAGUCUGUCCUGACUCAUUAUCAAUCCAUAAUGCACAAUUUAGAACGAAGCACCAACAUAGGAACCCAUCAUGAGACAAUCAUAUCACCUGAAUAAGACCCUCGCUGCCUGGGACAGUAGGUACUCCAGCUGAUUUCAUUGUCUCUCGAGCUGUUGCCUUAUCCCCCAUAACGCGGAUACUAUCUGACUGCGGGCGGUAAAAACUCAUUCAAGAUCAGGAUUCGGUCAAAAUUCUGAAGCGAUGUGUAAAAAUAACAAACCCCACGAGAUGCAAGAUUCCAUUGGCUCAAGAUCCUUGCAGACGGCGAAGAAGCUACAGAAACCAUCAACAUAAUUAAGCAAGGAAAAAAAUAUACAUCAAUGGAAUCAAAAAAACCAAAAUUCAACUCAAAAAGUUAAGGGAGGCUCCUCACGUUCGGGCCAAUGAAAUUGAGACCGUGGUCCUUGCACAUAUCCACGAAGGUCGCAUUCUCCGCCAAGAAACCGUAACCAGGAUGCAACAUGGUGCACCUAUGAGUGAUUGCUGCUGUUAUUAUGUUCGGAAUGUUAAGGUACCUAACCAUACAACAAAAACCACAUAAUUUGGCUCAGCCAACCCAAGUUCACAAGCACACUUACUAAGACGAAAAAUGAAUCGCUUUCACCACACAAGAUAGUGUGUUCCAUCAGAUCGGUCGACCAUUGUCUAAUUCGUUCAUAACUUCAUAUCUACUUCUAUCAAGCCCAUUUCCAUGGCUGGUGAAUGAGCUACAACAAAAGGGCAGUUGAAGGUCCACGACGAUGGAUGCAAAUUGCGGCAAAAGUGCACGGGAAGGCCAAUCACGCAAUUGGAGGAAAGCUGCCAUAAUCCAAAGCAUGACAUAGAUAUGUUCUAGAGGUAAUUGAACGCAGAGCAAAACUUUGCACUCGCGAGUCAAUCAAAUUCAUGAUGACUCAAGCUAAAUAAAAUGAUACAGAAAUGAAGGAUAAGAUCACACUCACGAUUGGCUACUGGGAGCUUCGCCAAUGCAUACAGCUUGAUCGGCCAGCUGGACGUGCAGCGCUUGCCUAUCAAUCGUAGAAUGCACGGCCACGCACGGAAUGCCCAUCUCAUGAGCAGUGCGAAUAAUACGCACUGCAAUUUCACCCCUGUUCGCAACCAAAAUCUUUUCACCUUCACAAGUUGCAGAUAGAGCUCCAUUGCGAGAUUUCGAUUUACCCCUUUUCUCAGCAACUACGGUAUGCUCCAAGGAGAGUGAACCGGCCUGAAAUCUACCGCUGCUGCAUCGCAUGCUCUUCUUAGCAGCUCUCAAAAGACCCGGAGCAUGACCACUGCAUUGACGCUGCACCCCAUUUCCAGAUGCGACAAUGCCACGAGCGCGCUGCCGCAAUCCACCCAACAACCCACAUGAACACCUCAAACCCCCUGACGAUCAUCAAUCACUAAUCCUCAUUAAACUCUACUAACCCAUCACAGCAUCUAAACUCUCUCACACACACAUCAAACGUCUCUAAUCACUAGCACGCCACAUCGAGAACAAAUUCUCAAAACUCUAUACAAACUCCAUUCGAAAGAAAUCGCGGGAAGAAAAACAAAAAAUAACAAAAAAAACAAACAAACCAGCUACCCAAAUGAUCUUUCUCGGUCUGAACGCGCCACAGUAACUAAACCACAAGACCAAGGCUCAAAACAUGACGCGAAGGACAAUGAAACGAAGCGCGCGACGAACCGUGGAGGAGGCGAGCUGCUGGAGGGCCUCCAUGGGGGCAGCAAUGCGGGCGAUGGAGGUGCGGACACACAGGGAAGGAAGGAUGAAGAAGAGAAGAAGAGCUGAAAAACAAGCUGCGAUGACGAGGUGGGAGUAGAGUGAGGAUCAACAAGCGAGACGGCGACACACUCGAGAGAAGCGAAGCGAAGGGAGUAAGUGAGGAAGUGAAGUGGCGAUACUAACGAGGUGGUCCUGAUUCUCCUCCUCGAGGUAAUCGGCGCCAGCCAGACGUCACCCCUCCCUGCCCUACCCCACCAGUCUCCAUCGCCAUCGCCACCAACGCUCCGGCGCGGCGCUGGGCUGGCCUCAUCUCGCAAUUUCCGACGUCGGGGCCUGACUCACUCGCAUCUACUUUUUCGGAGGAAACUGAAUCUUCGGCGGUUCCCCUUCACAUGCAACUACUGCAUUCUACUCACCACUGUUUGUGUCUGUAUUGUGUCACUCUGUGUCUGUUUCAUCACAUGAUUUUGCAUGGUUUUAUAAGGUUUCACCAUGUCCAGCUACUAAGGGUUUUGAAUUUCGUGUGUUCUUUGGAAUAAUUGGAAUUGUUGCGAGUUGUUUGUGAUGUAGUGAAAUUGGAUGCAAGUUUAUGGGUGAGUCAUGCAUUUUGCACGAGUGAUUAUUAUUGGGUCAAAUAAUCUUGUGAUGAGAAAGAACAUUUGAUUUAUGUUGUGUUUGUGGUAUAUUAAAAACACUUGAAUCUGUUGGGUUGUCAAAAAUUAAAAUAAACAAUAAAUAAAAAAAGUCUAUUGAUUUUGGGUUUUUGUAUGAAUUAAUGUGUAGAAUAGAAUUAAUUUUGGUUUUAAAAAUAAAAAAUAAGGAACAGGUUAGCACUUGUUGCUAAAAUUCUUUUAUCUUUUUUACUAUUUAACUUUUCCCUUGUUGUUGAGAUUGAGAAUUUAAUGUCAUCAAAAAAUUGUACACAGCAAAUCUUUAAAGCUGUGCUGGAUUAUCUCAUUGAAUUUACUUCAAAAAUAAAAUUCAUUGAGAUUGCAAAUAAAAUAAAACAAAGUAGUGGUUGAAAAAAAAAGUAAAAAUAAGAUACUUGAAAAUAAUUUGGUACUAAAUAUUAGGUUUAUAUGACAUCAGUUUAAUUCCAAACCCAAUAAACAUUAUUAUCAAAGUUACUUUGAUAACCAUAAAUGUAAAAAUAUAUAUUUUCGAAAAGUGACUGUUAGUUCAAGAAAAAUUAUCACGGCUUCUAAUAAUAUUUUGUGUGUAAAAAAACAAUCCUAAAAUAGCAUAUUGGCACUGCCAUCUCGACUGUUUGAUCAAGCCAACUAAACUCAUCCCAGUAGACAACUUUUGCACUUGAAUGUGGAUAAUAUAUUUCAUAGCAAGUCUAUUUUACACGGGGAAUAUGACGGCUACUAACAGAGCGAUAACAUAACUAUUCAUCACAAGAAACUUUUUUUUCACUCCUAUGAAGGGGCAUAUCCCAAAACGAAGCCUACUGAAAAAUCCAAAAAAUGAGAUCGCAAUUUUAUCCCUGUAAUUGCUUCUCAUUGCAACAGAAUCUGCCGAAGUACUUGACUGACGACGCUUAUAAUACAUCAAGCGCAAACUCAUCAAAAGAAUUAGCACUAGAUUUUGUACUGUUGUCCAUGAUUUCUGAACCAUUCUCCGUGUGCAGCACUCGUAAAGAUUCGAAAAUACUGGAGAUACUGCCAAUCAUCUUCCGAUGCUGGCUGUACAAUGGACAGAAGCACUAGCACCAGAUUCACAAGUGGUAUCGACAGAUCUUGAAUAACUUCGAAAUGUAUACAUAACGCCAGGCUUGGAAGGUCUCCGACUGUGAAAAUCUGAACCGCAUUUCUAAAAAAAAAAACGCUCAGAUUUGUCGAAAUUCGUUCUCCAUCACCAUUCUUCAGGAAAUACAGCCCCCAACCAAACUCAGAUAUAGAGUAUUGCGUCGAAGUUCGUCUCUAACAUAUAGCAUUUCCGUCAUGCAAAUUAACUUCUCCAAAAAGAGCGUCUUCUUCCCUGAAAGAAAUACAUACAGGUCCAAAUAGUCACCUCAUUGUGUUAGUGUUCAUCUAAAUCACUAGCUUACCAGGCUUUCACUAAAUAACUCAUCAAUUAAAAAGGAUCAACAGAUUCACUUUCUCAAUGAAACAAGUCUGCAAAAUGCCAAAAGAGGAAAGGUGCAAAGAGCAGAAUCGUCAAAGGAACUAUUUAAACCUUUCAAGGGUUGCAUUUGAUUCAGCAGAAUGAAGGCCCUUCUCUCCUACUUUUGUAUGAGGUGAACAUUCUCUCAAAAGGUCACCAUAGUUAUAUCCCCCAUUGAUAACUGACAACCAGCAAUCGAUCUACACAAAAAGCUCACCAUGCAUGACUUUCUCAAUGACAGAAUAUGUCUAGUAAAAUGCAAGGCACUUCAAGAGGCACUACAAGGACACAAAACGCUUGUAUCGCGUUCAACAAAAUUACUGCUUGAAACGGACUGCUAGGAUUAUCACCCAGCAUCCAUCCAUAAAUCAAUCUUCUUCACAAAGUACAACAACCCUGCAUAGUAUACUCAAGCUAAUGUCAACUGAUUUGGUUGUUCGGUUAAAUAAAAUGCUACAUGCGGGAUAGCAUGAUAUUCUUGUACAGAAAUAUUACUUUUCAAAUUCACACACCUGAAACUUUAGAAGUGAUGAACAUUCCAGACGUAGGCCAUGACAAGUGGUGAUGUGGAAUGCCGACCACCGAGUAUCGCCUUGAUGAUGUAAAUGGUUUGGGAUGAUGCCAAUAUCCACAAUUUCACUUCUCAUAAUUGUUCCUUGCGGCCUUAAAUCUGCACCAAUGAGGUCUUAUUAGAUUUUAAAACGAUAUCGUCUUCGAUUAAAACCAAAAUGAUGACUACUGAAAAAAGUUGAACAAGGAAAGAACUAGUAGCGAUUCAGUACAUGUCGAAAUCUCCAAUAUGAUUAUUAAUGAGUAGAAUGUGUAUGAACAUUGAAGCCCUGCCAAAACAUGACGAGUGGCUCGCAAAGAGCAUUAUGAUAUGACAAGACUUUGUUUUUUCAAACGUGACCAAAUCACCUCUGUCAAAAACAUGCAGGAAAUAACACGUAAGCAGGAGACUGAUGUUAACCUGUUGCCCGUAGGAAGAAGCAAAUAGAUGAUCCGCGAAUGACAACAAAGCGCAGCAACCAGUCAUCAACAUCCGUGUCAUCCACAGAUGUUUCCAUUGACAAAGCUGUCCAUCUCUACAAAACAACACAAUAUUUUUUUCAUAAAAAUGCUUUCCAGUUUUCUGCUCAGUACACGCUUCUAAGACGUCUGAUAGGAUGAAGAGAAACUGUACAAUUUUCAACCAUACGUGGCUCUUUUUCAAAAACAUGAGUGCAUACAUGAACUAACUUUCACUACAAUUACAACUAUAAUAAACUUCAAGCCCAUUUUUCUUGGUCGCAAAUUGAAAUAAAUAUGUACUCAAUACAUAAACUCCUGAACAUAUAUGGUUUCUUAUUAUGCGAACUUACUGUCCGUGUGUGGAGAUAGCAGGAAAGCUGGGAGGUCCGUAGAACUUCAUCAACAUGAUCCAAUCUGCAUAAAGAUGUCGAACAUAAGUGACAUUGUUUUGUAUCAAAGACUACAUCUCGCAUGAAAAAUGUAAUCCAGUUUUCCAAUCUAUUAACAAGGCUGCUGAUUUCGGAUGCAACCACAGGACAUCACCCCUUGACGCAGAUUUCUGAAUUCGACAUAACUAACAGGUUCAUUUUGAUUCAUACGGGAGAUCGUCACACAUAAGUUACGACAGCUUAUAAACAAUUACAUGAAAUAACAUGCUAUUGAUUAGUUUGCCUAUAUGUAGCAACCACCGAAGCAAUUAUAAACAUACUGAGCGAGAUGUAAGUUUUCCCUCUCUUCAGCACCCACGAUUUCUCCGCGCAAAUGCUGCACUUCUCUUGCGAGAGCCUCUUCCUGAGAUUAACACAAAAGACCAGAAUUUCAGGUUAUUUUUUAAGUUACAGUAUCCUAAAUUGGAAUAAAAGAAAAUCUUAUCACCAAUAAUCAACAAAUAGCCAGUAGGAUUAACCAUUAGCCUCUUUAAUGUGGCUGCCCCGUUUUGUUAUCAAGAACAACAAUUAUCAAGGUCACGGCUACAUCAGGAAAAUUAACCUGGUCAUCUUUUCCCCACUGGAUUCUUGGCAUUUUCCAUUGUUUUAGAGGAGAAAAUGAUGUUUCGUAAUUGUCUUUGAAAUAUGAACUUUUGUCCGAUCUGAUUCCAAGCAAUACGCAUUUCUAAAAAGCAUCAGGACAAAGCCAUCAUCGUGGAGAACGAUUGGAAAAGUCGGGGAAGUGGACAACCAGAGGCCAAGAGGUGAAGAAUGAGGCCAAAACAGAAGGACGCGCAAGAUUUCUAAAUAUACUGAGGUUCAAUUGAAAGUUUUAUAUAUAUAUAUAUGUAUAUAUAUAUAUAUAUAUAUAUAUAUUAGAAGCUAACAAAUUCCAUAACUGCAUGUAACCGACUUCCAUACCUCGCACUUUGCGGUGUCCCAGGUGGUGUGGUGCAGCUAGGUGUACUUUUGACCUUGACGUGAUUUGGCCAAGACACCAGAGGGCGUUCACCUUGAGUCAUUAGCCACCGUCUGGCUAACUGUAACACCGAAUGCUGCUUCAAGUCAAAACCAACUACUACUGUAAACUACUGGCCUGAUACUUAUUGGAGAUAAUACACCUGCAUUAGAAUCGAAGAAUUGACCAAUAACAGAGGACUCCAAAGGAAGUUAGUAAACUUGAACUUCAGUUAUCAAAAUGCAAUGAUUGUCUUCUCAAACAGACAACAAUCUUAUAUAUCAGAGUUUGACUGGGCAUUAUUAAAAAAAAAAAAAAAAAAAAAAAAAAAAAAAAAAACCUUCAGUAAGAGCCAAUCUUGAUCAGUCAUAACAGCACAUGCCUGAUGACUUCGUUGCAAGGUUAGUAGGCCCAAACCAUCAAUCCCUUCACUUGUAAAUUUGCCGGAAAUCUCUGUUUGAAUACCACAGAUUAAUUAGAAACUCAAUCUAAAAGCAAUGCGUGCAGCGGUGAAUCUGAAAGCAAAUUUUCGAAGCAUGGAAUCCGUGCGUGCCGAUCGUCAACAUUGCUCCUUUUUUUCAAUGCGUGCUGUGGCAUCAACUCACUACUCUUACAUUUUUAAUCUGAAUCAAUUCAGGGACUUUCAGAGAUUAUAACAUAGACGAACUACCUUCAAUCGAUUAGGCUCUGCCAGCACAAUAUGCUGCAACUAAACAUUCACUUCCUCAACAGACCAUUGAAGUACAACAGUAAUCUGAUCGGGAAGUAACGAAGGCAAAAGCAACUGUGAUGUGUCAACAAUCCACGAAUCGUCUUGUAACUUGCCGUGUUCUUCCACAGAAAGAGUCUGCAAAGGGGCUACGAUGCCAGGCGUUCCUGCAAGAAAUUCAUAGCAUUAAAUAAGGAACAAUCUACGGAAACCUAAAACUGACGAAAAGACUGGCGUGUAUAAUUUCUACAUGCGUGCAGAGCAGCGAUCACAAUGCGCGUAACAUGUAUAUGAAACAUUCAUAUUAAAAAUAAUAUGAAAAUGAAAAAAAAAAAAAAAAAAAAAAAAAAAAAAAAAAAAAAACUAAACUAAACUAAACUAAAAAACUAAAAAACUAAAAACUAAAAACUAAAAUAAUUAAAAUCAAAAAAUAAAACCAGAGGCGAUGUCAAUAAAGAUUCAACACUACUGGCGACAGUUAUAGUCUGGUUCCUCUAAUAUCGCCUCAUCUCACACGCGCUUACUCAAACGGAUCAGAUGUAGAAAAGCUACACGACGGAUUAUUAUUCCGUUAAUUCGACAAAGAUGGACAGCCGAUUCCCAAACUUCACAUCCUUACACAGAAAACCCCCGACAAGCAAGACGCACCAUGAAUCCCGCUCAAAACCUCGUUUCGGCACCAAUCCAACUCAGUAUGCCAGAGUAAACGUCCUACUCAAAUGCAGCGUCUCCACAAACCGCCGCGAGUAAUGAAGCCCUGUACCUGAGAGAACGACAGCUCAUUCUUCAAUGUCAUCGAAGCUUGUUCUCGCCCUGUUACUCCUCCCCCUUGGCACCGCCACUCCCUUUCUCUCUCCCUCUCUCCCACGCCCUCCGAACACUCAGCCUGAUAACUCACCACUCGUCAGUUCAUCGCAAGCGAGCCCUCCCGCUUACACGCGCCGGUGAAUACGAAUAAAACCAGGAAUUAAUCUUUCUUUGGCAACAUAUUCCCUCCUCUCCUCCUCGCCGUUCCUUGUAGGAUAAGAAGGGUGCAGCAGCCACACGGAUUAUUGAGCCUGAAAGUGCUUGGACUCGCAUUUCUGUAUUCUGCAGUGAAAAGGCGCAAUCCUCGAGGUUGAAAUUCCAAUACUGGCACACACCUGCUUCAACAUUCAGACGAAGAAUCUGCCAUUUCAAGUUACGGGAAUAGCGCAAAUGUCGACAAAAACGUAUUUGCGUACGUCUCACAUGCGCGUUACUCUCGGGUUUGAAGAAUUUGGAUGACAACAAGUCCGGAUGGAUGGAUGGAUGGUCGUGUGGAUGAAUGAAAAUGUGGGAGCAUUCAUUUGACAUUUUACGUUGAAUUAUUUAUGAGAGUGUGGCUUCAAUACUUCUUGUAGAGGUCUUGAAGCCACUUUUAAAAACAUCUUUGCAAAGAAUAAUAAAAUAUUGCUCUUUGAUGGGUUUCGAAUAAUUCUCCACUUCACAUAGAGUAUCUCUAAAGGUCCUUUGUACUGCGAAAAAAGAUAAGCUUUAUUCUUCCAUCAAUGAUUCUUUCACAUGAAACAAAAUCAAAGGUUUAACUCAUAGUGGUUAUUUUAAAGUUUCAUUUUCAUUGUCAACGACAUUGUGAAAUCUAGUGUUAUUUCAAUUAGUCUUUAAGUUGUUGUUUGAAAUUAAUCAGCAAUCAUUCAUUUAAAAAUAAACUAGAAUUGAUUAAUUCAUUCAUUUCAAUAAAUAUCUGGAGGUUUUUUUGUAUGCUCAAAAAAAGUGAUCAACUCAACAUAUAUAUAUAUAUAUAUAUAUAUAUAUAUAUGUUCAUAUGUAUUAAAUAUCACGGUUCAUUUAACAAAGAAUUCAACAUGAGUUCUAUUAUACGUAGAUGUAGUAUUUUUUAGCUCAGAAACAAUAUUUCCAAUAUUUUUACAUAUUGAUAACCAGCCAUCAAAUGCAUGAAGCUAAUUAUUUCUUAGAUAAGUUAGAAAGUAAACAUAAUUUUAAAUGUUAUUAGACCACUCAUGAGGAACUUAAAAAGUACAGUGCACAAGUUUAAAAUGUUAAAAGCUGUAUUAAAAAUAAACUAAAAAUAAUGUAUACAAGUAUUGAACAUAUCUGAAAUAAUUAUCCACGAAUUUUCAUUGAAUAUAAUAAACAAAUAAAUAAAAUUGACCUCAAUAGAAUAAUCCUGUGUGAAAACACUACACGUAGCUAAAGUCGAAUUUACUACUCUAAAAAAUAAAAUUACUAUGUUUCAGUUGUUUCUGAGCUAUAGGCGCCAUGAAAAAUAGUAUAUCAAAACUCUGAAUGCCAGUAAUAUGACUUUUUCUGAUUGAAGAUGAAUCAAACAAAUCCAUUAAUAAUAAAAUUGUUCUGAUGUGUGAUUUCAGUAUGAAUUGUUGAUUUAUUUUUAUUUUUAUUUUUUCCUGAAUAAAACUUGGUUAAUUUUAAACCAACUCUGAAAGAUAAAACAGCAAGUCGUUGCUCCCAAGACUGAAAAGGCUGCACCAUGAGCAUGAGCCCUACUUUUCUAUUCUGUGGGGUGCUGUUCAAAUCAAACCUUUAAGCCACCUUGUUGAAAAACAUUGGGAACCACGCUCUCGGCACUGCACGCAUUUCGAGUAUUGCUUUUUGACAUAUUAUCCAUAUCAAAUAUUGACAUUUGUUACACAUGCCUUCUUCUUCUGCUUAUUGAUUUCUUUCAUCAAGUUGGGUGCUUGACUUAUCUCGAUUUCAGAAAGUAUGCAUGGUAACAAGUGAAACGUGUGUAUAAUUACAGGAAGUACAUGAGACCAUGUAUUUGUUCAUAAUAUUUAAUAUGAUACAAUCCUGUCUGAAAAUUAAUCUUUUCCAUUUCUUUCUUUAGAUUUCAAUCCAUUCUAGUGACAUUUGAAUUUUCCUGUUUUCGGACUAAAUCAUUAUAGAAACUUCUGAAUCUUAUGAUUUAUUUAAUUAUUUUUGUUUAUUUAAUCUAAUAAAAAGUACCACAGAGUCUUUUGUGGCAAUCACUGAAUUAUUUUAGCGAAUAGUUCUUCUUCUUCUUCUUCUUAUAUAUAUAUAUAUAUAUAUAUAUACACACACUGGUAACAAUUUGAUGGUUUAUUGAUAUUGUGCAAGAAAGUAGGGAAAUUUCGGUAAAAAUGAUUAAAUUAUGCAUGUGAGAAACCAAAUAUGGAAAUUGAAGAUUCUUCCACAGAAUCACAUCAGUGUAGAUUGCAAAUAGAUAUUUUGUAGCAAAAGGAAGGUAUUAUUUAAUUAAGAGGUGUGAACCAAUUUUAUUGAGAGAAGAAUAUUGGCAAGUGCUGGGUACGGAUUUUAAUAAGAAUUUUGGACUCGUUCUAAAAAAUUCUCUAAAAAUGUAAAAAUAGAAAUAGCAUCUGAAACGAAUAUGGCAUAAAUAAACAUUCAGUUUAAGUGAAGAUGGCGUAAAUAAACAUUCAGUUUAAUUUUUGAAAUAAAUCCUGGCUUGUGUCAUCACCCAUCUAGUGUUUUUUUUGUGACAAGUUAAGUUCAGGAGGGAGGGAGGGAGGGAGCAACAACCAUUUCUCAUUUCUUGCUCUCUAGUCUUCGGCAGGUGCCACUUUUCUGCUAGAAAGUUGUGGGAUGCAUCAUUUAUACAUAGUACAAUACAGAUUUAAUUAUUUAAUUAUUUUUAUGUUUCUUCACUUCCUGGCCACAUUCAUCAUGUCAAUUCUCCUGUGCCUUAUUGAUUUUUGACUUAAAAACAUUUCCACAAAAUUCUUCGCAAUUUGUGGUACUUCUCUAUUUUUAGCCUCCGCUGGUGCAUACACAUUGGUUAGUAGAUCGAACUGUCGGUAUGGCUUUUCAUCCAUCCACGAAUUCAUUUGUUCAUGCUCUGCCCACGUUCAGCAACCAUUGUAUAGAGUCUCUCUCCCAGUUCAGUGAAGUGGGUUUGGGUGGCGUCAGAUCGCGGGAAUAGUUGCGGCGGUGGUCGCGGCACCGCGGAUUGUAAGUUCAAGCAACGGUUUCCACGAAGGGAGGCACAGGACAGCUGCAGCCGUUUUCGGUUUCUCGUUGAGUUAUGCUUUCAAGGCGUAAUAGUAUUCGGGGUCGUGGCAGUGUUGUGGAUUGUGCUCGGACGUCGGAGGUUGUGGGAGGAGUUUGUCUUGUUUUCCUUCUGAUUUCUUUUUGUGUUCUUAUGCGUUUCAGCUCUUUAAUCGGGGUUGUUUGUACCACUGGUGGAAAAUGCGGUCAGGGUGACAUUGGGGUAACUCCAAAGCCGUUCGUGCUUUUUGAAACUAGCUGUGGCGCUGUAGCGAAUUGCCUAAUCGAUGUUCUCACCAUAGCCAACUCUUCGAAUGGGAAACUCUUUGCACUGACGAUCAUCACAUAGUUGGUUUUUAACUUUUGUACAGGUGGGUAUUGUCUGCUAAAUUACGGGAAUUGAGACAGCGUGGUACAUUUCAAAGGCGCUAUGGCAGAGUACCUGCUGCAUGGAACUUUGCUAAUCAAAAUCUAUGGUGCUGAGGAAAUUGUGACACAAGAUCGCAAGACGGGUAAAGCUCCUGGGUUUAUCCGAAUGGUUCGUCUCGGCACCAAACCCUUCAACUCCGCACCAGCCUAGAGUUCUUGUAUUAGAUCAUUGGUAACAUGGGCAGUGUAUGUGCUCCGAGGGUUCGCUGAUCAUCCGAUUGCAUGCUCCAAUCAUUUGAGGGGUAGCCUUUGUUGGACCCAGAGGUUUGGUGCAGUGAGAGCCGAUGUCGUGGUUAAUUUUACAAGUGACAUACUUAUUUCACGUGCUAAAUCAACUAUGAUGAAAUUGUAUCGGCAGGUUGUUCAGACUUCGGAAAACUUACUCGGAUUUGGGAAAGGAUACAGUCAAUAUUACGCUACCGUGGACUUGGGAAAAACUAGAGUUGGGCGGACGCGUGUUCUAGAAGGUAAUUUCAAAGAUCCGGAAUGGAACGAGACAUUCAGCAUCUUCUGCGCACACACUGUCUCUCAUCUGGUGGUUUCCAUCAAGGAUGCUGCUGUUGUGGGUACUGCUGUGAUUGGCCGAGCACGCAUUCCCGCAAUCGAUCUCCUCUCAGGCACUUACUUUUCUCACUUUCAAGAGUUUCUAUUGAAAAUUACCAAUUAUUGCCCUAGUCUUUUCGUCUCUUACAGUUUUAGGACUUACAUAGUACAUUACGAUUAUAAGCUUUGCAGCUCAUAAUAAUCAAUGUUCACUUCAAUUGUCCUCCACAGUAUAUGGAAACGUGUGUAUAAUUUAUGCUAAGAUUAAUAUGGGUCGGCGAAGGUUUGGUUAUUGCUGUUGUACUUGGUGCGAUGCAUAUUGUUAUAUCUAUGGCUGUAGGAUCGACCUUCAUUCACUAUCAUUGGCGCUCCUUUUUAUAUUGUAGACAAUCAUGUGUGCACUGGUUGUGUCGAUGACAACAUUUUUUGUUCUAGCAGGCAAACAAAUCGAAGACUGGUACCCUCUUCAUAGUGACUCAACUGGUCAUCUCGAUGGUGCACGAUUACGGUUUUCUGUACAGUUUACUAGGGCUAUUGAAGACCAAUAUUGGGGGAAGGGUAUUCUAGAUCGACAGAAUCCAGGUUUGCCGUUUAGCUAUUUUCCUCAAAAAAAAGGGUGCCGGGUUACACUGUACCAGGAUGCUCAUGUGACCGACAACUUCCUACCUCCUAUUUACCUGGGCCACGAUCAGAUUUACCAGCCAUGUCGUUGUUGGGAAGAUAUGUUCGAUGCAAUUCACAACGCAAAGCAUAUAAUCUACAUCACAGGUUGGUCAGUCUACACUGAGUUCAAACUUUGUCGAGAUCCUCAGAGAGUGGUGCCAGGUGACGAGGGCUUGACUCUGGGAGAACUGUUAAAGAGGAAAGCUGACCAGGGAGUGCGAGUGAAUUUGAUGGUAUGGGAUGACCGAUCCUCGAAUUGGGGAAUAAUGGGUCAAAUGGCCACCCAUGAUGAAGAGACAGCGAACUAUUUCAAAGGCACCGGAGUAAAUUGUUUUUUGUGUCCAAGGAGUGGUUAUAGCAAAUCGACUGUACUGCAGACAGUAAAAACUGUAGUAAUGUUCACACAUCAUCAGAAGUCCUUGAUCGUUGAUGCAAGUAUGCCAAGCGACUGUAUCACAUCGCAAGAACGAAGGUUGGUAAGUUUUGUAGGAGGAUUGGACCUUUGCGAUGGUCGCUACGACGAUCAGUACCAUUCUUUGUUUCGUACCCUUGACACGGUGCACAGCACGGACUUCCAUAAUGGUGGCUUUGCAGGUGCUUCCAUUGAAUAUGGGGGACCUCGUGAGCCUUGGCAUGACAUACAUUGUAAACUGGAAGGCCCAAUUGCUUGGGAUGUUCUCUACAACUUCGAACAGAGAUGGAGAAAACAGGCUGGAGAGAGUUUAGAGCAUUUGCUUUCUCCUGAUGCCAUUGAGCGUGGCCUACUUCCUAUAGCUGUCACACUUGAGGAUGAUCUCGAAACUUGGAAUGUACAACUGUUCCGCUCCAUAGAUGCAGGUAUUAGUCUGUCGUCAUACCGUAUAGAUCUUUGACGUCUUGUAAACGUUUCUACAGAAUUAGCUAAAUGUGAUAGUUUCUGAUAACGUAUAUUUUUUAUUUGGUUGGUGCAAGUUCUCGCACCACUUCAUGAGGCCAUCAAGGGCUGCAACUCGGAUUCUUAGCUCAUGAGAAGCUUAUUGGACCCGCUACCGUACCCAGCACAUGGUAUAAGAUUUUGUGUACACCUCACCUGCUACUUAAAAGUGAAGAUUGGAUCUGUUAAUUCGACCUGUUGGAUGAAUGCAGGUGCUGCUUUUGGUUUUUCAGAUGAUACUGAAAAAGUUGCAAAAUUGGGCUUAGUAAGCGGGAAAGAUAACACCAUCGACCGAAGUAUUCAGAACGCCUACAUCCAUGCCAUCAGAUGUGCAAAGAACUUCAUUUACAUAGAGAAUCAAUACUUUGUGGGCAGUAGUUUUGGCUGGGAUUCCAGCCAGGAGGUUGGGGCUAACAACCUUAUUCCCAUGGAGCUUGUUCGGAAGAUUGCGAGUAAAAUUGAAGCUGGCGAACGAUUUUCGGUUUAUAUUGUGAUACCUUUGUAUCCUGAAGGCUAUCCUAGCGGUGACGCUGUCCAGGCAAUUCUGCGAUGGCAGCAAAAAACGUUUCAAAUGAUGUACAAAGAGAUAGCAAAUUCAUUGCGUUUAAAAAAGAGAACUGACCUGCACCCCAAGGACUAUCUUAGUGUGUUUUGCUUAGGAAACCGCGAGACUAUUCUGCCGAACGAAUAUGCACCAACGAGCACACCUCAGGACUUAUAUUAUAAAUCUGCCCAAGAGAACCGUCGUUUCAUGAUUUAUGUGCAUUCAAAGAUGAUGAUAGGUAAGCUCUUACAUCUUCGACCUUCACUUAGAGUUAUUUCUUGGAUUUUCUGUGUGGAGAUUCUGAACCGUAGAGCUAUCUGGCAGUUAAAGAAUACAAUUCCUUCCCCUAAUAUACCCCACUUCUAGCACUGUUUUUUUUUAUCUUUUCGUGGAAGUAUACGGCAAGUCGACAGAAACCAUGCUGUACAAAGUUAUCACUUUUCCACUUUAAGAUGGCUUCAUGUGCUAUGAGUAUUUGUUCUCAGUUACGUUUCUUGCAGCGGCAAGAAUUCCAUCAAAACUAUUUGGUGUCUUCUAUUCUGCUCCAAGGCCAGCAGGUUUGUUUAAGAUGCAUUUCACGGUGUUCAUCAAUCGUUUGUCGAUUUCUUCUCAUGGCAAUGUGUAAUUUUUGCCUGCAGUGGAUGAUGAGUACAUCAUAGUGGGUUCUGCCAACAUCAACGAGAGAUCCCUGAACGGUUCGCGUGACUCCGAAAUUGCCAUGGGAGCUUACCAGCCAUAUUACCUUGCAACGAACAGCCCCGCAACUGGUCAGAUCCAUGGUUUCCGUAUGGCGUUGUGGUUUGAACACAUGGGUUACUUAGACAAUUACUUUCUGCACCCAUCGAGUUUGGAGUGCAUUCGCAAAGUGAAUCACCGGGGGGACGAGCUUUGGAGUAUGUUUUCUCAAAAAGAUGUGGUUGAUCUCCCUGGACAUCUCAUGACGUAUCCAUAUUCUAUAGGUCGUGAUGGAUCCGUUUCAGAGCUACGUGAUGCUGAAUACAUUCCUGAUACCACUGAUGCCAAAGUAUUUGGUCGCUCGUCGUACAAGCUCCCUGUUACGAUAACUUCUUAAAAUUUUGUUCCUUUUAAAGCAUGUAUAUUGUGCGGGUUCAUGCCUCUGGCUUCAAGUCCUUUCAUCAUCAAAGCAUUCUACACAGAAGUAGCGGUACCAGAUUUCCCUCCAGUUGUGGGGACCUUUAAAAGCAGGCUUGAGAUUCGGAAAUAGUUCAAUUGGUGUAAUACGUGAGGAUGCACUGUUCAAACCGUUAGCCGCAUGUAGUCAUGCCAAGUAGCCGGCUGCAUUACCUGCUUAGCUGGGAGUAACGGAGGUAACUUGAGGAGGUUGGUAGUGUUGAGUUCUGUUUGACUAGGACCAAAACUUUGCUUCUUCCCUCAACUGCUUCAGCAACUUAGUUCUGUACAAUGUAGGCUUGUGAAUACGAAUAGAGUUUGUGAAUCAAGGCCACCAGGUUUUAGGUUGCUGAUCCUGAUAGUUGCUGCAGCUCAAAUUGCAUAGCACUCAACAAUGUAUCUUGCCAAAAUGUUGUGUGCCCUCGACCACUAGCUGUAGGAUAUUAUUGAAAUGCUUAGACAAGUGUUUCAUAAGUAUAUUACUUUACAUAUUAUUUCAUAUACUAGAAUCACCCCAUAUUUACUAAAUUUUUUAUCCAACCAGAUUCAUUCCUCCAUCAACUGUGGCUGCCCAAACGCUGCAAUUUCAUGUGGUGCCUAAGCAAGGCACUUCUACAUGCUGCCCACGUUGGACAGCCAGAACCCUGAAGGCAAUCUUCAUGCAACCAAAAGCCAAUCUUAGAGUUGGGCAUUUUGGAUUCAAAUUUGAAGACUCUCAAAAGCCAAUCUUAGAGUUGGACAUUUUGGAUUCAAAUUUGAAGACUCUCAAUUAAAUUGAAAGGCAACGCAUCCAAUAGAAUGGCUAUUUCUGUUGUCCUUAACAGCAACUGUGUGGGCCUCGUUUGGAGCAAGAGCUAAGACUUCUUGGUUGUGGUCAUCCAAUUUAAGUUCGUCUUUGUUCCUACCAAAUUGAUGUCUUUUCCUAACCAUGCUGCAUGGUUGUGCUAGUUUGUUGUGGGGGCUAAGGAAGACUCUCCCCCUUCUUUCUUUAUGUUUUGUUUUGUUUUGUUUUCUCUGCCUCCUUUAUUUUGAAAGUUGAGAUGGGAAGAGACAGGGUGUUUUAAUGGUAAAGAGGUUUUGUCCAUAUUGGCACACAACACCACAUAUACAAGCAGAAGCAAUUGAUUGAACAAGUGUUGAAAAGACUUAUUACAUUGGUGGAAAAAAAAUCAAAAAAUCAAAAAUAAAAUAAAGAAAUAUUUUAAAAAAUAUAGUGAAAUAGAUAAAAUUUUAAACUCUUGAAAAUUUCAAACUUGAAUAUACAUUUUCUAAUAUGUUAAUAGACUACACAUAUUAUCCUUGUACAAAAGUCUCAUAUUAAAGUGUUGUAGAACAUAUUAAAGUAUUGAAUAGGAGAGUUAUUAAAGCCAAACCUCCUUGCCAUUUCAUCAUUGAUUCCAUCUAUUCUCAUCUUUGUCACGUUAUUCCAACCUCCACUCAUUUAUUCCUAACCUUCUUUCCUUGUUUUUUGUCCCUUAUUCUUUGUUCUUUCAUUCUUUGUCUCUUAUUCUCUAUUCUUUGUUCCCAAAUCCAUAUUCUCUAUCUCUAUCCCUUGUUUCCAACUCCCAUUCAUUUGUUUCUAACUCUGUUUUUUUGUUCUUUGUCCCUUAUUCUUUGUUUUCCAUUUCCAACUCCAUAUCUCCCAUUUCUUGUCUUCUAUUCCAAAUCACCUCGUUUAAGAGGUUUUUUCAAAUAAACAUUUUGAAUGUUAAUUAAGAAAAAUUGUAUAUGUCACUAAAGAAAAAUUCUAAAGUAUUAUUGAAAAAUUAUUGAUAGUAAAAAUAUGCUUUUAAUUUCAAUUCUUUCUUUUGGAUUUCCACUACAAUAGUCAAUAAAAUUUUGUGAAAUAUAUAUUUGGGUGAAAGAAGCUAAAUCAAAAUUUAAAUUUAUUUAAAUUUUAAAAAUCAAUUAUUGCCACAAAAAUGAUAAAUUUAUAGAUUUUUUUAUAUUAAAUAAGGUGGUUUGAGGUAAAAUAUGGAAUAUAGAGGAUAUAGGAUUAGAAAAAAGGGUUGAAAAUAAAGAACUGUGAAUAGAUGAUAGAGACACAUGAUGGACGAAAUUAAUCAUGAAAUAGCAAAGAAGAUGUGAUUUUAUCAACUCUCUUAAAUAUAAUGAUUUACAACUAUAUAUAUAUAUAUAUAUAUAUAUAUAUUACAAAUACACUACAUAUGAUAUCAAAUAAGAAGCUAAGCCAAAAAAAUUCAACAUAAAAGCAAACAAGAACUUGAUUAAAUUAAAUAAAUACAAGAUUAAUACCAAGAAGGUGAGCUAGUGUUCCAAGAGAUGUAUUAUUGAGAUUGAGGAUCCCUUUAGCCUUGGAUCUAAUAUAUACCAAGUAUUCAAAAACUUCUUAAGAAGUUUUUAUAUUGCUUGAAGAUGAAGUAAUCUUAGGAAGCUUCAUAAGAAGUUCCAAUAUUACUUGAAGAUUAAGCGAUCUUAAGAAGCUUCAUAAAAAGUUCCUAUAUUACUUGAAAAUGAAGCAAUCUUAAAUAAACUUCUUGGCAAGCUUCAUAAGAAGUUUUCAUGUUGCUUGAAGAUGAAACAAUCCUAAGAAGGUGCUUAGAUAACUUCCUUAGUUCUCCUAGAACUUUGUAAAACUUGCCAAAGUAUUUUAAGAACAUUCUAAGAAUCUUUUAAAAAUAUUUUUAGAAUCUUUUAAAAUCUAUUAAAAUAUUCUAAAAAUAUUUUUAAAAACUUCUUGUUGGAUGUUCAUAAUAUUAUAUCCUCUUCUAACUCCGAGUUCUACAAGGAAUAUUGAUUUUAUAUUUAAUUUUUUAUGAUAUAUACAACAUCUUAGCAAUAGCUUCGUAAAGAAGUCAUUCUAAAAUAGAUUUGGAUUUUUGUAAAAGGUACAAGAGUUUCAUAGAUGAAUUUGGAUUUGAAGAUAACAUCAAUGAAACUCUUGUACCUUUUAAAAUGUAUUAAUUAGAUUUUUUACUAGUUUCUAUAUAUGCUCAUGGAUAUUAUAGCUACAUCAAUGAAUAAAAUAUUCUAACUUAGCUUUUUUUUUGUCAUGAAUCAAAGAUCUUUUCUAUCUUAUUUUUUACAUGAUUAUCUAUUUCAAUACAAGAUAGUGAUGGUUGUAUUCUUUUUGGAAUAGUUGAUUUUGAAUAAGCCUCCAAGAAAGAAAAAUGAAAGACAUAAUUUAUCUUUAUAGAUUUACAUAGUUUCAACCAAUAAGCUAGUACAUUGAUUUACUUUUGAAUACAAAAUCGCCCUAGUCUUUCGUAAUCUAACUUAUUGUAAGACUGAUUGAUCUUGAUAUUUUAACAAAAAAACCAUACUUUAUUUCUAACUUAAAAAUUAAGGAAUUCUUUUCUAAAUUUAUCUAAAGAUGCUUUAUAAGAAUCUUGAGUUGCUUGUAAAUUGACCCUCAAAGUUGUUUGGAACUGUGACAAUUAUUUUGCAAGAUCUUCAAAUCUUGGAUUUUCAUCUUUUAAUAUACCUAACAAAUUAAACUUUGGAUACUAACCAUAUUUAGAAUAGAAUGGUGUUUAUUAAAUCAAAGCAUAAAGGAUAUUAUUAUGAAUAAAAUUUACUAAAGAUAAUACAAGGUCCAAUCAUCUUAUUGAUAGUUGAUAAUAUAUUGCAAAUAUUGCUCCAAAACUUAAUUGACUUGUUCUAUUUGACAAUUUAUUUGAGGGCAAAGGACAAAGGAAAGUUUGAUAUCCACCUUCAAUAUCUCAAAAAAUGAUGUCUAAAACUUUGAUAUAAUUUGAGAUCUUUGAUAAAAAAUAAUGUUAUCAAAUAGGCCAUGAUAUCAAUAUAUAUUAUAAAAAACAAGCCUUAUCAUUUCUUUUCCAAAAAUUACCUUUUUUCAUGGAACAAAAUAUGCCAUCUAUGUAAGUUGAUACUUAAUAAUGUAAAUAGCAUCAAUUUUAGCUAAUGGCAAUAAAUCAAUAAUGAAAUCCAUUGAUAUUAAAGACCAUAGUUGCUUUGGAAUUGAUAGUGGUUAUAGAAGUCCAUAAAGAUGAUGUCAAAAAUUAUUGGAUCUUGAACAAAUAUUACAAGAGAGGACAAAAUCCUUUACAAUCUUUCAUAUUUUAUACCACCAAAAAUCUCAAGAGAUAAGCUUUAAUAUUUAAUUAAAUCCAAAAUGUCCCACAAUUAAAAAAUCAUGAUAAGAUUGAAGAAUACAAAAUCAUGUCAAUCCACAUAGAAUAUAUAAAUAAUCUUCAAAAUACAAAAGAUCUUCUACAAACUUAAACUUAUUGUUGUUAGGGCAGUGAUUGAUAUUAUAAACUAAGUCCUUAGUUGAUGCUACAUUAAUUUAUUGAAAAAAACUAGAAUCAAUAGGUGUAACCAUAGAAGUAGUACAUAGACAAAAUUAUUCUAGUUUUAAAAGAAUAGUAUAUUGUUGAUUAAAGGCUCUUUCUCUAGUCUUCAGAGUAAGAUAUGAUCUCUUUUAUAAAGCAUCUAAUAGUACUUGUUAUUUUUCUAGUUAAUAUAUAAUCACAAAAUCAAAACAAAAUAGUGACAUAUUCCAAUAAGCUUGAUUGUAAUUCAAAACCAAAACUGAUAUGAAAUACUCCAAAUUCUUGUGAUUUGUAAAUGUAAUCAUAAGAUACAUAGCAUCUUUUAACAAGUGAUGCCAUCAUUGGAAAGAGUCUAUAAUUACAAAAAUUUCUUUAUCAUAAAUUUUAUAAUUGGUCUUUGUAGUUGAAAAUCUUUUAAAAUAGAAAGCAACUAAGUAGAGCUUCUCAUCUUUUUCUAUUUGUGAUAGUACAACUUUUAAUACAAAGUUGGAAGUACUAAUUUCCAAAUAGAAGAUCUUUGUGAAAUUUGGAUGCAAUAAAAUUGGAGCUAUAGUAAAAACUGACUUCAAAUCUUGAAAAGCCUUUUUUGCUUGAGGUCCCUAUAUCAAUUUAUCAUAGGAUGUCAACUGAGUGAAAAGAGCAAUAACUUGGGAGUAAUUCUUCAUAAAUAUUUAGUAAAAAUUAACAAAUCUAAGAAAAUAUUAUACAUUCCAUAUUGUCUUUGGAUUUGCUUACUUUAUUACAGCUUGAACUUUCUUUGUAUCUAUCAAUAGACCUUUAUUAGAUAUAAUAUAUCCAAAAAAUUCUACUUUUGGUUGAUAGAAUAUACAUUUCUCCUAUUUGGCAUAUAAUCUUGUAUCUUGUAAUUUUUACAAAACUAACCACAUAUGUUCUUCAUGUUCUUCAAGAGACUUAGAGUAGAAUAAGUUAUUAUUAAAAUAAAAAAUAACAAACUUAUCUAAGAAUUCUCAAAAAAAAUCAUUCAUCAAAUAUUAGAAUUUAGCUAAAGCAUUUGUCCAUCCAAAAGAUAUGACAAUAUAUUCAAAAUAUUCAUACCUUGUCUAAAAUGAUGUCUUCCAUUCAUCUCUUUUUUUAAUCAACGCCAAAUUAUAUGUUGAACAAAGAUCUAUUUUGGUGUAGAUCUUAGCUUGACUGAGUUGCUCUAAAAGUCUUGAUAUCAAUGCUAAUGGAUAAUGAUUUUUAUCAUUAAUUUAUUAAGACUGCAAUAGUUAAUACAUAUUUGCAAAGAUCUAUCUUUUUUCUUCAUGAAAAAUAUUGGUGCACCUGUUAGAGAUUUGGAAUGUUGAAUAAAGUUUUUUUAAAGAUUUUUAUUGAUGUAAUUCUUCAAUGCCAAAAGCUUAUUCUAUGAUAGAUUAUAGAUUGGACCAAAUGGUAGUUGAGCCCUUUUUUGAAGAUUAAUGGUACAAUCAUACGGUUGAUAUUCUAGCAAUAUGUGAGUAUUUUUUUUUUUUUUUUGAAGACAUCUUGAAACUCUUUGUACUACUUUGAGAUAUCUAUUAGCAAGCUUGCUUCUUCACAAGCUAAAAUUGCAUAAAUAACAGAUGACAUUUCCUUCUUUGCCAUCUUCAUAAAAGUCCUUGCUUUCAAAAAUAAAGGCUUUUUUGUUGAUGACUUCAUGAUAGGUUUUGUCCAAGAAGAUUCUAUAAGAAAUUUAAUCUUAUACCUCUAAGCUAUAGAUAUGAUACCUCUAAGUUAUAGAUAGAUUAUAUCUUUUUUACCACAAAAGUCCUAAAAUGAUAGGAUUAAAAAAGAUUCUAAUAAUAUUAAAUAUUAUUUUAUUAAUAUGGCCUUCAAAUGAUAUUUUUAAUAGCAUAUAUUUAUGAAUUAUUUUUCCUAAAGAUAAAGGUCAACUAUCUAUUAUUUCUAUAUAUACAAGGAUUGAUUUUUGUACUAGAGGAAUUUUAUGAAAUUUGAAAAAUUCUUCAUCUAAAAAGCAAAGAGAUGCUCUUAAAUUUAAUAAGGAAUUUAUUUGAAGUUUUUGUAGGCCCAGAAAUAAAGACAUAAUAAAAUAAUAUGCAAGUUGGAUAGAAAGACAUGAACCUUGAUAAAUUUGAGGUGUUGAAAUGUUCAACCGCACAGUCCUUAUUGUAGUUGGGCAUCAUUGUUUUCCUGUACAAUCGCACUCCUAGUCUUGAUUGUAUGUUAUUUCUUUGGACAAUUUUUAGAUUUGUGACCUUUUCCAUCGCAAUAUAGAUAUGGAUCUUGUUGAAAUUAAUAUUUUUUUCUUUUCUAUAAAUAGUUUGAAUUAUAUUACAUCAAUUUGUAUAUUUUUAGCUCCUAAGUAUAGAAGUAAUAUAUUUGUUGAAGCAGUAGAGUAAGAAUUUCUAAUAUGUUGUUUUGUCAAAGGUGACAAAUAUUGAUCUUGGUAACAUUGAAAUAAUCAAUUAUUUUACUUCACAACUUGGCUGAUAGCUUCAUUAAGUGUUUGAGGAUUAGAUAAUGAUAAUAACAUGUCUUUUAUAUUAUCCUUUAAUUUCUAAUAGAAUUGGCUCAUAAGAGCUUCUUUAUUCCAAUUAAUGUCACAAGUUAAUUUUCUAAAAUUAAAUAUAUAAACUUAUGUAGAACAUGAAUAUUGAUGUAAUGAAAAAAUCUUUGUUGUUGCCCAUCGAGUCUUAUCAUGUUUUCCAAAUGCCUCCAUAAAUACUUCUAAAAAAGCUUCAAAGUUGCUCAAGAUUGGAGAUCUCUUCUCAAAUAAAAGAACAAAGUAAGAUAAGACUUGUUCUCUUAGUAAGGUUUCAAGUAAAUUGACUUGUAAUUAUUUUUUUGGAUAGCACUCAGAUUGUAGAAAAAUUACCAAUUGAAUUUGGUUAACAAAUCCUCAAAACUUUGAGCGUGUGCCAUCAAAUAUUUUUAAAAGACUAAUUCAAGGCUUCUUAUAUUGUUGAAUAGGUAAAUUUCCUUAUUAAGGUACAAGUGCCACCACUUCCUUGAAUUUAGAAGCUUGAGAAAGUAGUUGCGUUAUAAGUUGACCUUUUCCAAGACUUGCAUCAUCAUAAAAUCUUGCAACAAAUUUCUCAAUUUUAAUAGUUCUAUGAGCUAAAGAAUUCAAUGUAUUUAUAAUAAUAUCUAACUUGGACUUGGAAGAUUCAACUAUAUUAACAUCUUUACCUCCAACCAUCUUGAAAAGAAAAGAAAAGAAAAGAAAAGAAAAGUUUCUAAAAUGAUAUCAAUUUAGAGGAGGAUACUCUACAAUCUCUAAAGUGCUUAGAUACUUUCAAGAAGAGGAAUAAUUCACUCUCUAUUAAAAAUUAUUAAGCUCUAAUAUUGAUAAGUACGCAAUCUCAAAAAAUUAUCAUAGAUAUACUUUACAUAAGACCAAAUAAAAAGCUGAAUUAAAAAGAUUCAACAUAAAAGCUAAUAAGAAAUUAAUUAAACUAGAUGAAUAUAAGAUUAAUACCAAGAAAGUAAGUUAAAGCUUCAAGAGAUGUGUUGUCAAUAUUGAUGAUCGUCUUAGCCUCAUUUUCAAUAUAUACUAGGUAUUAGGAAACUUCUUAAGAAGUUCUCAUAUUACUUGAAGAUAAAGCAAUCCUAAGAAGCUUCUUGGAUAAUUUCUUUAAUUCACUUAAAACUUUUUAGAACUUGCUCAAAUAUUCUAAAAUUCUUCUAGAAAUAUAUUUAGAAUCUUUUAGAAUCUAGUAGAAUAUUCUAAAUAUAUUCCUAUAAACUUCUUGUUGGAUGUUUGUAAUAAUAUAUAUAUAUAUAUAUAUAUAUAUAUAUAUAUAUAUCAUUAAGAAUGAUCAAACUUUUAAAAGAAUAUAUAAAUAUCUAAUAUAUAUUUUUUAAAUUUUUAGCACUAAUUUUGAAAGAUAAAAGCACUUAUAUCAAAUUUAAUAUAACUACCUCUAAGAGAUAGUUAUACCAUAAAUUCUCCUCUUAUAUCAAAAGAUAUUUAUACAAAGGAAUUUCAAGCAAAUUUCUACUUCUAAAUACUUUUGCCUUCUUCUUUUUCUGCUUUCUUGUUCUUGUUUUUUCCAUCUUUUUCUUUCACUUCGUAAUAUUACCUAAUAUUAUUACUAUUAUUCUAUAUCUCUUGAGCUCUUUCUUGUUAAUAAUUCAACUUAACCUCCUAUCAUUCUUUAUAUUAACUGUGCUCUUCUCUUCACAUACUACCAUAAUACCUUGGCUUAGCUUCUUCUCUUCUCUCCUUUCUUAGAUUUAGUAUUUUAACACUUACUACUUUAAGAUGGCAUUGAUAUUUAUUAUCCCUAAACCAAAUACUUACUCAUACUAAAGCUUUAUUAUAAAGUUGGACCUAUCAUGGUUGUCAAGUUGUGUUUCAAUUUUUAGAAGAAAAAUAUACUCAUUUCAAAUUAGAUUUCCACAAAUUCAAAGUAAAAUAUGUUUAUUAUGCUAAAUUUAUCUCUUUUACUUUGUACUGACUUCUCCAAAAAUUGAUAUAUAUAUAUAUAUAUAUAUAUAAAGGAUUUGGUCUAGGUCUUAUUCUUGUCUCUCAUAGAGCCUUGUAAUUUAUGGCUAUGAGAAAGGUAAAAAAUUCUUGAUUUCACAUUGUAUUAAGAGAGUGCCAUGGUAGCCUUUAAAAUUUUGGAAAAAAAUAUAAAAUGCAACUAAUAUUUUCUUAUAAGUAAUUUAAUAUAUAUAUUUAAAAUUUAAAAUAUUUAAAGUAAGAAAUAUAUCAAAUCUUAUCAACAACAUUUUUGAAGUGACAUUAAUUGUUCUUUCAAAUUAGCAGGUACAUACAUAAAUUUUAAUAAAUAAUUUUUAUAAAUUUUUUUAUAAAUUUUUUAUAUAAAAUUAUAUAUAAAUAUUUUUAUUAUUUUUAAAUUUGAAUUUUUAUCAUUUUAAUAUAUUUUUUAUACAAUAUUUUAAAUAUAAGUUUUUAAACUUUAUAACAUUUUAUAUUUUAUAUUUUUACUUAUAAUAUAAUAUUUUUUUAUUUAUUAGUAUUUUUUAUUUAAAUAUUUUUUAUUUUUUAUUAUUUUUUCUUUAUUAUUUUAAUUAUAAGAAGAGAUUAUAAUUAUUGCUUUAAAUCUUGAUUUGCAACAAAUGUAAGCCUUAUUGACCAAGUUAGGAUUGAUGUUCUAAUCCCAAUAGCUAUAGUAGUCAUAUAAGCAACAUGUCUAAUCUAUCUAACCAAUUUAUAUAAGAUGCAGUAAAUAAGGUAGGUCAUAUUUUUAAAUACUAAACAUAUUAAGUUAAAUAAAAACAACAUAAACUAAUGUUUGAUUAAAAGAAAGAAUUUGAUAUAAUUAAAAAAUUGGAUGUUUUGAUAGAUAGAUAGAAUUCAUCUAUUGAAAUCUUAGAGGAAUAUUUCUUUUGACAUAAUUAUAUAAAAAUAGUAGUUAAAUUAUUCUUAUUUUUUAUACAAAAGAUAUUAUAGUUUAUCAAUUUAAAAUUUAAUAUAAAAUUUAUUAAUCAUAAGUUUAAAAAAAAUUAUUCUAUAGACAUCUAUUUUUUUUAAUUGCAAGGACAUUCUUCUUAUAUUACAUUGAUAUCCCAAGGCUACACUAAUAAUACACUAUUCUUAUAAGUUUUUCAAUAAUUUAGAUAUUAAUGAAAAAAUAUAUAAAAUUAGUAAUAAAAAAUAAUUUAUAAAAUAAUAAUAUGAAUAAUAAAAAAGCUAAACAUGUAAAUAAAUAAAUUUUACCUCAAGAACUUAACUUAUUAAUGUUGUAAAACCAUUAUAUUUGACAUGAGUAUAACAUGAAGGACAUGAAUCAUAACAAAACUCUAAAGUAAAUUCUUCUUAUAAUUGCCUCUUUGGAUAUUACAUAAUUAUUAAUAAAAAAAAAGAACAAAUUUUCCAUUUGUACUUUAAAAUCUCCAUUCAACUCAAAAAAAUGUUAAUAUGUAAUAUCAAAAAAUAAAUUAAUCUUAUUAAGUUGAUAUUUUAAAAUAUAUUUAUAAUAUAGAAAAAAGUAUAAAUUGUAAGAAAAUUGGUUCUAAUGGAAUAAAAGAAGAUUAAAAUUAUUUAUUUUCAAAGUUAUUUUAGUACAUAGGUAAAAAAAUAAAAAACAAAAAAUAAAAAAAUUAUCCAAUAAAUAUAAUAAUUUCUUACAAUGUUAAUAGAAUAAGAUUGAUAGAUAAAAUUCAAGGUAAAAUAUGCAAUGAAUUUUGUAAUAAUGUAGGCUUGAAUAAAGUAAUUCUUAAUAUUCAUGUUAUUUUAGCAUCUUUUAGUAAUUAAGUUACAAAGAGCAAUAAAAUAAUAUUAUAUUUUUCAAUUAAAUUUCUUUAAAUAUUUCUUAAAAUAGACUUUGUUGCCAACCAUAUUGGUAUAAACAUAAUUGUAAUAAAAUAUUUGGUCUUAUUAGAAGUUAGUAGAAGGCCUUUAUACAUGCUAAUACCAAAAUUUGGCAUUCUAAUUAUUUAGUUAUAAAAUUUGAAUCUUGCUAAUUGUCUAUGUAAUAAAAUAAGACUUAUUAUAAGACAGUUUAGUUUAUAGAUUAUUGAAGCAAAGAUUCUAAUGAAAGAGUACAUUGAAUAUUUUAUACUACGAAUUAUACUAAUUUUUGAUAAAUCAAGUUUCUUUUGCAUCACACUAAAAAAAAAAAAAAUUGCAUAAUAUAUGCAAUGACUGUCAGCAAGGCAUAGUAACAAGCAUUAAAAUUAGUAGGUUUAUACAUAAAUAAAAGAACCUCAAUAUUUGAAUGUGUGAAAGUAGUCCAUGGAAUUUGGCUUGUGUUUACAAUCCUAAGUACUUUGUAGAAUAAUCAUAGAAACUUUUUGAUUGAAAUUUUCAAAAAAAAAUAUUAUGAUCAAUAAUUAAUGAAGUGAUUUAUAUUUCCACUUAAAGUGCCAUUGGAUCAAGCAAAGACACAUUGUAUUAAAAUAACUACAAAAAAACAUCAAAGUUGUGUUUCCACCUAUAUAUAAGGCACUUUUGUCAUACACUGUAGCCAUUCUUUAUCCAAGGCCUAAAUACCAAGAGCAAUUAUAUACAUAGAAAUCAAAUGUAUACUUAAAUAACAUCUAAAAUUAUAGACACUUCCAAAUUUUCAAAUUUUAAUCCUACACACUGCUAUAGGUACUUACCUACAACUUUCUAGAUUAUUUUUUAAAGAAUAUUUAUUCUUCUGUAUUAUGCUUUGAUGUUCUUUUUGUCAACUAUGGUACUUUAAUGAACACUUUGAGUACUUAGAAGAUUUAAGAAUCAACAUUUCAUUCUUUGAUGCUCAUUUAUAUUACAAUGCUUUAAACACCAAUAACAAUUUAUAAAUUACAACUUACAAAUAAUUCACAUCUUUUACAACCUCAAGCUAUUCAUCUCCUCAAAAUACCAUUUUCAUUUGAAUUUUGAUUGUAAGUACGUGAAACCACAAAAUUAAACAGUAUGAGAUUAAUGGUGUUUUAGUAAAGCUACUACAAAAGACAAGAUAGAUAUUUCUUAUGUGUAGAUUAUUAAAGAACAAGCACUUUGAAGUCACAACAUUUAGCAUCAAUAAGGUUGCACACAAAGAGAUUAUGGAGUAAGAUAUGUUUUAGUUCUAACACCCAAUACUUAUAGAUAGUGGUUUUUGGCCAAAAAGACAACUUCCACUCUUUGACUUUUGUACAUAUAGUCCUAGGAUCCUUUUGACAACUCACUAACCUUGAAAGUAUCCUAUGUCAUGCACUAAUUAUUCUUACCUAUUCUUUGGAUAUUUACUAAUUAAUACUUUAUUCUCUUGACUUUGAUUCUUGGUCCUUGACCUCAACAUAUAUCCAUAGGAUUUCCUUUCUAUAUAUCAAGAGUUGAACUUUUGACUAUUAGCAAAUUAUCUUAGGUAAUAUCCUCUAUGAGGUAAUUUAUUCUACUUUCACUUUGACUUCAACACUCCCACUUUACUAUUGGUUAAACGACUUUCAAUUCUAAUACAUUUGUCAACAUGUGGUCUCUAUCCUUUACUAAUGCCUUUGGCAACAAAUCAGCAAGCAUAUCUUUUGUUGUACAAUACUUCAUAUCAAUCACUUCCAUUUCAAUCUUCUCUCUUAUGAAGUGAUGUUGAAUGUCAAUGUAUUUGGUCCUUUAAUGAUGCUUGAAAUUCUUUGCAAAUGCAAGACAUCCUUGAUUGUCACACUCUAUUGAAGUUGCUUCUAUUUGCACAUCUCCAAUGUCCUCCAAAAGUUAUCUUAGCCAUAUUGCUUCUAUUGCACCAUGGCUUGUUGCCAUAUACUUUGCUUCCAUCAUUGAUCUUGUAAUUGUUAGUUGUCUCUUGCAAUUCCAAGAUAUAACUUCUACUCCAACAAAAAAUACAUAUCCUGUUGUUGAUCUUCUAUCAUUUGUAUUUCCAGCCCAAUCUACAUCACAAUAACCAUGCAAAGUAAUGUUAUCACCUCCAAGGCACAAUUUGAAGUUCAAAGUGCCUUUUAAAUACCUCAUGAUUUUUUUGAUGGUUAUCCAAUGGAUUGAUCCAGCCUUUGACAUGUGUUGGCUCACAACACUCAUUGCAUGUACAAGAUCCAUCCUUGUAUCAAUCAUUCCAUAUAUUAGUGAGUCUACUAUUGCUUUAUAUAGAACACCUUAUAUUUGUCCUUCAACUUCAGCAAACUCUUCUUCCGUGAGCUUUAUCAACUUCAAAUUAGCCUCCAAAGGUGUUCCAAUAGACUUGCACUCCUCCAUGUUGAAUCGUUUCAACAUCUCUUUAAUAUACUUGCUUUGGCUAAUUGUAAUGGUUUUCUUAGCAUGAUCUCUUAUAAAUUCUACUCCUAAACAAUAGUGAAGCUCUCCCAAAUCACUCAUCUCAUACUCAUUUUCUAAUUUUAUCUUCAAUCAAUCCAUCAUCUUCAUAAUAUUGGUUAAGAUGAUCAAAUCAUCAACAUAUAAGAUGACAAUUAAUAUGAACUCAUUUGAUAGUAUGACAUACAAUGAAUGAUCAGCCUCACUCCUUACAUACCCUUUAUUCACAAAGAAUAUACCAAUGCAUUGAUACGAUGCUCUUGGAGAUUGCUUAAGCCCAUAUAAAGAUUUCUUCAACUUACAAACAAGAUGUUGAUUGCCUUCUUAUACAAAUCCUUGAGGUCGAUCCAUGUAGAUUUCUUCUUUCAAGCUUCCAUUCAAGAAUGUGGUCUUCACAUCCAUUUGAUGCAUUUAUAAGUCUAUUGCUGCCCCAAUUGUCACAAUGGUUCUAAUGGUGGUGAAUUUUCCCACAAGAACAAAUGUCUCAUUAAAAUCAACACUAGCAACUUAAGAGUAGUCUUUGGCAACCAUUUUAGACUUGUAUCUCACAAUAUUAUCCAUUGCAACCCUUUUCAUUCUAAACACCCACUUACAACCAAUAGACGAUCGAUUUGGUAGGAAUUGAGUUAAUUUCCAUGUUCUAUUCUCCAUUAGUGAUUUGUAUUCUUCUUUCAUAGCAUUCUCCUACUUCAUAGCAUCCAUGGACUUCAUUGCAUCACACAAAUUCAGUAAGAAGAGCAACAUUGGCAUGUUUUUCACUUAUUUGAGGAAAAAUGUGGUCCUUCUACCAUUCACCACGUGGUUUUUUUUUCUCUCAAAGCAUAUCUCCUUUCAUUUGGAGAUAAUUCAUCUUCUUGCACUUCAUGCUUUCUUUCAAGCUUCUUCUUUCUUAAAGCUUAUUUUUUUUUUUUUUAAAAAUAAAUACUCUUCAUCAUCAUCAUUACCAUCAAUAUCUUCAUUGUAUUCAUUACUGGUUCUAAUAAUUGAAGGCAUACUAUGGUCUACCUUCUUUGGUACUUUAUUUUAAUUUGUAUUUCUUCCAUCCUCAUUGUCACUAUUAUCUUCUUCUUCUUUCUUUGCUGAAAUUAAUGAUGUGUCCAUAAACAUACCAUUACUCUCACUUGAAAUAUAUCUCCAAGUACUCAAAAGCACUCUUAUACUCCAAAAACUCAACAUCACUACUUUUAAUGAUCUUCUUGAUUUCUAAACAUAUUAUCCUAUAUGACUUUAUACCUUCACAAUAUCCAACAAAUACAUAUUUUGUACUCUUUGCAUUAAAUUUGGACUUCAUGUAAUCUGGUAUCUUUACAUAAGCAAUGCAUCUAAAGACCUUAUAUGUGAAACAUAAGAUUUCUUGCUAUUCCAAGCUUCUUAUAGAAUCAUUGAUGUCAGUACACUUAUAGGGCAUCUAUUCCUUGUGUGCAUUGAUGUAACGAUGGCUUUAGUCCAAUAAUCAUGCCCAAGGUGUUGUGCAUAAAGCAUACUCUUUGUUAUCUCUAUAAUAUUACAAUUUUUUCUUUUAGCAACUCUAUUUUGUUGUAGAGUGUAAGGAGUAGAGUUUUGUCUUACAACACCUUGAAUUUUUAAGAAUUCAUCAAAAUGCUUUGACAUGUAUUCACUUCCAUUGUCCGUGCACAAUUCUUUGAUCUUACACUCACAUUGUUUCUCUACAAGUCCCUUAAACUCCUUAAACCUUGAAAAACAUUCACUAUUAGCUUUAAUGAUAUAAUUCCAUACUUUUCUUGAAAAAUCACCAAUGAAUGUAACAAAGUACAUUACUCUUCCAAUUGAUGGUAUCUUCAUUGGUCCACAAAUAUCAAAAUACAUAAUCUCCAACAAUUUGGUUGCACAUGUUGCAACUCUAUUUAGAAAUGAAUUCCUUUAUUAUUUGUCUUAUAUACAACCUUCACAAGCAAGUGUCAUGGUAUUGUAGCUGAAAUAACCCAGAUCUAAGCCACUUACCAUAGAUUGAAGCUCCUUCAUACAUUUGGCAUUCAAAUGACUUAUUCAUUCAUGCCAAACUCGCAUCAAAGGCACCUUCAUCUCUCGAGAGUACCUCCUCUUUUGUACCUCCAUAAUCUCGCUUUACAGUGGUACCUCCCCAAAAUCCUUAAAUCCUUCAACAAUCUUUGGCAAUGGUUUCUCCCUCAACCUAUCUCGAUUCCGUUCAUGGUUAGGAGGUACUGUUAGAAAUUGUACAGCUUUCCUCCCAUCCUCGCUACGUACCCUUGCAUAAGCAGAACCAUCGUCAAGUACCUUUGUUUCCAUCCGUGUUGCCAUGAUAUAAGGUUUUCCUAAAAUCAACGGAUAAGACGUUGUAUCCUGAACAAAGAAAUGUUGCUCCAUCGCAACAUCCCCAAUUCGAAUUUUGACAUCUGGACAAGCUCCAUAUAAUUCGCCCCGUGUGUUAUUAGCUGCUCGAAUUGCCCAUCCAUGUUCCAUAUCAAUUGGCCAUUUUUGCUUCUUAUAAAGAUCUUUAGACAUGAGAUUUAUUUCAGAACCAUGGUCGACUAAAGCAACUACUGGUUCUUCUAUAUCUCCUACUUUCACCAAUACCUCGGUAGUUGCCCUUACCCAAUGCUUUCGAGUAUAAUGAUUCAAAGUUUCCAUUUCUUUGUCACUAGAAUCUUCAAAACGUACUCGCUGAUUAUACCCAUUCUUUUCAUUUGUUGGUUGCUUGUAACCAAUAUCAACCUCUUCUUCAUCUCUACAUAUUCUUGCAUCAAUAGCAUGACUCAUUCCAGUUUCGCCCAUUAAUUGCCUCUUUCGCUUAAUGCUGUCAAUGAUAACAUCAUAAAACUCCUUCUUUGCAAUUUCCAAGACUUCUUUCAAUGUGAAUUCCACCUUAGCAUUUAAUAUACGUUCUUUCAGCACCCCUUUCAAAUUUGUUGCCGCUUCAAUGUCAGAAAGUAGCUUAUAAGCAAUUGAUUUGCCCUUAUCUUUUGUCUCCGUUGUUUUUUCUCGCAAUGAUGCUGAGGUAUCCUCUACAGGCAAUUCUUGUGAAGCUGCCUCCCGAGCCCUGUCUCCUCGAGUUUGCCUCUUAGAAGAAUUUCCUUCUCUAGUAUCAUCAAAAUUUCCUCAUCUCUUUUCUUCCAUCAAAGCUUCAUGUUGGCUCUUAGCAAUAUAUGCAUGAACUGAAAGAGACUCAACAAGAUCCUCCCAACCUGUUCUACCUCGUAUUGUAGCUGCAGUUCUCAAUAACGCUUCUCGAGGUAAUUUCCCUUCUUGCAUUGUACAAACGGCAGAAGCCCAAAACUCACUAGUUUCCGUACUUCCACCAAUUUCAUCGUCUACUCUAGCACCAUAACUUGCACUUUCUCGUGCUGCUGUUUCAUGCUCUUUUAGGUAAUCUUGAACCAAUGCUCUCAUUCUUCCCUUGCCAAAAUUGGUUUGAAGAAGAUCCUCUCUAUUUUUCAAUGUUAUCUUCCCAUCUUUUCAGCAAAUAAUUCCCUGCCGUAUCAUAUUAUUAAAUUCAUUGCAAUCUUUUCUAGUGUGUGAAGCAUCAUCACACCAAAUGCAUCUUUGUACAUAUCCUUGUUUUGAAACAUUCUUCGAAUUGUUUAUAGAAGUAUUCUCUUCAAGUCUUGCCAAUUUGAUUUGAAGAUCUCGCAUUCCUCGUGUAAUUUCUUCCAUCCCCAUAUCUGCUUUCUUUGAUAAGGACGUCAAAGGUUGAACUGUAGGCAUUGUUGGUGGAGUUGUACAUACUGGAGCUUUCGGUGCUUGUACUGUUUUCGGAAUAUUGCUCCUAUCCUUCCUCCUUUCUUUUUUCGUAAGUAACCCCACCACAUCUUCAACGUUCUUCCACUUCGUUGUCAAUCCUUCAUCUUCUUCUUUGUCUUCAAGAAGGGGUUCUAAUUUCUCUUGCAAUUCCCCAUCAGCAGCUUGAAGAAAUAGAUCAACUUUGUUCGGCUCCAAUGUCAAUUUUUCUACCUUCGAUAAUUGAGAGUACUGCCUCUCAAAUUCCCUUAGUAGCUUUGUUGCUUGCAAAUUCUUAUUGGGCCGUUCAAUCCAUCCAAGAAACAGCUUCUUAGUAACGCGAUCAGCAUCUUCCAAGAAAUAUUCAUCUUUCAAUGCAUGUGAAAAAUCCUCCCAUGAAUUCCCAUAACGAUCCGUAAUCGAUGUAAUGUGGUCUCUUAUCUCCGAUAUCGUGGCAAGUCCAAAUAGUGCAACCAUUUUCUUCUCAGAAACCCGAUUUAAUUCCAUUUCACGAACAUAACAUCUUAAAUACCUUGAAAUAUUCCUCCCAUCAAAUUGAUCAAUUUUAUUGACCACUGCUUGCAAUGCUUUGGUUGCCAAAGCUUCCUUUCGAUCGUUGCUUUGCUGUUGCUGCAUUGACAAUGAGAAGGCUUGAAACAAACUAGCAAUAGACGGAUCCAUGUGCAUACCUUGUCCUUUAGAAGACUCCCCACCAGAAACUCCUCCCAAAAAUCCUUCAAAAUUUUUAUUUUCAUUUUCCAUAAAAUAAAGAUAAUAUCAACCGAAAUCCAAUACCUUCCACCUCAAACUUUCACGUCGGGUUCACCACUUUUUGUCGUAUUACGUGCUUUCCUGCUCGAGAACGCGCCGGGCGUCUGGCUGUAGAAGGUAGUAUGGAGAUUCCGAUAGUCAAGUAGUCUAUCAGUUUUGACUAUUGGAGUAUAAACGAUUGCAAGAAUACACCGUAAAUCUAUACGGAUGCCCUUCGACUGCUUGUCGAAGUCCUUUUUGCCCCAGCCGAUAGGUCUCUAGACGUUACAGAGAACCCCAAACAACACAAUCUGCUAAUCUCCGAUAUCGCUUUGUACUUACGAUCUUGUAUCCACUGACUGUCUCGUUAGAUUAACCCAACAAUUUUCAUUCACUCCACAUACUCAAUCCUAUAGACACCCUUUUAAUCCUUCAAUCACAGACGUAAUUCGAUUUCACAAAACAGUCAAGAGUAUUCAAACCCACUUCAUUAAAAUCCCGAUUCACCAUUACAAUACUGACUUCAGCAAUGAUUGCCUCAGUCGUCCCAAAACUCUACGAAGAAGAAAAAUCCAAAUUCUAUGUCUUUCCUUCCCCGACCCGAAGCAUGUAGCUCCUCUCUCCCUAAUCCCCUUCCAAAAACUCCCCCCUAACCUUAUCCUCUGAAUUUCUUCAAUCUUCCAUCUUAGAUCCGGAAUUGGCUCCCGCCGUCAGAGCUUAGAUCCGGAAUUGGCUCUCGGCAUCAAGGCUUUCUCCUCCGUUUUUACCUUUAAGAGAUCCAUUUACCGCAAACAACGUUCCUUGAAACGGCACAAAGAACAGGGCACACUGAAACAAAAUCGAAACCCCGUACUCGGGUCCACAUUGAGUCGCCCGACCAAUUCAGGUCUCAUACUAGGUAAGAGGACCCGGAUUGGAUGUCUUGAAAUUGGAUCCAAUUGGCUCUUUGAACCAGACUGGCUGAGGCCCGUAAUAAGACCUGGAUUUUUCCGUAACUAGACUGCAUUGGGUUGCCCGACCAAUGCAGGUCUCAUAUUGGGUAAGAGGACCAGUAGUAACCUGGAUGUUCCCGUAACUAGACUGCAUUGAGUUGCCCGACCAAUGGAGGUCUCAUAUUGGGUAAGAGGACCCGGAUUGGAUUCUCGAAAUUAGAUCCAAUUGGCUCUUUGAACCAGGCUCACCCGUCGCAUGAAUUGGUCCUUUUCCUUCCUGGUGACUCCCGUUAUUGGAAUCGAAAGAGCAUUUCAGUAUGCCCUGGCUGACUGUAACAGGGUGACUGAACCUGGCCACUCAGUAUUUGCACUGGAGUUGGUCGUUGCUCCCAAUAUUCGAGGUAACUGAACAUUAAUAAAAGUCCCCUUUCUUUAUAUUUUCACGGUAUACUCCUGUUACAACACGACAUCCACCCCAUCUGAACCUGUGCAUCCUCCGGUAUGCACCAAUUUACCCAAUUGCUGUUUGAUUCAGAAUAUAUCCUCUACGUCUUUGUCUUGUUCGUCUUCGUCACCUUUAUUAUCCAAUUCACUUUCAUCUUCUUGCUGCUGAAUUUCUAUACCUUCAUUAUGGUCGUCCACAUUCAUCUCUGCGUGUCUUUGUUUAAAUAUUUUUACUCGCUUCCCUGCAAUUGGUAUUUUCAAUUUUGUACCAUCUAACUCCCGUAAUGAGUAAGUCGCAUUAUCAUGAACUGUUGUUACCACAUAUGGUCCAAACCAACGUUUUGAGAAUUUUCGCAAGGUACUAUGUUGAUUAUCCAGACUAUUGUCAUAAACAAGUACCCAGUCACCUUCCUUGAUUGCUUUUGGUCUCAAUCGAUGUUGCUUAUCGAAUCACGCCUUGUUUUGUAACCUUGCUCUUUUUAACCUUUCCAAUGCUAUCUGGACAUCUUCCGUUCUUUGCUCCAAUUGUCGAAUCCUAAUAGCAGAAAGUUCUUCUCUUAUCAAUCCGUUUUCCCAUGGUAGCAUACUCCAAGUAAGUACCUUUUCUUCAAUCGGCAUAAUUGGUUAUUGACCUAUCAUAAGUUCUACUGGCAUAUAUCCUGUCACCGAACUAUGUGUUGUUCGAUCAGCCCAUAAUGCAAAUGACAAAAGCCGUGGCCACUCUUUAACUUUCCCAUUACAAGCUUUAACCAAUGCUUUCACAAUCGGUGGGUGACCGCGUUCGCUUUUUGCAUUCCCUUCCGGAUUAUAAGCAGUAGUCAGUGAUAGUUUAACUCUACAUCUUUCAAAGAACUUACGAGCUUCUUGUGCAUUUAAUUCUCCACGAUCUGCAGUGAUUUUUCCUACGCACCCGUAGCGGCAAAUGACAUCUUCGAGCAAAAACCUACAAAUCCCCUUUGUAGAUUUUAUCCUCAAUGCUCUUCCUUCUACUUGAUUUGAUAAAUCUUCACGAGCUAAAACCAAAUAUCUCAUCUGCCAUAACCCAACCGGCAUAAUAACCAAAUCAACAACCCAUUUAAAAUGAAUAGCCAGGGGAUACGUAGGAUGAAGACCAUCUCGAUGUCGGAUAUUAGAAUACGAUUGACAGAUUUCACAUGACUCUACAAAUGAGAGCACAUCUCGAUACAUAUUUUUCCACCAAUACCGUUCCUUGAGUUUAGCAAAAGUAGCCCAGAUUCCUCUAUGCCCUGCCCAUAAACUAUCAUGAAACUCCUUUAAUAAUUUUAGUUUUUCUUCCUUUUUGCCUAUCACUCGCUGUGGCAUCCCAAUUCCUUUCUUUGGUCUCUUCCAUAAGAAUCCAUCUCGAAGUAAAAAUCCAUAUGCUUUUUUUCUUAUUUGUUUGAAUUUUUCUGUAGACCAAUUCUCCUGCUUAGACAAGGUAUUCAAAUAAUGACCAAUAUCCAAUAAUUCUCCUUCAUAAGAUUCUUCAAGAAAUAGCUUGUCUUCUCUGUUGAGAUUUGAUAUUGAAUAGAAUUUCAAUCCGACAUCAUCAAUGUCUUCAACCAUUUCGUCCUCCCUCUCGUAUCUUGCUCGAGAUAGCAUGUCUGCUACUAAAUUGUCCUUUCCAGUGAUAUGCUUAAAUUCUGGAUUUAGUGACUUAAUAUAAGCAAUCCAUCUCAACAUUGCAAUAUCUGGCGUUGAACAGUUAAUAAUCAUUCCAAGCAAUGGCAAGCAAUCUGUUUCAAUUACUACUACUACCCCAAUCAAAUAGUCCUUUUCAGCUUUCAUUGCCGAAACGACUCCCCAAAGUUCUCUUUUGACUUGCGAAUAUACACGUUGACGAAUACUUAAAACUUUAGCCCCAAAUCGAACUGCAAAUCUAUUCCCAUUUGAAUCAUCUUGAUCCACAGCCCAUCCAACGGCAAUUGGACUAGCGUCUACAGUAAGAAUCACUGGUCUAUUGCACUUAUAAUCAACCUUCCUCAAUAUUGGAGGUGACAUCAAUAAUUUCUUCAAUCUUUGCAUUGCCUGAAUAUGCCUUUCUUCCCAUUUAAAUCGGUAACCCUUGCGUAACAUUUCAUAUAAUGGAUCCGCUAUGUGAGCAAAAUGAGGGAUCCAGAUUCGAUAAAAUACACAUGCACCCAAAAACCUGCGAACCUCUGUUAAAGAAUCACAAUCCUCUUUCAUCCUUCCAAUUGCAUCAACUUUAGUCGGAUCUGGUUUUCUUCCGUAAGAUCCACAUAAAUGUCCAACAAUUACAACCUCUCGUACUCCAAAUACGGACUUCAUACCCGAUAAUGUAAGAUGAACUUUUCCAAGCCGAGUUAAAAUCUUUUCACAAUCUUGUAUAUGAUCAACAACAUAUUUGCGACAUCCCCUCGUGUCUAAAGUUUCAUCCUUCUUUCCUUCUCUGCACCCUUUUAUAGGAACAUCAUCCAGAAAAGGCAUAGUCUUUUCCAGAAUAAAAUCUCUCAAUACCUUAUUCAUCCCAUUCAUCAUAUGCGCAAGUGAGUUGGUCGCGCCUUGAGGAAGAGUGCACAUUCUAACCAAUCCAAGUGGUGUCCUCAUUGUUGUCAUAUCUCUACUUCCUUCGGCAAGUUGAAAUUGAUCAUAACCUGAAUACAAGUCACCCAUUGAAUAGAUCGCCCUUCCAGCAAACGCCUCAGCAAAUUCAUCCACAAUAGGUCCAAUUCCUGCAUUCCUGACAGUUACUGCAUUCACCAGUUGCAUAUCUUGAAUAAACUGUAGUGACCCAUUCUUCUUAGGUACCGUAAACCAUCGACUAGAAUACUGCACAAAUGAAGGUUCCAAUAUUUUCAUCUUUAUCUUUUCUUUUAAUAGUUCAACCAAUUUAGGUAAAUGUGCCCUCGGUACUGAAAUCGGUCUUAGAUUCUAAGGUACAUGUGGUACAGUGAAGAUAACCAUAGGCGUUACUAUAUUUGGAUCUAGACACCCAAUUUCAUGAGAUUCGAAGGCAAACGAUCUACCUUGUUUAGCCAACAUCUUUUUGAAGCAAGUAAUUUCCUCCGGCAAUAAAGAACCAUCAGAACCAAUUUUCAAUUCUUCAAAAGUCUCUUUAGUAAACUAAUGUCCAAUACUCAUUGGAUCUCUUAAACUUGCUUCUUUUGAUGCUUCUCCCAUUUCUUCUUUAGAAUCCUCUGGUAAUGGUCCGGCAACAGGCUUUACCUUCUUAUCUGCCAUUUUAUAUCUCGUCUCUACUGUGACUUCUGGUGCUUGAAAAGAUUCAAGCAUGGUAUAAACCUCUCUCGAAUGAAUCUCAACAAUCUUAUCAUUAUCCCCUAACCCAAUAGAUGUAAUCAAUUCCAAUCAAUCUUCUAGUCCAUUUUCUUCAUAAACACCCAAAAUCCUCUCAUCAUCUUGCAAUGUACCUAACUUGCGUAAUUCUCCUUCAAUAUCAUAUAACCUUUUUCUUUCUUUUCUUUUAAAAUCAUCAACUUUCUUAUACAUAAUAUUUCCAUUCUCCAAUAUACCAAUAAAACUCGCAUCAAAGGCACCUUCAUCUCGCGAGAGUACCUCCUCUUUUGUACCUCCAUAAUCUCGCUUUACAGUGGUACCUCCCCAAAAUCCUUAAAUCCUUCAACAAUCUUUGGCAAUGGUUUCUCCCUCAACCUAUCUCGAUUCCGUUCAUGGUUAGGAGGUACUGUUAGAAAUUGUACAACUUUCCUCCCAUCCUCGCUACGUACCCUUGCAUAAGCAGAACCAUCGUCAAGUACCUUUGUUUCCAUCCGUGUUGCCAUGAUAUAAGGUUGUCCUAAAAUCAACGGAUAAGACGUUGUAUCCUGAACAAAGAAAUGUUGCUCCAUCGCAACAUCCCCAAUUCGAAUUUUGAUAUUUGGACAAGCUCCAUAUAAUUCGCCCCGUGUGUUAUUAGCUGCUCGAAUUGCCCAUCCAUGUUCCAUAUCAAUUGGCCAUUUUUGCUUCUUAUAAAGAUCUUUAGACAUGAGAUUUAUUUCAGAACCAUGGUCGACUAAAGCAACUACUGGUUCUUCUAUAUCUCCUACUUUCACCAAUACCUCGGUAGUUGCCCUUACCCAAUGCUUUCGAGUAUAAUGAUUCAAAGUUUCCAUUUCUUUGUCACUAGAAUCUUCAAAACGUACUCGCUGAUUAUACCCAUUCUUUUCAUUUGUUGGUUGCUUGUAACCAAUAUCAACCUCUUCUUCAUCUCUACAUAUUCUUGCAUCAAUAGCAUGACUCAUUCCAGUUUCGCCCAUUAAUUGCCUCUUUCGCUUAAUGCUGUCAAUGAUAACAUCAUAAAACUCCUUCUUUGCAAUUCCCAAGACUUCUUUCAAUGUGAAUUCCACCUUAGCGUUUAAUAUACGUUCUUUCAGCACCCCUUUCAAAUUUGUUGCCGCUUCAAUGUCAGAAAGUAGCUUAUAAGCAAUUGAUUUGCCCUUAUCUUUUGUCUCCGUUGUUUUUUCUCGCAAUGAUGCUGAGGUAUCCUCUACAGGCAAUUCUUGUGAAGCUGCCUCCCGAGCCCUGUCUCCUCGAGUUUGCCUCUUAGAAGAAUUUCCUUCUCUAGUAUCAUCAAAAUUUCCUCGUCUCUUUUCUUCCAUCAAAGCUUCAUGUUGGCUCUUAGCAAUAUAUGCAUGAACUGAAAGAGACUCAACAAGAUCCUCCCAACCUGUUCUACCUCGUAUUGUAGCUGCAGUUCUCAAUAACGCUUCUCGAGGUAAUUUCCCUUCUUGCAUUGUACAAACGGCAGAAGCCCAAAACUCACUAGUUUCCGUACUUCCACCAAUUUCAUCGUCUACUCUAGCACCAUAACUUGCACUUUCUCGUGCUGCUGUUUCAUGCUCUUUUAGGUAAUCUUGAACCAAUGCUCUCAUUCUUCCCUUGCCAAAAUUGGUUUGAAGAAGAUCCUCUCUAUUUUUCAAUGUUAUCUUCCCAUCUUUUCAGCAAAUAAUUCCCUGCCGUAUCAUAUUAUUAAAUUCAUUGCAAUCUUUUCUAGUGUGUGAAGCAUCAUCACACCAAAUGCAUCUUUGUACAUAUCCUUGUUUUGAAACAUUCUUCGAAUUGUUUAUAGAAGUAUUCUCUUCAAGUCUUGCCAAUUUGAUUUGAAGAUCUCGCAUUCCUCGUGUAAUUUCUUCCAUCCCCAUAUCUGCUUUCUUUGAUAAGGACGUCAAAGGUUGAACUGUAGGCAUUGUUGGUGGAGUUGUACAUACUGGAGCUUUCGGUGCUUGUACUGUUUUCGGAAUAUUGCUCCUAUCCUUCCUCCUUUCUUUUUUCGUAAGUAACCCCACCACAUCUUCAACGUUCUUCCACUUCGUUGUCAAUCCUUCAUCUUCUUCUUUGUCUUCAAGAAGGGGUUCUAAUUUCUCUUGCAAUUCUCCAUCAGCAGCUUGAAGAAAUAGAUCAACUUUGUUCGGCUCCAAUGUCAAUUUUUCUACCUUCGAUAAUUGAGAGUACUGCCUCUCAAAUUCCCUUAGUAACUUUGUUGCUUGCAAAUUCUUAUUGGGCCGUUCAAUCCAUCCAAGAAACAGCUUCUUAGUAACGCGAUCAGCAUCUUCCAAGAAAUAUUCAUCUUUCAAUGCAUGUGAAAAAUCCUCCCAUGAAUUCCCAUAACGAUCCGUAAUCGAUGUAAUGUGGUCUCUUAUCUCCGAUAUCGUGGCAAGUCCAAAUAGUGCAACCAUUUUCUUCUCAGAAACCCGAUUUAAUUCCAUUUCACGAACAUAACAUCUUAAAUACCUUGAAAUAUUCCUCCCAUCAAAUUGAUCAAUUUUAUUGACCACUGCUUGCAAUGCUUUGGUUGCCAAAGCUUCCUUUCGAUCGUUGCUUUGCUGUUGCUGCAUUGACAAUGAGAAGGCUUGAAACAAACUAGCAAUAGACGGAUCCAUGUGCAUACCUUGUCCUUUAGAAGACUCCCCACCAGAAACUCCUCCCAAAAAUCCUUCAAAAUUUUUAUUUUCAUUUUCCAUAAAAUAAAGAUAAUAUCAACCGAAAUCCAAUACCUUCCACCUCAAACUUUCACGUCGGGUUCACCACUUUUUGUCGUAUUACGUGCUUUCCUGCUCGAGAACGCGCCGGGCGUCUGGCUGUAGAAGGUAGUAUGGAGAUUCCGAUAGUCAAGUAGUCUAUCAGUUUUGACUAUUGGAGUAUAAACGAUUGCAAGAAUACACCGUAAAUCUAUACGGAUGCCCUUCGACUGCUUGUCGAAGUCCUUUUUGCCCCAGCCGAUAGGUCUCUAGACGUUACAGAGAACCCCAAACAACACAAUCUGCUAAUCUCCGAUAUCGCUUUGUACUUACGAUCUUGUAUCCACUGACUGUCUCGUUAAAUUAACCCAACAAUUUUCAUUCACUCCACAUACUCAAUCCUAUAGACACCCUUUUAAUCCUUCAAUCACAGACAUAAUUCGAUUUCACAAAACAGUCAAGAGUAUUCAAACCCACUUCAUUAAAAUCCCGAUUCACUAUUACAAUACUGACUUCAGCAAUGAUUGCCUCAGUCGUCCCAAAACUCUACGAAGAAGAAAAAUCCAAAUUCUAUGUCUUUCCUUCCCCGACCCGAAGCAUGUAGCUCCUCUCUCCCUAAUCCCCUUCCAAAAACUCCCCCCUAACCUUAUCCUCUGAAUUUCUUCAAUCUUCCGUCUUAGAUCCGGAAUUGGCUCUCGGCAUCAAGGCUUUCUCCUCCGUUUUUACCUUUAAGAGAUCCAUUUACCGCAAACAACGUUCCCUGAAACGGCACAAAGAACAGGGCACACUGAAACAAAAUCGAAACCCCGUACUCGGGUCCACAUUGAGUCGCCCGACCAAUUCAGGUCUCAUACUAGGUAAGAGGACCCGGAUUGGAUGUCUUGAAAUUGGAUCCAAUUGGCUCUUUGAACCAGACUGGCUGAGGCCCGUAAUAAGACCUGGAUUUUUCCGUAACUAGACUGCAUUGGGUUGCCCGACCAAUGCAGGUCUCAUAUUGGGUAAGAGGACCAGUAGUAACCUGGAUGUUCCCGUAACUAGACUGCAUUGGGUUGCCCGACCAAUGCAGGUCUCAUAUUGGGUAAGAGGACCCGGAUUGGAUUCUCGAAAUUAGAUCCAAUUGGCUCUUUGAACCAGGCUCACCCGUCGCAUGAAUUGGUCCUUUUCCUUCCUGGUGACUCCCGUUAUUGGAAUCGAACGGAGCAUUUCAGUAUGCCCUGGCUGACUGUAACAGGGUGACUGAACCUGGCCACUCAGUAUUUGCACUGGAGUUGGUCGUUGCUCCCAAUAUUCGAGGUAACUGAACAUUAAUAAAAGUCCCCUUUCUUUAUAUUUUCACGGUAUACUCGUGUUACAACACAACAACGUGGCGAUGUUCUAUAAGACCUUCAAUAUGUGUUGACUUUGUAGGACACAUGCCUUGGCUUAUAAGGCAAGUUUUUCUACAUGUGGGCCACAUAAUUAGCUUGGUCUUCAAGUUAACAACAUGUGUGGCACAUGGCCAACUUAUUGAUCACGUUUCUAAUCCAAAAAGUCAAUUAAAAACACUUAUAAAGUCAAAGUAGGAUCUAUAAAGCUCCUAAGAAGCUUCCAUAGAAAAUAUUAUAGAAUUAACUUAUUUUUAUCUACUUUUAUUUACUUCUACAUAUUUAUACAUGUAAUUAUUGGCUUACAUGCAUAUAUCCAUGACAUUAUUCCCCCUUCUAGGGAUGAAUUCCAUGAGGAGCAAUCAUCAUAUGUUGAAGAAAUCUAUGAUGCAGCAUAUUAUAUUUGCUACAUACUUUGAUCUUUAUUCUCUUCGAAGAUGAUUGAUAGGGCCUCUCAACCAUCAAUAGUGUCAUAUAUCAUGGCGAAAAGACCACCGAGUUAUUUAAUUGUUGUUGAGGCCUUCAUAACUUCCUUCGAAUAAAACAUUUGGAACACCGUUUGGAGUUGUUCCUACUUAUAGUAAAAUCACCAAAUUUUGGGAGUUCCUUCUAAGGUCGUGAUACCAAAUGCGUUGUAUCUCGCCAUCUAUUCGAAGAAGAAUAUGUCAUUCUUCAAGAUCUUCAUCUUGAUUGUGUUGUCUUGGAGGUUGUGACAAUCAUAAUGUCUCGUCCAGCAGGUCAGCAAACGAAGGCUCUUGAGUCAAAUCUGCUUGUUGUUGGUUCUCCAUCUUCUCAACAUCACAACUACAAAGAAGCUACAAACAAGGAUUGAAAGUAGAAUGUUAUCUUGCUUAGAUCUUGUUUUUCUUUAUAAGGAAGAUUUUUAUUUUGAUUUUGAUGGAUGUCGUCGAUGAAAAGCCUCCACCGCCUUUGCUACAUUUACAAGAUUCUAUACUGGCUUCCAUGUGCAUUCACUAAUAUCAUAUUCAUGCCAAUAGACAAGAUAUUCGAAUUUAUUUUGGUGCUGCCUUAAAUCUAAGACUUCUUCGUCUCAAACUCUUCAUUAUAAUCCACUUCUAUAGGAGGAAGUGGAACUUGUCUUCUUCCUGAUAUGUCCACUAUCUUGUAUGGUUCAAGAAGAGAUACAUGGAAUAGUGGGUGGAUUUUGAUUGACUCCAAUAGGUAUAAACAAUAUGCAAUUAGAUUAAUUUGUGUAGAAUUAGAAAAUAGUCCAAACUUUUGAUAGUCCAACUUGUCACAAGGACGAGUGGUCUUAAUAUUGCGACAAAGUAACCAUAUCUUUUCACCUAUGUAGAAUGAUGGUUGUUCAAUUUGAUAGACAUUUGCAUUGUUCUUUUGUUGUUUUUGAGUUUCUUUUAACUACGCCUUUAUCAUUGCAUGUAGCUCUGACAAAUGAAUUGCCAAAUCUUUUGCCACAGGAUUAUCAACUUUUGAAAGUCAAAAGUAUCAAGUCAUGGAUGAUAACCAUAAUUGGUAAAGAAAGGUGUUUAUUUUGUAGAAGAAUGUAUCGUUGUCAUGUUGUGGUUCAGCUACUAUAUGAAAAUAAUGUAAUUAUGUACUUAAUAUAUAAUUUAUUAAGUAACAUGGUGAAAGCCAUAUUAAUAGAUUUUAGUUGGUUGUAGAAUAUAAUUUGAUUAUUACCUUGAGAAGAGGUUGUUUAAAAAGAUUACUAUAGAAUUUGUAUAAUUUUAAUUUCCUUUUGAUAGUGGCUUUUAAGAUUGGUUUUGGUUGAUAGUAACUUCUAAAUAUUUAGAAUCACUUUUGUUAGACAUUGGUGACCUUUGAAAACUUCUUUUGGUUCUUCUAUUUGAUAUUUAGAGCAUAUAUUAUGAAAAUCUUAUAAGAAAAAGGAUUGAAGAAGGAUUUUGGUAGCAAAGGGAGUAAUUAGGGCACAAAUAUAGGUGAAUAGAGAUGAAUAAUGAAAAUCUCCAUUCCUAUUGGUCAAAAAUCAUGACCAAUGGGCUUUGAGGAGGUUGCCCGAGGCCAUAUUAGAGAUUGGGGUUAGUUUCUCGAAGCCAUUUGAGCUUUGAAGGCUAAGGACAGCAGGUUUAGGUUUUUGGCUAUGGUUUUGGUGCAAGUUUUGUAUGAUUUGGAGUUUAUAUAAAGGAGAUAUAAGCACUCAAAGUUAAGGUAUUGAUUUGGAAGCUAUUGUCACUCUUUUUGGCAUAACGCACGCAUACAGAUAGCACUUGAGGAUCGGCAAUUGUGACUAGAGAGAGCACUUUUGCGGCUACACUUUUCAUAUACUACUUACUGGAUUCUAAGUUGAAAGGAAGGAGUUAUUGUAUUUUGAAGUCAAUGCAUUCAAUCUAAGGGUAGUAAGUGACCCGAUUUACUAGUGGUUGUGUCUUCAAUUGUAUCUUAAGCAAUUUGAUAAGGUUUUAGCUCAAAAUCUCAAGAAAUGUGUAAUUUUCAAUUAGUAAACUUUAUGCAUAAGUUUUAUAACAUUUAAGUAUUGGAUUCUUGAGAUAUUAAGAAAAUAGUGUUUGGGUGCUUGUAAAUUAGGAUUUAGAGCAUCUGCUAGGGUUUCUUAGAUGCCAAAAGAUCGAGAGUGAAUUUGUAUUUGGUUUUUUUUGUAAUAAAACCUAAGAGUGAAUUCUACCUAUUCUAUAAAUCUUAGACAAACUAAACGGUUAGAUCAAGAGUUAUGAAUUUCUAAAAUUUUAAAAAUAAAAUCUUUUGCAGGAAAAAUAUGUAUUGAAGGGAUUUUGUAAUAUUUUGAGUUUUAUGCAAAAUAAAGGAGUUUUGGGAGGCUAAGCCAAGACUCAUAUAAAGGUUUUAGCUACAUUCUCUAUAACUAGAUAUCUAGUGUAUUCCCAAAUAGCAAAUCACGCCAUACGACACGAUGUUAUUGUAAGCAAACUCUGCCAAUGGCAAAAUAGUUGUCUAAUUAUCUUGUUGGUAGUUGAUAGUAUAUCUUAAAUACUACUCCAAAACUUGAUUAAUAUGCUCCAUUUGUCCAUCAGUUUGAAGAUGGAAUACCUAAAAUGGUUUUAUAUCCACUUCUAGAAUCUUAAAAAGAGUCCACCAAAAUCUUGAUACAAACUGAGUUCCCUUAUCUGAUAUAAUAUCUUUGGAUAAUCCAUGAUAGCGAUAGAUAUUGUCAAGACAAAGCUAAGCUCUUUCUUCACCUAUGAUGGAUUUUGUACAUGGUAUGAAAUUUUCCAUCUUAAUAAAAAGAUCUACUAUCACAAAUAUAGAGUCAUAAGAACUUGAGAUUAAAAGAUCUAUGAUGAAAUCCAUAGAAACAGAAGACCAUAGUUGUUCUAGAAUGGGUAAUGGCUUAAGAAGUUUGUAAAGUCAAUGAAAAGGAGUUUUUGAUUUUUAACAAACAUCACAAGAUUAUACAAAAUCUUUGAUUGUUUUCCACAUUUGGGACUACCAAAAGUCCCUGCAUAUUAGUUCCUAAGUUUUAUUGUACCCAAAAUGUCAUGUUGUUGGAAAGUCAUGAUGAGCUUGAAGAACAUGUAAUUGAGCUUCACCGUGUGGAAUAUAUAUGUGUCCUCAAAAUAUAAUAGAUUGUUCUUGAAUUCAAACUUGGAAGUAUCAUGAAACUUUGAAGGAUUUUUUUUAAUAUCACAAAUAAGAGGAUCAGAAGACAUACUUGACUGAACUUGCUUAAUGAAAGUUGAAUCAAUAGUUAGUAUUGAUUUCAUUGCUCGAAGAUGAAAAUGCUCUAGCUUCAAGAGAAUUGUCCAUUGUUGAUCAAAAGAAACAUCUCCUUUCUUUAAUGUAAGGUAGAAUUGUUUAGAGAGUGCAUCUGACAAACCUUGUUAUUUUCUUGGUCAAUAAGUGAUCUUGAAUUCGAAUCUUGACAAAGACAUACUGUGACGAGCUUGGCAACCAUUCAAAAUACGCGAUGACAUAAAAUAUUCAAGAUUCUUAUAAUUUGUAUAUACAGUAACUCGGCUAGAAGUACCUUCUAGAUAAUGACGCCAUUCUUGAAAUGAAUCCACGAUUGCAAGAAGUUCUUUGUCAUUGAUCUUAUAAUUGAUCUGGACUGCUAAAAAUUUUUUGGAAUGAAAAGCUAUUAGAUGAAUUUUAUCAUCUAUUUCUAUUUGUGACAAUACAGCACUCAAAGCAAAGUCUGAUGCAUGUGUUUCUAUAAAAAAUGGCUUAAAAAAAUCAACGCAAUACAAGAUUAGUGCAGAAACAAAGGCUAUCUUCAAAGCUUCAAAUGCUACUUCCACUUCUUGAUUCCAUUGAAGUUUGUCUUUACAAGUCAAACGUGUAAGUGGAGCUGCAACUUGAGAGAAGUCUUUGAUGAAGAUCCGAUAGUAGUUGGAAAAUUCCAAAAAGCAUUAUACAUCUCUUAUCGUUUUUGAGAUCUUUCAAUCCAUAAUAGUUUGAACUUUCUUAAGAUCCAUCAUAAGUCCAUCAUUUGAAAUGAUGCAUCCUGAGAAGUCAACUUGAGUAAUGUGAAAUAUACACUUUUCUAUCUUGGCAUAGAGUCUCGCAUCUCUUAGUUUUGUAAUACAUGACAAACAUGAAAUUCAUGUUCUUCUAUGUUCUUAGAAUAGAUUAAGAUAUCAUGUAGAUAGUAGACAACAAAAUCAUUUAAAAACUCAUGAAAGACAUCAUUCAUUAAAUGUUGGAAUGUUGCUGGUACAUUUAUAAGUCCAAAAGGUAUGACAUUGUAUUCAAAAUAUCCAUUCUUUAUUCAAAACGCAGUCUUCCAUUCAUCUCCUUCUUUGAUGCAUACCAGAUUGUAUGCUCUUUGUAGAUUUAUUUUUCUAUAGAUCUUACCUUGGUUCAAUUGAUCAAGGAGUCCAAAUAUCAAAGGUAGCGAGUACCUCUUCUUGAUGGUGAUUUUGUUGAGUCCUCGAUAAUCGACACACAUCUACAAUGAUCCAUCUUUUUUUUUUCACAAAUAAAAUUGGAAUUCUUGCUAGAGAUUUGGAAUGGCGUAUGAAGUUCUUGGCCAGAUUUUCUUCAAUAUUCUCCUCGGGUUCAUUCAAUUCAUUUUGAGAUAAAUUGUAGAUUGGUCCAAAUCGCGACUGUGUUCCUUCUUGAAGUUCAAUUGAGCAGUCAUAGGAACAAUGUUCUAGAAGAGUAUCCACAUUUUUCUUCUCAAAUACAUCUUAAAAAUCUUGAUAUUGGCUUAAAAUGUAACUUGAAGUCUUUCUACUAGUAGAAAUAAGUGUGGCAUAAAUAACACAAGAUGAUCCUUCUUUUGCAGCAUGCAAGAAAGCUCUUGCGCCUACAAAUACAGGUUUAAUUGUACUAGACUUAUGACUUUUUAUUUAAUUAACUACACUCUUAGUUAUACUUUCAGGAAAGUCAAGACUACGAGAAGUCUAAUCUAUUUUAGGAUUAUUUUUUUUUAACCAUAAUAAACCUAAAAUGACUAGAUUAGAGGGAGAUCUAGUGAUAUUAAAUAUUACAAAGCUACUAUAAUCAUUAGUUGCUACUUCUAUAGGAAGGAUUUCAUGAGUAACAUUUCUUGAAGACAACGGACGACCAUCUAUGACUUCUACAUGAACAUAUUUAGUUUUCUUCACUAAAAGUAUGCUAUAUUUUUUAGCAAAUUCUUCAUCUAAGAAACAUACUAAGGCUCUUGAAUCUAACAAGGUAGAGGCUUUGUGAUGUUUAGGUCCUAGAAUAACAUUUAUCAUAAAACAUGGAAAGGGUUCUAAAGAGAGAAUAGGACCUUCAUUAGGCUUAUACAAGGUUCCAACUGCACGGUCCCUAUUGUAGCUGAACAAAUUUGUUUUCCAACAUGCUAUCUUCUUUGAUCACCGUACUCCUCAUUUUAUAGUUACGUCGCUUCUUUGGGCAAUGUUGAGCAAUGUGCUUUGAUUCUCCAUAAUAUAAGCACAAUCCUUUUUGAUGACUACAAGUCUUUUCUUGCUUAGUAAGAAAUUUGAAACGUACCACAUCAAUUUGCAUAUCCUCUACUUUUGAAUGUAUGUAUUGAAGAGAUGUUGGUAUUGCCAUUGAAUUAUAGUAACGUUGAGGUUCACUUGUAUGGUUCUCAAAUCGGAAUUCAAAAAGAUGAUUGUCGCACUUCACAACAAAGUCAAUUGCUUGAGUCAAUGUUUGAGGAUCAAAUAAGUUGAGCAUUAAUUUUUUUACCUCAUAUCUUAAUUCUUAGAAAAAUUGGCUAACAAGUGCAACAUCAUCCCACUUGAUAUUAAUUACAAGUUGUCAAAAUUAUAAAGCAUACAAUGUUACUAAUCGAUUGCCUCAUUGCAAAAUAUGGAUCCUGUUGGUUGCAAUGCAAAUUGCAUCAUGUUUUCCAUACAUGGAUCAAAACUUCGCCAAAAAAGCCUUCAAAUUAUCCAAUAUUAGAUCUUAUCAUUCACAAAAAGAUGAAAACCAUGAUAAUGUUGAAUUUGAAAGAAGCAUACCAAUGAAUCUAACUUAUGAUCCUGGAGUUGGAUAGCUUUGGAGUUUAAGUUCAAUCACAAGUUUUAAUUGAUUGAUAAAUCCUUUAAAGUUUGAUCUGGUGCCAUCAAACAUCUCGGAUAGGAUAAUUCUAGAUUUUCUAAGAAUGGAAGGACAUUCGACCAUAGCAGAAGGGACAUGAUUUAGUGCAGAUGUUGAAGCAACUCCAAUCAUUUCUAUAUCUUCACUUCCUGCCAAUCUUGUUGCUCCUUAUGGUGGUAAAUUGAGUUGAUGUAUUGUAAGUAUUAACUCUUUCAAUUGCUCUUGUAUUUAUACCAUUACACUCUUCAUUUCAAUAAGUUUUGCCAUGAUAACACUUAAAAAGAAAAUGUCUAAUAUUGCUCAAGACAAAUAGAAGAAAGGACUUGAGAAGAAAGAAAAUAGUAAGGACAAUAUCAGUUUAGAAGAGGGUAAUCCAUAACUUUUAAUGCGCUUAUGUCUUAUCAAGAGAAAGGGAUAAUCCACUCUUAAUCAAGAUUUGAUAAAGCUCUGAUAUUAUAAGUGUACUCUUAUUAAUUUGUCAAAGACAAGAACUUGAUAAAAAUGAAUAAACAAGUGAGACUUCUCUCAAAGAAAGAUGACAAAAUAGAAAUAAUUUAAUAUAUAUAUUUAUAUAUAUAUAUAUAUAUAUAUAUAUAUAUAUAUAUUUAUAUAUAUUAAAAAAAAAAUUAGAAUGGCUAUUGCCAAAAGACAAGAAAACUAGAGACCCUUAAAACUAGACUAGAAACAAGAAAGGAGUUGACAAGAGUGAAGAGGGCUUCACUCUUGUCUCUAUAUAUACUAUCCAACUAGGUGCUAUGUGGCAAUAUUCUAUAGGACCUCUAAUAUGUGUUGACUUUAUAAGAUACAUGCUUUAACUUACAAGGCAAGUUUUUCUACAUGUCGGCCACAUAUUUAGCUUGGUCUUCAAGCUAACAACAUGUGUGGCACAUGGCCAACUUAUUGACGACGUUUCUAAUCCAAAAAGUCAAUUAAAGACACCUAUAAAGUCAAAACAGCAUCUAUGAAGCUUCUUAUAAGCUUCUAUAGAAAAUAAUAUAGAAUUAACUUAUUUUUAUCUACUUUUAUUUACUUCUACCUAUUUAUACAUGUAAUUACUGGCUUACAUGCAUAUGUCCGUGAUAAAGACUCGGAAAGGCUCAUGAGCAAUGUCAACAUAAUUUCUCUAUCAUUAACUGACAUGUCAACAAUUGCUACUUGGUUUGCAAGUGCUUUUACCUUGUUGACAUAAGCCAUGAGGUCAUCUCCUUCUUCCAUCUUUAUUAUUAAGAACUUCUUUCUUGUCCAUAGAAUGUUAGUAAGGUUUCUACUCUCAUAGAUGUUGCAAAGAGUCUUCUAUGCUUUUGCUGGUCUAGUGCAAGCAAUUACAUGUGAAAAAUUAGCAUCAUCAAGAUUUGCUGCAAUCAUCCCAAAAGCCUUCCUUUCACAUUGUUUAUACUCCUUUUUCACUUUCACAUGAGCAUUGUUACUUAGAAGGUCUUCACUUUCAUCAACAAUGUCCCAAAGAUUCAAUGAAGCCAACAAAAGUUCCAUUUUUUUCUUCCAAUGGUAGAAGUUGUCAUCUCUAAACUUUUCAAUUACUCUCAAAUCCUCAUCCUCACUUGAAGCCAUGUCUAAAGAAGGGAUGUAUAAAAAAAAAUCAAAAAAAAUGUAGAAUGAAUUCUCAAAAUCAACAAGAAGAUGUUGCUGACUUAGAAAUCUAGAAUGCCCUCUUAGUAAGUAAACUAGUGAUUUCAUUCCUGAAUCACUUUCAACUUCACUUAUAAGACUUCUCACAAGUCUGAUAUUCUAUCAUAACCUCUUAUAUAAGCUUUGCCUCUCUUUAAUCACCUCUUUUCUUUCACAAAAUACUUCUAACCUCACAAAGCACAUCUUAUCACAAUAAGUAGAUCUCUUAAGGAGAUUAGUACAUAAAAGCACAAAGUUAGAGCACCAAUGAUGAAACUCAACAAAAAAAUACAAUAUAAGUGUCCAUAAACAUCAAUCUAAGGUGUCUAACAACCUCCAUAAUUAUGAAUGCACUUAAUAACAAGUAAGAGCAAUAACAACAUCAAUAACUAGAUACAAAAGGAGGUUUAAAAGAUACCAAAUUCUAACAUCAGCAAUAAUCAUAAGAUCUAUUUUUAACACCAACAAAGACUUCAAAGAACUUCAAAACUCACAACUAAAGGUGAAUGGGUCCAUAACCUAUUGAAGAAUAAGCACUUUGAAGUCACAACACUUAGCAUUAGAAACGUUGCACACAAAGAGAGUAUGGAGUAAGAUAUGUCUCACUUCCAACACCCAAUACUUAUAAAUAGUGGUUGUUGUCCAAAAAGACAAAUUUCACUCUUUGACUUUUGUACACAUGGUAUUAGGAUCCUUUUGGCAACUCACUAACUUUCAGGGUAUCUUAUAACAUGUACUAAUUACUCUUAUCUAGUCUUUGGAUAUUUCCUAGUUAAUUCUUUAUCCUCUUGACUUUGACUCUUGGCCCUUAACUUUGACCUAUAUCCAUAGGAUUUUCUUUCUAUACACCAAGAGUCGACCUUUUGACCAUUAGCAACUUACCUAAGAUAAUAUCUUCUACAAUGUAAUUUAUUCUACUUUCACUUUGACUUCAACACAGAUGCCAUGAUUUCAAAAGUUGCUAGAAGAGGCCAAGCAGACAUUCAAGCAUAAGGAGUGAAUUGAAUCCUCUACUUAGAAUCAUGUUGCUUACUUUUUUUCAAAUUUUGAUACUUAGUGCUCCUCCAAAUCCUCAUUCUGCACACUACUUCAAAUUUCAUUUUGUGCUAUAGUCAUGGGCCCACACGCUUCAAACAUAUAUAUAUAUAUAUAUGACAUGUGUGUCUAUAUAGACAUGACAUGUUAUUUUGAGCUAAAAUUAUAUAAGAAUAUUGAUGUAAUUAUUGAAAGUAGUUGAUAAAUCUGGAUCCAUCUAUCCAUUAGCUACAGCCUAAACUUAAAUGCCAACAAUACAAUUGAAAAUUUUAAAAUAGUGUACAAUAUUGAUUUUUCUGUUUCAAAAAGAAUUUACUCACUGAUAGAGGAAUAAUCCAGAGAUAACCCAAAAAGUCAUAUUGCAGUUCUACAUCACUUCCCCAUGAGUUCCCCAAAAUUUCCCGCGAGAUCAGACCCCAACGCGGGAAAACUGAAGGGACCGUCCCGCCACGCUCCCGCCAAUUCUCCCCUUGUGCAUCCACGACCAUAGCAGUCACGCCAGCCAUACGUUACCUUGACUUUUUGCCGUCAUUCUUGUGCAUCAGCGCCACGAUUCGCUUGCAACUGCCGUCGAUGACCCCUUCGCAACGACAAAUUGACAAUACUCAAAUACCCAUCUCGUCAUUUUUAGCAAAUAAGAAAAUUAGGCUUGCAGUGGGUUAUUUUGGCUUUGGCAGAAUGUUGUUGGGGGGGGGGGGGAUUUCAUGUAGCGAGGCUCUCAUGGGGUGCUUUGGUCUAGUUCCAACUGUGUGUAGCACCCUCUUGGUCGCUCUGCCGGUUGAUAGCCGGAUUUUGCAUGUCUUGAGCAUCACAGAGGACAUCUGCAUGCAGUAAUAUAUGACCCGGACGUGACUCUGAUUUCUAAAAGCGACUUUACUUCAAUCCGUGACAAACUUAAAAACUUGCAUGUGCAGAAAUCAGAUUUACGGAAACGGAAUCCUGAGUUUCGAGAGAAUGUUGUUCUGGAAGAAGAAGGGUCAGGAAUGCCUCUUUACGCUGUACAUUGUUAAAUUACUAGUUGAACACCGUGUUAUCCUUUAUUUUUUUGACUGAAAGCAAUCUCUUGGCUAUUGUCCUGUACAAACGCAAGCCAAGAUAUGCUUCAUGGAAUAAUCUAGAUAAUGACCCUUUUUUUUCUUUUUUUUUCUUUUUUUUUAAUAUUUUGACUUUCAUGGACUCUUCUUUGUUGCUUCUGAUGCACAGAGUGAGGCGCAUAGGAUACAAGCUACUCUCCGUGAUUUUAUGUCAUCUUUCUCUUUGUACCGUGGUUCUCAUCAUGAUUGCUCCUUUCUGGGUGCCCUGAAAUGUUAUCACUAUGUACAGAAAGUUCUUCCUUUAAGAAUUAGCAAUGAACUGCAGUUGACGAAUGCCAAACUUAAAUGUCUCAGUUGCCUACGUCCUUUUUGUCAUGAUCAUCACCAGGUAUUUUCUGGAUCUCGUUUUCACGAAAGUCAGGAGCUGUUGUAAAAGAUUUUGAGAUAGCAUGGAAUUGUGUUCUGCCCAGGUUUUAAGUAGAAUAAUUACUGGUAAAUAAUUCCCACAUAAUGGAUACUGCUUGUUUACAGCUCUCACUUUCGUCUACAAGUAGAUGAGAUCUUAGUCCUCACUCCCUUCCUCUUCUCUGAUUUCAAAAUUUUCAUGAUUUCCUUUAGACUAUUCGCCUGUUUCUUUUUGCUGCGGGGAAUAGUCUGCACCGGUGUUUAAUCGGAUCAUUUUAUGUUUUCUUGAAAUAGAGGCACUGAACGCCAUGUGACUUCAGCCUUGCACCGGUGAGAUGGAUACUUGCUCUUUGUUUCCUCACUUUUAUUGUGUUUUCAUCCAUGUCAAGUCAUAGAAACGAUAGUGAACCUAUUCUGUUAUUAAAUUUGGCAACAUUUUACUUAUUCUGUUGGUGUUUAUCAUCCACAAUGUUUUGUACCCACUUGUCGUUAUAUUACACGUGUUCCAGGGGUCUCUUUGACAUGUAGUCGUAUUUGUUGGUGCAGGUGACUCCAACAGCAACGUUCGUUUCGUGCUGUUGAAAUAUUUUUGCAUCACAUGAUCUUGCUCUCAUAUUCAUCUCUUACUAUGAUUUUUUGAAUUUAGGGAUAUCAAUUCUCUUAAACAUCUUUUUUGUUCCAGGAGAAUGAAACAGAUCGAGUUCCUGGCAUUUGAAACGUCUUUUUAAAGAAGAAUAAAGACUUAUAGAUAGCGUCAACAGUCAGUUGAAUGUGGUUUCAAGUCAGCAUAAUACGCCGUUGUUUUUAGAUCCGGUGAGAGAGCAUCACCGAUAUCACAGAGGGUUGCAGUUAAGGUAACUUCCAAAUGUUUUCUCGUUCUCCGUGACGUAAUGAAUGUUUAGCUUUGGCAGCUCAAAGUGGUCCACAAGUAUGAUUAUGUGCUAGUGUCAUCAGAUCUAGCGUUUUGGAGGUUGUCAUUCCUUCGAUUCUGCCCUUGAAGGAACCCUUAAAUUGGACAGUUGGUCUGCACACGUGAGUUUGUUGCAACUGAUUGCAGCAGAGCUAUCGUUCUAUCCACCUGCACAAACAGUGUGUUCCAACUCAUUGUUGUCCUCAAUUUUCUGCUCUUCAUCAGUCUGAGGAUACAAAUGCCUCGGUUCAGGUAACGGAUGUGCUUUAAUGAAAGCUUGUUUAGCGUCGCAGGGCUUUGAUGGAUGUUGCAAAACUUCAAUUUGUUAAUAACGAGACUACUGGUAGAUUGCCAACCUAAUUUCGCGGCUGGCUAGAAGGAUAACUGCGGAUUGAUUCAGAUGUUCAAGUCGAAGCCUCUGAAGUGUUGAGCCAUGACUUUGUGAAGUCAAUCGAGAAAAUCUUACGAUGCGUGACCCCUGUCGCUUUCCACCAAACAGCCCAUCCAGUUGGAUAUCAUUCUGAAGUUUUCACUGCUUCAAGAAUGUAUGUUCCAAGCACAUGUUUUAUUUACGCAAUUGUCACAGGUUGACAUAUUCGCCUCUUCACCUCUUUCAUGUGGGUAGACCCGAAGUACCACCAUUUAUACCUCUGUCACCGACUAUGUAGAGCAGAUCAGCAUAUUUCGAUUGCUCCAACUAAGUGGACCUUGGAAUGAUCCACGAAACUUAAUCAAUCGUUAUUUUGUAGUUAGACUUUCCAGAACACCGGCGUACUGUUGUUUGUAGAGUGUAACGCCAGAUGUACUUGGCUGAGCUGGGCAUAUCCACAGCAGAUAGGUACCACAGAGAUUGUUACUAUAUGGUGCCGCUGUGAGUUUUUCAGAAGUGGUUAUUGCACCCAACUUAUCCUUUGUUACUUCUUGGAGCAAUUUCUGAAUCAGAGAGUCUUGAUCUCCGGGACGUGUUUCCUGCUCAUGCGGACACCAACUUGCAAGUCUGUUCUUUUUCCAGCAACUCAAGAGUUAAUAUAAGGCACCCUAAUACUUAAGUUCCGAAGCGAAAAUCAUGUCAUUAAUACUGAGGUGUAAUGCACAUGCCGGGUAUUGACCGGAAUUUACUAUUUAAUGACCGAAAUUUAACUUUAUACUAGAACUUGAAAUAGUAAAUUCCGGUCUACUUUACCUCAAUUUUCAUACCUUGUCUAGUUACGUAUUUUUAUCAAAAUUUACACGUCAGAAUUUCGGAGUGAACAAUGAGAUGAAAGCAUUGGUUCCAUUCAGAAUACUGUCGUGGGCUUCUUCAAUUGCAUUCAAAAUCAGCAACUAAUUUAGUGUUUUGGGGAUUUUUGAUUCUCAUCACCUACACUCUAUCUAUGUGCUGCUUGUUGCAUCAUUGUUGCAAGCGCAUCUAGCUCAACUGAAACGUUAAUCGCCGUACAAUUCACAUCUAGAUCUAUUGACAGCUUGCAAUCCACACGUCGUUAACAAAAUGAAGUGGACGUAAAUUAGGCAUAUACUGCCAGAAAGUUAGAUUGACUGCGCAUAAUGGAUCGUCUUUACUGCUGUCUGAAAACAAGCUAUUAAAUCGUAAGAGUUCCCAUUUUCCUUGUGAACACUCAAACCUCCACAUACCUUAAACCACAGUAUUUUUCUCAAGGGCACAUACGUAUGUAUUUAAAGUGUGGCUCUGAAGACCACUGCAAAAUUCAGUUUUCCACCUGAUUUUCACUGGAAACUCAUGACCAUUUUUCAUCCACAGCGUCCCGGUGUGGAGAAUAAGGGGUCCAAGACACGGAUUUGGACAUUCGCAAAGUCGGAUAAACUCUGACAAAGUCUAUUCACAAACUCCACAUGUUGAUUUGUCACUGUGUGUAGCGGUUUCGUGUAGAGACCCUAAUUCACAACCCUAAUGUUCCAUCCAAAACAUUACUCAAAUCAUCAAACAUGCACUUUCAGAGAUUUACAAUCAAGGAAAGGAUGGACAAAUGAAACAAAGUAGCCAGUUAUAAAACAACGGUUUAGAGGCACCAGAGAGUCUCUUCUCUUACUCUGCAAUCCAAAAGUGCGUAACAUGCUGCAGGAGUUACAUUAUUCAACAAAAGAACGUUUCAUAACAGAUUCAUGCUCAAGGGAGUGUUAAACAAAAUACUGCCACAUAGCAAAUGGAGCACAAAAAAUAUAGUUGGUACACACCAAUUCCUAAUUCAACACAAAAGUGCCUAAAAUAAUUGUAGCAACCUUUUACCAACCUUGAAACAAUCACAAUAUGUACACAAUUCAAUCAGUAACAAAAAAAGAUUCUACCACAGAGACAUGUGUCAGUGGUGUUCCAUGUUCUUAAGCUACCAAGUUCCAGUUCUCAGUUACUAAAAUUUCUACAGCCUCUUCUGAAGGAGUUUCUUCACACACCGAUUGAGACUGUCAGCUAUGAAUCUCCAAUUCUCAGCACCCUUGGGUCCAGAACGCAGGUAGAAGGGAAAUAAGACAUUCCACAUCAUAGCUCCGAGAACACAAAAAAGCCAUACCUAGCUACAGCUUCAUGGCCGAUUUGAACAUACAAGAAGCUUCUGAGAGUGAGGAAGUCGAGACAGCUGUCAUAGGCGGAUGGUUGCUGCCCCGAGGGUAGUGAGGAGGAACUUAAGGACAAAAUUUCGACAAAUGGACGAAUCAGUAAGUCAAAUAGAUCUCAAUAUGGGACCACAUAAGGCAGGGCAUACAGGUCGCAGGAGGGUAAUAAGACCGCCUCGGCCCACACCUGCACCGAGGACUCCCCUGCCCCCCUCUCCACCUCUGCCUUUGGCUUCAGGUGAGACCCAAGGGGCCUGCCUGCGAACAACCAAUCCUCAUCCGGAGUGUCUGACCACGAGCUUGUGGGCUUGAGGAUCAUCAUCUCACAUGGAGGAGAAGGCAAUUCAGAAGCCUUGGGAGACUGUCUUUGUGGUUCUAACUUAACGCUGGACAACGCAGGCUGGUUAUUAAUACUGCCGGGGGGCCCAAUACUAGCGCUACUCUCAGGGGGCAAAACUAAGCCUGGCUUAACAUCAGAAGCCUUGCCAUUGGGUUCUUUUUUACUAUACAAUGGUUGAGGAAUUACAGGAAGAGUUACAGGAGUCCUCUCCAGCACACUCCAGGCUAGGGUCUUCCCGCCAUCCCUGACCUCGCCCUUGCUGACAAGAGAUGGCUCAACAGCAGCAGCUGUUGACUGUAUAAGUGGGCGCUCAGUGACAGCCGUUGGAGGAACAUCCCGCACUUUCCCAUUCUGUUUCUCUUCUUUAGGCUGUAGAAUGUCGCUGAUAAGAACAGUCCGUGGCUGCUUACUGGGCCGCAAGGAGUCCUUGUCUGUACCAGAGGCAAGAGCGGACCCAUGACCCAAUGAUGUUGAGUAUCGUCAAGAAAAUGUGUCACAGAGCGAUAGUGAACUCAGACAUCAGCAACCGCCCUGCUGAUAUAGCAUACAUUGAUCUACAGAGCUGACCGGGGAGAAAGAGCCCUUGAAAUUUGACUAAGUUCCAAGGACGAAUGCAAAAGUAGGAGGGAUUGUUUCCUUGUCAACAUAAGGGCACUGCAUCGGAGGCAGGUGCUGAUACAAAAGCUAAUGAAAUCACACAUAUCCGAGCUUACUUCGUCAAUGUAGUUUUUCUAUUUCACAACUAAACAAUUUCCUCGUUAUGAUCACAGGAUUUCUAGCGGUGGUUACUAAGUUCUGGAAUCUUAGAAAAAUCCAAUGAUCUCUUUGAAUAUUUACACAAAUAGGGUCCGAUCUACAAUCUAGGGUACUUCUAUACAGAGAGUACACUCUGGCAAGUUGCUUAGCACACUUGGCAUCAUUGUACAACAGGACGAGAGCAGAAGGGAGAAUGACUUACCAUGGGUAUCCCCAUUCGUAUCCCCAUCCUUUUUCUUCUUUUUCUUCUUGUCUUUAUGUUUGUCUUUCCUGUCCUUCUGCGGCACAAAGUAGGAACAAAUCAACGCUCGCAUGUUAGACCAGAGAUCACGAGACCGAAACACAUUCUGAAAAAUUGGCAGCAUCCAUCAUCAGAAGUAAACUGGGUUUGUACAGCAAGGGCCACAUCGCACAUCUGUGCCAAUAAUGACUGGAUCCCAAAUGAAUGUAAACAAGAUGGCUUAGAAAUGAUGGUCGCAACAACAACGCAAUGGACAAAUAGAAUUAAGAGAAACAAAUCCAUCAAAGAAACGUAAUGCUGCCGACAGAUGCUUCGCGCAGAUUUCAGGGCAUGGGCAAGUGUGAAGACAGUAAGACCAAGGGACUCAAACAUGAUCGCCACCUUUGGAUUAUCUUCAACCUCCGCUCAAAAUAAGAGGCCGAUCUACACAACUUGAUAGUUUAACAAACAAAUUCCCUUCAAACCCCAAAUCUCGGAUUUGAAUGAAAAGAUUCGGCUACAACGAUCAGUGGAGUAACAGCACCACAGCUCUACACCUGCAAGGGGUCGACUUGAGCACCAGACAAGGCUUUCGAAAACUUCUCCUACCCAAUGAUUCGCAGUGAUUGGUAUCACACCUUGAGAUCUCGACUUUACGAGAGAUGUCACAACAUAUGUCUUCAUUGCCAUGCAAAGACCACCCGAUCUACUAAUAAGGCUAACAUCCACAAAGCAGCCAAGCAAAUCAAACCUUGUCCUUGGGAGGCUGAGCUAAAUCAGCAGGGAGCUGAGGUGCCUUCUUCUGGUAUCCCGGGGGCGGGAAUGGAUAGCAGCGAGACAUUUUCUAUUUGUUUGUAGACCAAAGUGCAGCAGCUCGCAGAGGCAAGGAGACUGCCCAGACCCAGCGGAUGGAGGCGUACCCCACUGCCACUGCUGCACCAUGUCACCACAUUCAAUCCUACUCCUUGUGUAGCUUCUCCCUUCACUUCCGCGCUGUUCUGAUUGUUUCCAAAUUUAAUAAUUUCUGUUGCCCACCGGUCUUCUUUCUCUUUCGAGAACCUUUCGUGAAACUGAUUUCAAUGUGUUUAUCUCCUCUUCUGAUUACAGUGAUCGUUGAGGAGUUAGAUAGCCGAAUUAUCGAUUCCCAUCCGAUGAUACCAGCUCCAGCAGAUGUGAAUUUUGACAGUCGAACAGCAUCCGUGUAACAAGAAUGACAAGGUCCCCGAUAACCUCAUUCGCUGAUGCUCAAGAAUCCUGCCAGUUUCUCCGAUAUGGUAUCGGUGCGGCACACUGGGAGUAUAACGCCGCAGAAGAAAAAGCUGAGAAGAUAUGCAUCUAGAUUUAACUUUGCAAGCUGUUCGUCGAAGUCAGCUUUCCCACACACCCUGAGUCACUUUUUCCAAGAUUCUUCACACUGCAGAGGAGCACUUUUAUGUCACAAGGCCGUCAACUAAGUUUGCUCAGAUGGUAAUCAAGCAGCAAUGGUGUUCACGAAAUGGAAGAAUGGGCAUGAUAGCCAAGUAACAACCUCCGCUGAGUAUCUUUUCAAGGCUCCCUACAUAUUCAUUCCGACCAUGGGUUCAGUCUAGGCCAUUCAACAUAACUCUUCGAUCAUCUUAAUCUUCACAGCAGGAAGCUGCCCCGAGCUGAGCCCUCAACGUCCACAAAAACCCCCGUCCCUGAGCAAUUGUGCAGCCCAGUCCAUACUUAGUGGGUAUUUUUUUCCCCCAGAAAUAGGGGUGUCUCUCUUUCCUCCGAAUCACUCAAUAAAUUAGAAUUCUUCCCCCACUUGAACGAUAACUUCGUAUAAACCUUGCUCCUGAUGCACUUAACCUCAACAACACGUCACCCCAAGCAAGAGACUAAGGGACAGAACUUGUUCUUUAAGUUAAGAUUUUCAUCGCCCCAACUUUCAGACCGUCCUCACAGAGCCCUUAAACCACCCUCAAGAUCCAAUGCAGCAGCACUCCCCGUCCCCCAAAACUAGGGUUCCCCAACCCAAGCAGGCAAAAGUUGCAGACACCAAAGGCAAACCUCCACCAGAACCCAAUUCUCAGCCACAACCUAAAACCUCGUCACGAUGUCACAACAUGGCAAUCCAACCCACGAUAGGGAUUUUUCACAGGGGAAGGCAGCCGGAAUUGAUCGGACAAACAAACUGUCCGAGUCGCUUAUUUCUGACCCUGAAACGCUAAAAUAUCCAACUAAACGACCAACCCCACUCUCCGGAACGCAAAACUCCACACCUUCAACAACUAGGUUUCCACACACACGCAAUCCGCGCAGCAAUUAGCCUUGCUCGAUUUCAGCCCUGAUUACACCCUAUUAGUUAAAUCCCCUGCGUCCGAGAGAGAGCGUGGCGAUGCGAGCCCCAUCCGCAAAGAGGAAGAAACCCACCAUAAAGGAGUGUGUUAUUUCUGAUUCCGAACAGUGCGGUUUGCGGUAAUUCCCAAUACGGUUUGAGUGACACAAGGCUCAAGCCUGCUGGCAUGCACACACUCAGGCAUGCUCCGCAGUAGGGCCAGUCUGGUAAGGCUCUCUCUGCCUUGGCGAUGCGCCAGACACUCUUCUAGCACACACAGACUAGUGGGCUCUGCUGUGUCUCCUUACCCCUCUUUUAACCCUUUCCGUUCCCCUCCUCGGUCGUCUCCUUCAAGCAAACCCUGCCAGCCUGUUUCCGUCCGACUCCAUGGAUCGAUACCCUUGUCUGGGUAAUAACACCAUGGUAUCACCCUCACUCUUGAUGAUCACGUAUAGUUAUCAACCCGGGUGUGAACUAGUGGUCCGGCGGGUGCAUUCGUCCGCUAGUGAGGGGCUCCGGGGUUUCGGGUGCCGGCCAUUAAAGCCGCCUUUCUCUGAUGUCAAUCCGUGGCAAGUAGGUCGCCCGGCAGCGCAUUCCUCCCCUCCAAGAUUGGAUUUCCUCGACGACCCUUGAACUGCAGCGUUUUCUCGGGGCGGAGCUUGAUUGAUUGAGGAGGUUGGAGGGGGAGGAUUGUUAGUGGGUGCCUCGGCGAAGGCAAGUAGAGGUGCAGCAAACAGUUGCGUUGCACCUCCCCCCCCCGCCAGCGUGUCCGGUUUGUGCGACUAACGUGGAUGUUGGUUGGGAGGGUGGGUUGGUUGUCAGCGUGUGCUGGGCUCUGUUCUUUCUUGCGUUCGUUCGUUCGUUCUCAGUGGAUGAUAAUUCACAAUCAUCCGUCUGACAGGGCUAUGUACUCUCUUUUGCUGGAUGGUGGAGGGGUGGACUACUGAGGGACCACCACUGCCAAUGGAUGAAUGAAUGUAAUCCCAUUGCAUUUCAAACGCCGUCCAUGCAGGGGAGAAAUGGAUGAAGAAAUGCUAACAAUGGGUGAUUUAAGAACCCAUGAAGUUUUUAUUUUUUUAUGUAUUUUUUAAGAAACAUUAAAAAGGAAAUAUGGGGAAUGGGUAACUAGGAGCCAACAGUAUGAGAGCCAACAGUUUGUUGACAAAUGUUUUUCACUCAAUGCUGGCUUAAGAGGAAAGAGUGUAUAGCACAUGCCUACUACAUAUUACCCACCAGUCAUAUUCAACAGCUGACCCCCAUCCAGACUCACUGUCAUUCAUAACGGAAGGUUCUGGGGUUUGUUUUAUGAACAAAGUGUGUGUUUGAUAGUCAGUGUUGAAGGUUGAAUAAUUAUUUGAGUUUAUGACCAUUGCAGGUAUUUAAGAAAUAUGGAAAAAGAGUUAUGUUAAGUUCUAAGCGUAAUGAAUAUUUUGAAACCAUUGCCAAGCUUUAUUGUCUAGUAGGAAAAAAAAAUUAAGCUUGGGAUGUGACAAGAACAUGGGUGUGGUGGUGGUUAGGGUUUGCAUUGGUAGCAGGUAGAAUUACAUUUGUGAAUAAGACAUGCUUCUGAAAAGUACAAAGAAAUGAACAAGGAAUUGAAUUGAAUUGAAUUCAUUUCAAGUAGAUGUUGAGAAUACACCUGACAACAUUAAAUAUGCUUUGAGAUCCUAUUUUUCUUUCUCUGCCUAAAUACUAAUGUUUGCAAGAGAAACUAGAUAAAUAAAAUAAAAAAUAUAUGUAUUUGAAGAAAUUAAGGAUAGGCUUGGUCCUACUUCUAUUCAUACCAAUUUGCAGAUCUACAAACAUGUUGUCCAUACUUCUAAUGACUUGCUUUACAAGUUAGUAUAAGAAGCAUAUUUGAGAAGAAUUCUAAUAAGCUUGCUAUCUAAGCUGCAAGACGAAUUUUUUAAGAAUAAUAUCCCAGAAAUUUUAUUGUCUAAACUUCUAUUACGAACUUUUAUAAGAUCUUACAAGAAUCUAAUUUCAAUAUUAAUAUUAUAUUAUUUUAUUGAUUUAUGUUAAGAUUUUAACUUUUUCUGUAUAUAUAUAUCCUUAAAAUUAUUUUGAUUGCAGUUUUUUUUUUUUUUUUUUUUUGGUAAAGUCAUAAAAAUAUAUACAUAUUUAAAAAUAUGAAUUGUAUAACAUAUUGAUUUUAGAUCAAAAUAAAUAAAAAUAAUAUAGUUUGAUAUAUAUAUAUAUAUGGAAAUUUAAUAAUAUAAAAUAACAAGUUGCAAUAAAAAGACAUUUAAUUAUCAUGAUGGCUAAAUAAAUUACAAAAGAAUGAAACCAUUAUUUAAUUUUAAUUACAAAAUCCUUGUAUGAUUAAAUACAUUUAAAAAAAUGAAUUUUUAAUUGAUAUUAUUUUAAGAAUGUUCAUAAAAGUUUCUAACAUUACCUCUGUAAGCACCACUUUAAACUUCCAAGUUGUAAAAAUUCGAAAUCUGUAUUAGAACUUCAUCUGGCAAAAAAAUAAAAAUAAAAAUAAAUCUUUAAAUGCUAAAAUAUAAUAGUUAAAUGAAUAAACGUAAGAAGAUUUUUUCUUGAAAUUAAGAAAAUUCUAAUUUCUUAGAAUCUACGAGAGUUUGAUUUAUUUUAUUAAAAUAAAGUAAAAAUUAAGACUGUUCUUUGAGCUUGUACUCAUCGAAAGAAAAAGUUAUCACAGUGUUUUAGAUUUUUUUUUUUUUUUUUUUUUUUUUAGAAUUUUACAUCCACGAUAUGAUUCUCAAGCUUUACAUUUAUCCUUAUUAUUCCUAUGUAUGUCAAUGACUUAAAUUAAUUUAUUUUGAUUGAUGUAUCUAUCGUCUUUAAUUAUGUACUUUAAACGACUGGUGAAGUUACUGCAAAAGUUUUGAAAUGUUAAAAUAAGGCAGUAGAAAAUUCUGCACAAUAUAUUUUUUUUCAGAAAGAAUGAUUCUUAAUAUUUAAGCUAAUUGGAAAAUAUUUUGUGAAUUUUUUUUUUCGAAUCAAUCGGAAUACAUUGUAAUCAUUGAUUUAAUCAUGUAUUAGACUUUCAACUUCAUGCACUAGGAAUAAUAGAUCUGUUUAUAUAUAUAUAUAUAUAUAUAUAUAUACAAAGGUACCUUGCUGUAUUUAAAACCCUGGUAGAUGGAAAUUUUAUAAAUAAUGUGAGGUUUUAUAAUUUAAGUGGAAGCUUGCAAUUUUAAAUUUCUAAGUUAUAGUAGAUAUGGAAUAAAAGACAUUCUUUGUAUGAGCCCAUACUAGCUUUGGUAAGAUUGCUAAUUUACUAUUUAGGGGGAUGAGAAAAGAUUUUUAUUGAAAUUUUAUUGCAAUUUAAAUGUGCAAGCAUUGGUCUUAAUUGUCAUACAAGAUUGUUUGUUCAUCAACAUGCUAGCACUACUUUGAAACAUAGGCACAAAGACAAAAACAUGUUUUACUUCUAAUUUGAAACAUAACUCUUGAGAGCUGAAGUAUUUGUUUUGCUUAUGGUACCUAUGACAAAUAUUAGGAGAUGCCAAGUUUAAACAUGUUUUUCUUGUUCAUUUGUGCAAAGAUAGGAAAAAAAACAUUUUUCUCCCAUUUGUUGUUAAAUUCACAAAACUUGCUUUUAAAUUCAAUUCUUUAAAUGUCACAAUAUCAAGAGGAAAUCUUAGGAGCUUCAAGCACAUUGAUAAAAACAUCUAUACUUUGGAAGUAACAACAGUAGACAACAAGCUUGUGACAAUCUUUGUCUCUAAGAAUUAGAAUAUGGGCAUUGCUAGAAAUCACAAUUUUGCUUUAUUUAGUGUACAAGUUUGAUAUUGUAAGCCUAUCUUCUUUUGAUUGCUUUGGGCUUUUUCCAUGUUUGAUAACAAUAAGUGUGAUAUGAUGUAUUAAACAAAAAUUAAAAAUCAAGAUUUAUUACUAGGCUAAGAUAAUGGUUGUGUAACAUGCAAAUACAACACCUUCAAUUUGAAAAUUAAUCUCCUCAUUAAUAAUAGUGAGAUGGUUGUCAAUGGUUGUGGUAUCCAUGACAAUCUCUAUCUCAUUUGCAACUCUAUUACUUGCAAGUGUUGUCUUAAUUCAAAAGAUUAAUAAUUUGCAUAGAAAUCUAAAUCCCAAAUGCACAAAUAAAUAAUCUCUUCUUUUAUUGGACCUAUAUUCAUCUAAUCUAAAUGCUAAUAGUACAAAUAAAUGAUCUUUAUUCUUGUUGGAUCCACAUUUAUGUAUUUUUGCAAAAAAAAUGAGUAUUUGAAUUAUAAAAUUUCUUACUUGUGAAGCCACCUGCUAGCACCACAAUGACAAGUAGCAAAUUAGAAUUAGAAACAAAUAAACGCACAAGCAUGGUUAUGAGAUUUUGUUUUCGAAACAGUAACUCACCAGGCAUAGAGGCUACACAAUACAAUGAUCAAAAUGAACAGAGAAGAACAGGGAGAACGAGACAAUGCAAUAGGAGCAACACAAAUAAGCAGCGCUCACAAAAGUUGAUUACUGAGGAACUUCUUUGUAUAACGUAACUGAGUCUGUUGUUUUGAGGUGUUUCUGAUGAAUUGCAAGCAGAACAAGGUUAUUAAUGCAUUGACAAGCUAAAUGGAUUUCUUCUAGUUUAUAUAUAUAUAUAUAUAUAUAUAUAUAUAUUGUUUUAAAGUGCUAAACACAUGAAUUUUUAUUACUGAAUUUCAUUUUUUUGAUUCCUGAUUGAAAAUAAAAUAAAUAUUACUACAUGAGGCUUAUAGUGGUCUAUAUUUAUAAGGUUCGUGUAAUAAUUUGAUUGUUUUUGUUUUUUUAAAAAAAACAUUAUCUAAAAUCCGUCAAACCAUUCAACUACCAUGCUUGAAACACCAACAUUCUCAUCAAUCAUCUUUGUCUUAUUUUAAAUGAAGGUAUUGUUCAUGACAUGUUACAAAAGUCACCAUGGUUAAACUUAGCACAAAUACCAAUUUGAUUAGAAGAAGUAAGAAAAUCGAUUUUGGUACUUAUUGUGGUUUUCCCACACAUUUGAAGUUUUACUCACAAUGUCAAAAAGAAGUGCAUGGAUGUGAUUGAUCAAAAAAAGCACUAGUUAUUUCUUAUAACUUACUGUAUUGCAUGAUUCUAGAGCCACGAAACGAAGAGAAUAAGCAAAGUAUACUGUAUUACAUUAUAUGUAGACAUAAAAUAAAAGAACACAGGGAUUGUUUAAUGUAUUAAGAUUGAUACCCGUUCUCAACCGAUGCCUGGGUAUGUGCCUUUCAACAGAUGAACGCGGGUCUUAUCCGGGUAUGAAGUUUUGGUCCUGAAUCUAGUUUUGUUCGGCAUUUCCAAUUCGGUUGCAUUUGUCACGUCUUGAGCAUUUGUUUUGCACUGCCUGCAACGCUAGGAAAUUGAAUCAGUUUUGUCGAUUGCAUCCCUGUGCAACGAUUACGCACUUCGGGGGCAAUCUAAUCGGCUCUCAUUGUUGUGAGGUCGUUGAGCAACUCCUGUUUGUAUCACAAGCAUCGCCAUUGAAAAAUGCAGACAACACGGUGAUUCUAGGUUGCGACGCUUCUUCUCUGAUCCUCAUCUUCGGCCACAAUAUUGCCUCAUGCCUUCUCCGAUGACUUGAGAAGCGAAAGGAAUCCUGAACAUGCUCACGGAAAUCUUAUAUGUCAUCUUUUCACUCGCCAAGGUGCACUGUUUCAAUGGUGAUGCUUAUGAUACGAACUUCGUUGCCAUACCCCGCAGGAUGCCUCAAAGAUGCCCAGAGAUCACGAAGGCUCCGAGGAGACUAGCUAAAACCACUUCAAGCACGUCUCCGAAGAGCUUCAACGACACGCAGGUACAGUCUUCAUCAAUCUCACAAGCAUGAAAUUAUAUUUGACAUUCGCAACAUAUGAUUUAACAAAUUUAACAAAGAAUCUUCAGUAUUGUGAGGCAUUUUUUUUAUUUAUCACGAGACGCCGAAUCAAUUAAUCGCAAGUCUAUAUGCUCUUUCUUCUUCUUCCUCCUCUAGUUACAUCAUUCACGGUAGACAUCGCAAUAUUGACACAGUUUAUUCAACACCAGAUUAUUGCAGCUUGACCUCAACCACAAAUUUUGCAUUUGAUCGAAACUGUUACUCCAUCGAACUGUAACGAAUUUAGCUCACCUUGGCGAGCAUGUUGAAGUUGCAAAACAGUGAUUUGCUUGUUGUACACCUCUCAUAAUUGCGGUGAUUCCAGUCAAAGCUUGAUGAGAAAUUUGUGACAGGCAGUUUCAGUAGGUAAUUUUUUGUUUGAUUUGUUUGUUUGUUUGCUAAUGCCACAAUUUUUGCUACUAUCAUUGCAACUUGCCAUCCAUCAUAUGUUAUAGUAGAUUUUGCUCAUGCCACCACAAGUUUUUCUGAACUUACAUUGCACACCACAAUGUACUUUACAGAACACUAAAGAUUGUGGUGUACCUUAGGAAUGCUAUAUAAAAUGCAUUAUAGUGUGCAAUGCAAAUUUAAGGCAGUUUAUGGUGGCAGCAGCAAAAAAUUUAGUGGCAUUAACCACACCCUAAAAAGAUGUUCAAAGGUCUAAAUUCAAAAGAAUGCAAAUAGUAAAUGCAAAUAUUUGUUUGAUGUAAUUUACAAUUGAGAAGUUUGAAGAGAUUUUGAAAUAAAAACAACAAAAAGGUGAACCAAACACAACAAUAAUAAAAAUCUUUUGUGUACAGAAUGAUUGGUUAUAAUAUAUUCUAUGCAAAUAUAAGUAAAAAAUCAUUGAAUUAGGUUACACUUUUAAUAGAGAAUUGUAGGAAGAAUUCACUAGCUAGAACAUAGGGAUUCAACAAUUUAGAUAUUAUUUAUCAUAACUUCUAAUUUUGUUUCUGUUUUUGCAAGGCAAACAACAAUGGAAUGAAGCUGAGUAUGUGGGUGUGUGUAUGGAUGCGCUUUGAAGGAUUCCUCGUGUAAUUUUUCGCACAAUCAGCUAAAUUGUAAGCAAAACAGCCAGUUGUGAUCACCUGAUUCGCAUGAAUCCCCCCGUUAGACCAUUCACAGGGACUGCGUGAAGGCAAAUCCUUGAACCGGGGCUGUCUUGUGCGGCUCAAAGCAGUGGAGGUCACUCGCACACCUGGUCAGAUCCCUCCACAAACGGCUCUGCACACAUCGCAGAAUCCGAUUAUCCUCAUUUUGUCUUGAAUUCUAAGCAGCCGCAGCCGGAAUGUGCCCUAAAUCAAGCUGAGUCGUGGCCAAAUUCCUGCCCGGAGCCUCAGAGCCUCCAAUACACGGCCUACCUUUCAUGAGACUUGAGCUUGAUGGCCUGCCGAACUCCGAUUUUUCAUUCCCAACCUGCCUGUUCGACUCGGGAAUGAACUCUUGACAAAAUCCAAACGGUUACGCUUUCUACAGGAAGCAGAUAUUAGAGAAAAAAGAGAGGGAGAGCGACAUAACUUGACUUCAGUAACCUAACAAUCCAGCAGCAAAUGCAAAUCUGUUAAAUCAACUCUUCGAAAUCCGGCAACUGAGGGAGAGCUCACCAAUUAAUGAGAACAUGCUCUAUGUAACGCAUGCAACAGCAACAAAACUAAACAAUACAAAGCCCUUGCACCUCGCCACUGGACUGUAAGAGCUGACCUGUUUGCAGAAAAAGCUCGAAGAUAUUUCGAAAAGCAUUCGCAGCACGAAUUUCGUUGGGAGAGGUGGACGGAUGCCGGAAAUCGUUGCCAAGGAUGAGAAUAAGCGAGAGGAGUUGUUUCCCGACUGGAAAAAGUGUUGGAUGCAUAUCACUUAUAUUCAUCUGUGGAGCCAGUAGGAUUGUGAGGGCUAGGCAACAGGCCAUGCGCCAACCUCGAGAAGCGGAAAAAGUCGCGCCACCCAACAAACGAAUGGUUAGACAUGUGGGUGUGCGGAGAUAUGACCAAAGCCUUUCUUCCGCGCCCGCAGAGGCUGCCACUUGGUGUUGCGCUCUGCCGCGGCGCCCACAUAGCCUUUGCGUCAGCAUUCCGACCCUGCUGCGCAAUUCAUUAAAUGAUUCUUGGUUCCAUUCCUCCCUCUAUUACCAACGUCGCUACUCAAUCACGUCUCGCUUGUCAAUUACUGCAGUCUUAAGUUGUCGACGUUUCAGGUACUGCAGUAAGUUAGCUCGUAGAAUGUGUGAUUUGGUUUGCAGGGUUAGUGUCAUGUGCGAGACAUGUAGGUAGUGCUUGAUUUCUCGCAGGUUUGUGACCGAUUUUGGAGUUUUGAAGGGGAUUGUUGGGGUGACUACAGAUAUAUCCGUUACCAUCUGCAGGAUCUGAUGUAGGAUUUCUACAAGCCUGCUGAUGAACUUAUGUAUGAUGCUUCGAUGUGAUUGUAAUAAAAUGAAACGGCGCACAUGGAAGUUGGAAGUCUUGCUACGUGAUGUCGUGUUCAGGGUUGAGAAUGGCUAGGAUUGAUUCUAGGACGUGUCGCUAGAAUACGGUUUUCUAGAUGAAAUAAUCCGACAUUCUCAAAGAAGCUAUGAACAUUGCUGACGGGACUGUCUUUGUGAAGGAAAUCCAACUUGCACAAAUCCGCAUUUGCAUAGAGUAUUCUGGAGACAUGUCAUCCAAUUGAAGCAUAACUGGUUGUUUAUGAGUUAUCUGAUGCAGAAAUUUGAGCUCCUGGAACGUCGUAGUUGAUCAUCAUGGUUAGGGCUGAGAGCUUAACCGCAGUGUUGCUGUGUUGUCUUCUCCUCUGCAAUUUCGUGCCUACCCCUGCCGUGGCAAGCAGGAGGCUGAUUAGAGGAGCGGUCUCCUUUGCCAUCCGCGCGUGGUGUAUUCCCAGGACGGAAUCGUUGCUGCUAGAGUACGAACAAAAACACGAAUGUACUUACAAUUUGACUAACGGCGACAGAGCAGCCGGUGUGGGAUACAAUUUGGACGACGAUGUGGAAACUCGGCGCUCGGAGCUUAGCACUGUCCUUGCAGACUAUGAUAAGGUAACCCAACUGCCUGUAUCUCGAUCGCUUUUAGGGUUAUUUAUUGUUAGUUAUCUUUUAAUUAAAACUUAGUUAUAAUCUUCAUUGUCAAACUGUUGUGAUUUUUCUUCUGUAUUUGUGAUUUGAAUGUGAAGGUUGACUGCCUUGGCAGGUCUACAUAGGCGAGAGCUGCUUAAACGCAGUCCAAAUCAGCGCACUGCUCGCCCUUGACACGAGACGUGCAUUAGACAGAGCAGCUGCAAGUGUGAAGUCCUUGGAUGAGCAGUGUUGCGCUGUCAUGGCUGUUUUUGGCGACAUCCAGCACUCAGCGGGUAAUUCUGCAACCGAACUUAUACGUCUUAGUAGUUACGACAAUUAAAAUUUUCACAAUUAGAGAUCUUAAACUGGUUUUGGUUGCUGUUUCCAUCAGGUACUACUUCUUUUUCACAAUUCGUAUGAAGCAUACUAUACCACAUGUCCUUCGGGUCGAUUCUCAUAGAACAACUCAAGAGAGCAAUACUCACAUUAGUAUUAAUCACGUUGUCAUUCACAUACUUGCUAAUAGGGUCAACUACUCGGUUGCAGGUAAAGAUGCGUUUGAGGGAAGUGAUUUUAAGGAUUUCAUUGAAGCUAUGAGCGCCAAAAAGUGGAUGAAGGCAGCUGAAAAUUUGAAAAAAACGAGCUGGUGCAAAGCCAACAAGGAGAGGUGCAUGAGUGACAAGGCCAUCAUCAAAGAAGGCUGUGGAGAAGCUGGGGCUGAUGUAGUCAUCCACCAGGUCACUAACCCACAUGUCCACAAUUAAAACUACAAUGUACAUGGUCUAUACGAACAAUGAGAUGUGUACGCAGCAACGUUUUUCUGUAGAGGUGGUGCUUGAAUCAUGUUGCGUCUGUUGCCACAGGAAUGAGUCAAUUUUGAUGGAGUAUAUAAUAAGGGCACUGUUUGUAUGUUCUUAGCUGCGUCCAGGUUUUGGGAAUUUGCUUCGAACCCCCUUAUUUAUAAGGAUAACAGACAUAGUAUACAAAUUACUAUAAUGAUAAUGACAGAUUGUGUAACGGUGUGUGAAACUGCCUUCUGAAAACUAAAAUCUAGAUGUUUGCAGCAACGCACACUUCAAUGUUCCAGGCAUUGAAGACAGACCAUCAGAUGUUGAUAACUCUCUCUCUCUCUCGCUAUAUAUAUAUAUGGUGUCUGUGCUUUCAAAGCUGUGCAUAUGUUCAUAUAUGGUGAGAGUUCCUUGAUUCAGGGAAAGGAUAUGUAAAGACACUGUUAUGAAAUGAGGUUGAUGACAGUAACGAAUAAUGCAUCAUAUCUGGCACGCAUGAUUCAGAAAUGCACCGAGUUCCUUGAUUCUUGUGCUGGUUGGUGUAAAAUAGAUUCUGCAGUUUCUUCCAUUCACAUUCUUCUCAGGACAUCUUAUUUUGUCAUAUAUUUAUUUUAUAAAGCAUCCUUCAAACCCACCAAAUCAAUUUUGAUAGAAGAAAUUGAGUUUUUCAGUAAUUGAAGCUUUAAGGUGUAGAAAUCUUGUAUAGAAUAUGAAAGAUUAAACAAAGUCCUCAACUUCAGGGAGUUGGGUGUUCUUACAAAUAUGCAGAUAUUUUAAAAUGUUUCUUGUAAAAUGUUCUAAGUACAGUAAUAAAAUUAUACAUCAAAACCGGAUAUCAAUGAAGAAACUGAUCAGAUCUGAAUUAUAUUGUACAACUAAUGCAAACGUUGAGAUAUUAUUAGUUGUACAUGAUUAAGUAUUUUUCACACAAAAUGGACGUAAUUGAGAUGUUUGUGAGAUUGUGCAACAAGAUAGAGUGAUUACACAAUCAAAUCAUUGAAUACUUGCACAUUGGUAUUGAAAGAGGAAAUUUUGCAUUAAUACAAAGUGAACUUUAGAAGUCAUGUAGAAAUUGAAAUUGUUGUAUACUAAUGUUGGUUUUAGUAUGAAUAUUUCUGAGGAAACUUGCAAACUUAUUUACUUUAAUGGUAUUCAAUAUAUACAUAUAAUUUGGUUUGAUGUAUGAAAGAUUAAAUUUUUUUUGGAACGAGCUUAUAUAAAAUUUUACAUAUUAAGGUAUGUUUCAUGGUGUGUAUUUUUUAUUUUUUAAUUUUAUUAUUUAUUAUUAUAAUAUUCUUUAAAACAAAGAACUUCCCAAAAAUAUAAAAAAAAUCAAUUAAGUUCUAUAUAUUUUCAAUUAUAAUAUCUAAGUUACAAAUUAAUUAAAAAUAACAACAAAAAUUAUUAUUAUUUUAAUAAUAUAAAAUAUAUCAAAUAAAAUUUUUAAAUUUAAUAAUCAGAUUUUGAUUUUUUAUAGUUGAAAUUUGAUUAGAACUAUAUAAGCUUAAAUCAUUCAUCAAAUAAAUUUGACUCAUCAUCCAACUCAAACAACAAUAAUAUUGAAGAAAGAAAAUUUUGAAGUCAUAAUAUAUAGUAUAAAGUAAGAUAACUCUUACUUCAAAUAUCCAUUACUAAAAGAUGGUGGUUAUUGCUCUAAUAAACAACUUCCAUCUUUUGAUGAAUACACCUAUCUAAGAUUCUACCAAAAUUAUUUAUUGAUAUUUUAUCUAUUAUUAAGAUAUAUCUUUAGCAUAUUCUUUGUAUUCUUAAGAUCUUUUGUCCAUUCAUCUAUCUUAUGUCUUAGCAUUUUCACAUACCAAAAAUCAAUAUUUUGACCAUUAACAACUUAUCUAAGAUAAUAUUCUGUACAAGAUAACUUAUUCUACUUUUAUUUUUAUUUACUUACUUUAAUAUUUCUACUUUGUUAUUAAUCAAAGACUUUCACUUCUAAUAUCCUUGUCAAUAUGUGAUGCCUAUCCUUCACUAAUGCUUUUGUCAACAAAUUAGCAAGUAUGUCUUUUGUUGCACAAUACUAUAUCUCAAUCACUUCCAUUUUAAUCUUCUCUCUUAUAAAGUGAUGUUGAAUGUCAAUGUCUUUAGUUCUUGAAUGAUGUUUUGAGUUCUUUGCAAAAGCAAGACAUCCUUGAUUAUUACACUUCAUUAGAAUUGCUUCAAAUUACAUCACUUUAAUAUCUUCAAAAAUUUGUCUUAAUUAUAUUGCUUCUAUUGUACCAUGGCUUAUUGCUAUGUACUCCACAUCCAUUGUGGACUUUAUAAUUAUUGGUCGUCUCUUGCAAUUCCAUGAAAUAGCUCUUAUUCCAACAAAAAAUAUAUGACUUAUUUUUUAUCUUCUAUCAUUUGCAUCUCUAAUCCAAUCAUCAACACAAUUACCAUACAAAGUAAUAUUAUCACCUCCAAAACACAAUUUAAAGUAUAAAGUAUCUUUUAAAUAAUUUAUAAUUCUUUUAUGAUUAUCCAAUGGAUUGGUUCAGCUUUUGACAUGUAUUGGCUUACAAUACUUAUGACAUAUGCAAAAUCCACCUUUGUACUAAUUGUUGUAUACAUAAAUAAAGCCAUUGUUGCCUUAUAUAGAACACCUCGUAUUUCAUCUUCAAUUUUAGUAAAUUCCUCAUCUAUGAGCUUUAUCAACUUCAAAUUGGCUUUGAAAGGUUUUUUAAUAGACUUACAUUCUCUCAUGUUAAAUCAUUUCAAUACUUCUUCAAUGUCUUAUUUUGGCUCAUUGUAAUAGUUUUGUUAGUCUGAUCUCUAAUAAACUCCACUCCUAAAUAAUCGUAAAGUUCUUUCAAAUCACUCAUCUCAUACUCAUUUUUUAUUUUUAUUUUUAAUCAAUUCAUAAUCUUUAAGGUAUUUAUUUAGAUGAUUAAAUCAUCAACAUAGAAGAUGAUAAUCAAUAAGAAUUCAUUUGAUUGCAUUAUAUACAUAGAAUAAUUAGUUUCACUUCUUAUUAAUCCUUUAUACACAAAGAAUGUGUCAAUAUAUUGGUACCAUGUCUUUGGUGAUUGUUUGAAAUCAUAUAAGGAUUUCUUCAACUUACAAAUAAAGUAUCGUUUGCUUUUUUCAACAAAUCCUUGAGAUUAAUUCAUGUAUAUAUCUUCUUCCAAUUUUUCAUAUAAGAAAGUUGUCUUUACAUUCAUUUGAUGCAUCUCCAAGUCUAUUGUUAUCUCAAUUGCUAUAAUAGUUCUAAUGGUGGUGAAUUUAGCCAUGGGAGCUAAUAUCUCAUUGAAAUCAAUACAAACAACUUGUAAGUAGUCUUUGAAAAUCAAUCUAGUAUUAUAUCUCACAACAUCAUCUAUUGAAUCUCUUUUGGUUCUAAACACCCACUUAUAAUCAAUUGAAGAUUGAUUGGUAGAAGUUAAAGCAAUUUUCAUAUUUUAUUAUCCAUGAAUAAUUUGUAUUCUUUUUUCAUUGCAUUUUCUCACUUCAUAGUAUUUAUAAACUUCAUUGCAUCACACAAAUUCAAUGGAUUAGUAAAGAAUACAAUAUUGAUAUGUUUUUUACUUACUUAAGAAAAGAUGUCAUUCUUUUAUCAUUUACUGUGUUAUUAUUGGUGUUAAUUUUUUUUGUUUGUUUCUUUUUUCUUUUUUCUUAUAAAAUAUCUCUUUUUACUUGAUGAAGAUUCACCUCCAUGCACUCUAAGGUUUUUUAUAACCUUCUUCUUUCUUAAAACUUAUUCCUUCAUAUUUAAAGAUUGAUACUCUUCAUCAUCAUCAUAUUCAAUGUCUUAAUUUUUUUCAUUGCUUGUAUAAGAAUUAUAGACACACUUUAGUCUACCUUCUUUAGCUCUUUACUUUGAUUUAAAAAAAUACUAAAAUAUAUGAAAUUUAAACUUAAUACAAAAGAUACAAAAUAUAUUCUUAUUGAAUAUUGUGAAGGUAUUAAGGCAUAUAGGCUAAUGUAUUUAAAAACUAAAAAAAUCCUCAAGAGUUUUGAUGUAGAAUUUUUGGAGUAUAAGAGUACUUGUGAACACUUAAAGAUGUGUCCAAGUGAGAGUAAUGAUAUAUUUAUAAAUACAUCUUCAAUUUUAGUAUAAAAAAAAAAAUUAUAAUAUUGAAGCUCUUCAAGUUCAUUUGGUGCUAGGCAAUAAAUUGGUUGACUUAUUGAUUUGGCUCGUGACAAUAGUUCUAUUUGAAAAGGGGCACCUUGAUAAGGAGACAUGCUACUAGGUAGGUUGAUUGGAAAAACAUCUAGAUAUUCUCGUAUGAGUUACUUUGUCCAUUUUAUUCCUUUAGUUGUCUUUCCUACCAUUGAUACAAGAUUUGAAACCACCAUAUAUACUGGUUGCUUAUGUUAUAUUUGCUUCUUCAUAAAAGUCAUUUCUACGAGUAAGUCUUUAGUUGCAAAUUAUUUUUUCUCUUCACUCAAUGCAAAGAUACAAAGAGUCACCUUGCAUCCACCUUCUUUGAAGGAGAUUGUCCUUACUAUCCAAUCAACUUACUUAUUUCCUACCUCUAGCCAUGGCAUACCAAGGAUAAAAUUAUAUCCUAACUUUGUUACCUUGAACCUCUCUCUUAAGAUGUAGGUGUCAAUCAACAUAUUAUAAACAAUUAUAUUAUGAUACUAUGUGCAAUACCUUUGAUCUUACAUUCAUAUUGCUUCUCUACAAAUACCUUAAAAUCUUUAAAUCUUAAAAAAUACUCAUUCUUAGCUUUAAGGAUGUAAAUCCACAUCUUUUUUGAAAAAUCAUCAAUCAAUGUGAGAAAAUACCUUGCUCUUUCAAUUGAUGAUAUCUUCAUUGGUCUUUAAACAAUUUGCUAGUAUAUAUUGUAAUUCCAUUUAGAAAUAAAGCUAUUUAUUGUUUAUAUUGUAUACAAUCUUUACAAGCAAGUAUUAUGGUAUUAUGGCUAAAUUAACUAAGAUUUAAGUAACUUAUAAUAGAUUGGAUUUCCUUCAUAUUUUUGACAUUCAAAUAAUCAAAUCAUUGAUGCUAAAUUUCAAACUUAUCUUAAUCUUGUAAAAACUCAGCAAAUAUUGUUAUUUCAACUCUAUUGACCUUUUUACAAUUGAUGAAGUAGAUGUUGCCAUUUCUAAAGCCUAUGGCAAUAUCUUAUCCAUCCAAUAUCUUCACAAAACACUCAUUCAUGCUAAAUUGAAUCUAACAACCAUAUGAUAUAAGUUUGUUCAUUGAAAAAAAUUUCUUAUUUAACUUUGGAACAUAUAAGACUUCCAUUAAUUUGAACUUCUUAGUUUGGUCCUUUAUAACAAUCUUCACUAUAAUAGAGCCAAUUUCAAUGGCUUGUACCAUCCCAUAUUCUUCCAACCACACUUUUGUUACUAAAAUUGAUUUAUAAGUGUCAAAUAAAUACUUAUACAAUAUCAUGUACUUAGUAGCACCUAAUCUAUAAUCCAUUUGGAUAUGGCAGCCAUAGAGGUUCUUUCAGUUGCUGUGAAAGCAUAGUUAUUUCUAUAAAAAUUAUUACAAGUAUUGUUUGUAUUAUAUAUAUAUAUAUUAUUAUAUAGAAAUUUCUUUAAAAAUGAUCUAAUUUUUUAUAAAUAUAAUAAUAUUUUUAAUAAUUUUUUAAAUUAUUAUAUUGAUAAAAAUAGCUAUCUUUAUCUUAUUUUAAAAAUAAAGCCAAAUUAUCAAUUUGAAGCUCUUUCUCUUUCUUCUUAGUUAUUUUAUAGGCAAGUUUUGAUGUGACAUAAUCUAAUGUAAGCUCUUUUAACUUUAAUGCCACAAUAAAAUAGUUAUUGGACUUCAAAAGACUCAUGAGCAAUGUUAAUACAAUGUCAUUAUUAUCAACUAGCUUAUCAACAACUGCUAGUUGGUUUAGAAGUCCUUUUAUCUUGUUGAUAUGUGCCAUGAAGUCAUUUCUUUCCUCCAUCUUUAUUCUUAAGAACUUCUUCUUUGUCUAUAGAAUAUUGGAAAGGUUUCUAUUCUCAUAGAUAUUAUAAAGAAUCUUUUAUACUUAUAUUGACCUAUUACAAGCAAUUACAUGUGAAAAAUUGGUAUCAUGAAGAUUUGUUACAAUUAAUCCAAAAUCUUUAUUUUCACAAUGUUUGUACUUUUUCUUCACCUUGAUAUCAUCAUAGUCGCUUAAAGGCUCUUCACUUUCAUCAACAAUUUUUCAAAGGUAUAAUAAAACCAAUAAAAACUAUAUUUUUUUCUUCUAAUAUUAGAAGUUGUCACUUCUAAAUUUUUCAAUCAUUCGAAAGUCCUCACCCACACUUGAAGCUAUGUUUAAAGAAGAGGUAUAUCUAAGAGAAUUAAAAAAAAGAUGAGAUAGAGCUUUCAAAAUCAAGAUAAAGAUAUUGCUGCCAUAAAAAUCCAAAAUAUCCUCUUUGUGAGUAAACAAGUGAUUAAAUAUACUAUGAAAACUUUAUUAAUAAGACUUAUUAUAAAUCAUACUGUAUCUAAACUUCUUUUAUAAGUUUUAUCAUUCUUUAAUUACAUCUAAUCUCAUAAAAAGCUUUUAAUUUCAUAAAACACUUCUUAUUACUAUAAGAAGAACUUUUAAGAACUUUAGCACAUUAAAACAUAAUGUUAGCACACCAAUGAUGUAACUUUGCAAAGAAAUAUAAUAUUAGUGUUUUAAAAUAUUGGUUUAAAGUGUCUAAUAAUCUCUAAGACUAUGAAUGCAUUUAACAACAAGUAAGAAAAAACUACAUCAACAAUUAGAUACAAAAGUAUGGUUAGAAGAUAUCAAAUAUUAAUAUUAGCAAUAACUAUAAGAUGUAUUUCAUUCAACAAGAAAGACUUUAAAUAACUUCAAAAUUCAUAAGUAAGAGUGAAUAGACUUAUAACCUAUAAAAAAAAAAAAAAAAAAAAAAAAAAACUUUGAAGUCAUAAUACAUAGCAUCAAUAAGAAUGCAUAUAAAGAGAGUAUGGAGUAAGAUAACUCUCAUUUACAAUACUUGUUACUUAUAGGUAGUAGUUGUUCUAAUAAACAACUUCCAUCCUUUGAUGAAUACAUCUAUCUAAGAUUCUAUAGAAACUAUCCAUUGAUAUCUUAUCUACUAUGAAGUUAUUUUUUUAUCAUAUUUUCUAUAUUCCUCAGAUCCUUUGUCCAUUCAUUUUUCUUAUCUCUUAGCUUUUUCACAUACCAAAAGCCAACCCUUUCACCAUUAUCAACGUAUCUAAGAUAAUAUAAUCUAUAAGGUAAUUUAUUCUACUUUCACUUUUACUUAUUUAUUUUAACAAACAACACUUAAACCAAGUCUCUCAUUACAAGAUCUAAUAAAAAUUUAUUCACAACAUAUGCACUUUUGUUAUACUUAUCGGUUGUUGGUAGAUACAUAACAAGUUUAAACAUUGGUAGUUACUAAAUAUUUAAUUUACUCGGACCACCCAACUUUGGCACCACAAAGCCACGCCAACCUUUUGAUGGUAUCCGACUUUUUACGUUUGCGUUAACUUUAGCUUUAAAAGUUCACUUUCACGGUUUUCGAAGGCGGCGUCGGCCCAUGAAUGCGAAGUGUGCCGCUGUCUGCUGCUACACGCUUUGCUCAUAAACUCGUCGGCGAUGGCGUCGACAUCACCUGCACCCCGCGCUCCCUCCGCAUGCGACGCCAUUACCCAUCUCACGCUCAGUGCUCUAAAUCCGAUGCCGCUCCUCUCGGAUACUGGAACCAGAUUAUCCUGUAAACCCCCCGCAAUGCUCACGCUACAGGUGCUGCUCUCGACGCGAGCCUGUUGUUAAGUUACCUAUCAAGGAUUCGGCCUCACGCCGCGAGUCCAGAUUCCGAGACUCGCCGCCUCAAUGCAAGCGCAAUACGUCUGGAAUGCGUUCUCCUUGUGAAUUGAACCGUUUCCCCAGAUGGCAUCACAGGUUGGUGAUGUGAAGUCCCGCACUGUAGCUGGAUUCCACCUCGUCAACGACGCCGGGAAGUAUGAAUACGCCCCGACGACGACGGCGUCGACGUCGUUCCCCGUUUGCUCCCUCUGUCGCACAGAUAUGUUGCCGUGAUGUUCCCUGUACCGCCGCCUGCAACCAUUUAGUUUCCUGCCCCUCUAUUGCAUGCAGUGAAGCUCCCGUUUGGCUGGCUCCCGCCGUUUUCUCUUCCCUUUAGAUUGCCAUCUUUCUGCUCCUCACAUUGGGCCCUCUUCUCGCCCUUCACCACCGUUCUCAGUUUCUAGUGUGCUUGAACUGCAUUCGUUUGUGGUGCUGUGUUGAUCUUUGCUAUAAAGUGUGUCCUGCUUUAGAGCAGUGCUCAUCUGCUUGGUUACCUCUCCUUAGCAUCGUGCUCUACAGUUGUUGUGGUGGUGGAGACUGUCAAGCGGCGAAUAAUUGUGGCAAGAUGGUGCGUUAUGAUGCACCCUCGCCGAUUAUUCCAUUCUUCUUUGUUGCGACCAUGGUAGGCAUGGCGUUUCUACCGUGGAUCAGAAGCUGCGUCUCCGCAACUGUCCUUGGGCUGCAGCAGAUGCCAUUGCUUUAUCUGUCGCCACUGCUCAUCAUCCUCGGCAUCUCUCUCAUAUCCACUUUCCAGAAGUGGAUGAACCCUGCCGGUUCUCCUGCUCGCCAGCCCAACGCCCGUGAGUGGAGAGCUUCCUGCACUGGGGACGACGUGCUUGGGAGCCAACAGAGCGAUGGCGCUGGCAUUGGGCUGUUCGUCCUGCUCGUCGUCGCCUUGGUCUUGAUUCCGUGGCGGUGAAGAAGAAUUUGCUGCUUUUAAGUGUCAAGCAUUCGGAGAUUCGUGCUGAGAUGUCAACAGUUGUCUAAUGAUUAUGCCCAGUUUGUUCGGCCAGUGUUUUUCGUCACUGAUGUUGACUUCUUGCUGUGGUGAGAAUAGGUCUGCUCGUGAGGCUUGUAAGUUAUGGAGUAGAAUGGUCAAGAAUCAAGUCUUACGCUUAUUAGAAGCGGGUUGGUAUGAAUGAGAAGUAUGUUGUACAAAGUUAGUUUCCUUUCUAGAACAGAGUCUUGUUCUGGAAAUAGGACCCUAAAACCUUCUCAGCUGCCUCUUUUGAUGUUACAGAGGAUCGGAGUAUAGUGCGAGAGCAAAACUCCAGGCUGUAUUUAUAUCCCUUGUGACCUUUGUAUUAAUAUAACGGCCAUAUACAUGAUAACACCGACUCAUUCUCUCUUCAGAUACAAUACGAACAACGAGACUUGGGAUAUUGUGUCAUUCGCUAUACACGAAUGAGACCAUUGUCAUGUUUGCCAGCUUCUGUUUACAAUGCAGAGUCUAGAUUGUCACACUAUCACGAGAACCAGAUUUUGGUUCUCAUGCCCCCAUCGCUCCGUUUCCAAUUACAUGUGAACGAACCACACUGUGGUCAGCCAUAUCGACACAGAUUCACCCUUCACUCAACUGUCACUAUUUUUUCGAACUCGAAACCGUGUUCUAAAUAUGUUGCCAUAUUUUAUUUUUACAUUA
RNAcentral lists this long non-coding RNA (95614 nucleotides) under Physcomitrium patens. Its description in RNAcentral is "long non-coding RNA (PPAT_LNC005175)". The record is from RNAcentral. Lineage: Eukaryota; Viridiplantae; Streptophyta; Bryopsida; Funariales; Funariaceae.